RNAcentral lists this long non-coding RNA (92696 nucleotides) under Triticum aestivum (bread wheat). Its description in RNAcentral is "long non-coding RNA (TAES_LNC026352)". The stretch from base 35187 to 35273 matches the Rfam family "MIR1120/MIR1122 microRNA precursor family". The record is from RNAcentral. Lineage: Eukaryota; Viridiplantae; Streptophyta; Magnoliopsida; Poales; Poaceae.
ACACGACACCUACUGGUUGUCCUCGUUUGUUGUACCCACUCAUGGUAGGCAAGAAAACCCUAAUGGAGGUGGAUGCAUUGGAUGGAAUCAAGAUAAAUUCCAUGUAUCGCCCUUAAUCUCGCUCAACAGGGUGAAUGCUUCUUUGCUACUGAAUCAACUAUUUCUAUUCAUAGUGACAAAUCUGUUAUGAGGAUAGGUGCAUGAGGGACAAAGCAUGCACCUAUGCGAGACGAACCUGGUUGCAAAAACAUACUCCAACUUAAACACAACAGGAUGCCGUCAGGAGGGAAGGAAUAACACGGACACAUAAAAUGCAUCCAUGAUCCAUCCAUUAAUAAUCAUCAAAAUAGCAUAAUAAAUACAUAAAUGCAUGCAUCCAUCCAUCUUUCAUCAAAAGAGCGUAAAAACUAUACUCCCUCCGUCAUGGUUUAGAAGGCACAGUUAAAUUUGCGUGCGUUUCCGCAAUAGACAAAGUUUAAGGCGCAUUGCAUUUAUUUCUAGUAGCUAAUUAGUGCCUAUUUCUAUAUGCAUGCGUAGUGUGAAUGCUAUUUUUUAGCCCAUCUCAUAACCAAUAGAUAACCACCUAGGUCCCAGAGAAUUUUCAACCGCACCUUCUAAACCGUGACGGAGGUAGUACAUCAAUUCAUUAAUCAUCGAAGGAGCAUUAAAAUAUAUAAAUGCGUCCAUCUAUCCAUAAUAAAUCAGAAGAGCAUAAAACUACAUGAAUGCUUACAUUUCCAUUCAUAAACCAAAAAUAGUUCCAGCAGAGUGCAUAAAUUCAUCCACAACAAUUUCCCGCAAUAAAUAAAUAAAUUCAUCCACAACAGUACAUCAAGCUUUAAAUUAUGGUUGAACUCUCGUUGUGGAAAUGGAAUCUAGUUGUGGUUGUCUGGCUGAAUUCUGCCGAAAGAUCCUUGAGUUGCUCCAUGAGCGUUGGAGUUCCACAAUAGAAAACACCUAGAGAUUCGAGUACAUAGUAUUAACUACUGUACGUUCUCGUAAAAGAAGAACUAUUGUACUUCAUGACAGAGUGUUUAUAGAGAAUUUAACCUAUACGAGAGUUCUUGUGGGCAUUGGCCAAGCGAGAGAACACCAUUCUCCAAUUAGGUCUUGCAAAAUGCGUCCAAAUCUACAAGAGAUGUAUAUUUUUUAUUAGAAAAGGAGGAUGAUCCCGGCCUCUGCAUCUGGGCGAUGCAUACGGCCACCAAGAGAUGUAUAUGAAGGAAAUACCAGAAAAAUUAGCAAGCAAAGCCGUGCGGGAUGCAUGGGAUGAGAAGUCAUAGGUGAGAAAAUACCUCGCUUCCAGAGAUGACAUCAACGCCAGUUUUGGCGUGUUGGAGUGACUGAAGCACGGAGAUCAUCGCUGACCUUGGAUCGCCUUCUUCAUACACGCUGGUGAGGUAAUUGUACAUCUCUAUUACAUUCUGCAGUUGCCAUAUUCUUAGCCCACUCCCUGAUUAAUCAUGCGACUGAACAUCUUGGUAAAAUGGAAGGAAGCUUAAGAUCUUGAGUGAGAUAAGUACACUGCGGUCGAGGUAGACAACGUCAUUCAUGAUUCCUUUGAACCAGUCGAAGGAUUCUUGCUCUCCGGUGAACCAGUAGAAGUAAGCCCUUUCCGGCCAGUUGUUCUUGACCUCAGAACCACGUGUGCUUUCCACCUCCUAUUUCAACAACUCAUUUUGUCAGUGAUAUCCUUCUCUCCUGAAGGUAUAUAUACUAUGAGCGUAAUGUUGGGAAUACUCUACUGUGAAAGAAAUUUACAUCGGUGGGAUAAACAUUGUUCACGAUAUCUAUUAGUACGCUGAUAAAAGCAGUGACGCUGAACCCAAGACCGAUGAACAAGACAAUAUCGUAUUUCUUGUAAUUCUGGCCCGGUGCACCAUAAGGACCGUCAAUAAAGACCGUGGGAAACCCGAAUGAGACACAUCAAUGAUGAUUUGUUGGUAAAAGUCUAUACUCAAAAUUUGCUGAAUUUGCAUAUUGAAAGGACUGAGCUCGAAAUAGGCUUUCGUCCUACUUAUAUAAAGCCCCAAUGGCCAAAGUGAUACUAAGUGGUGAGAAAAUCGGACAUGGAGUUUUGGCUCUGGGGAGCAUUUGCUCUUGUGAUGAACAGUAAAUUCAAAAAAAAGGCUAAACAAGUUAAAAAAAAUUCUGUUUUUUUUUCUGUGUACAUGUUCAUGUUAAUGUCCAAGGCAUGCAUGACAAUUUUCAAGCGAAAUGGAACAGUACUAUUUCAUCAAUGAAAAAACAAAGUUAAUUAGCAGAGAAAAUUUGUUGUCCAACUUGCCUUUUUGCAUAGAUCAAAAUGCUCGGCCAUGGCAUCUAAACAUUUGCAGAUAACAUUUAGACAUGAAUAUGUGCAUGUCUAAGUUUUUACACAUUUUUUUGACUUUUAGAAAGCUAUUUUUGAUGGGUAUUUGGAGAGCCAAAUGCUCCCGAGAGCCAAAUUGAGUAUUUGGAGAAACCCCCCCAUAAAAGGCGGUGGUGAAAGAAAUGAGCUUACCGGGCGAUUUCGUUCCGGGCAGGUGGCUGGCAGCACUGUAUGAAUAUGAAAUUUAGUUCUUCAAAUUUGGAUAAUCCACAUUAAUCUCGCUCUCUCUAUUAUAAUUGAAUGCCCAAACUUAUUGCUCUUGUAUGUAUAUUGGCUGAACUGACCUUUGCGAAAAUGUUCAGGAGUUGAGAUGCCCAGUCACCAUUACCAACGGCGCGGAUAUGCACGUUUAGAUUGCCAUCUCCAGGUGCAGAGGUGAUGGGGAAGGGAUGCCUGCAAGAUCAUCAACUGUAAGCAAGAAGCCCAGGUAAAAUUAUACAAGUAUCCUGAUAGUAUAAGUUAGUAUAAGUGGGUAAGGGGUAAAGUGGCAGUAGUACCAUUCAGAAGUGGAGACUUCAUUACAUUUGAUAAACAGGUGCAUCCCACUUGUACUUGAAACCCCGUGGCUUAUGCAUGCCAAGACAAAGCACAUUUCCUGGAUAGAUUGCAAUCUGUAUAUAUAGGAGUAAGAAAGAGGCAAACCAUGGUGUUCAUGCAUAUUACUUUUUUUGACAAAGGACGUUUUUUAUUGACUCAUGAUGUAGCAUCGAAGGAUACAAUCAUAAUGAGCAUACACCUGGCCUCUGCAUAACUAGGAUGCACACAACCAACACACAUGAUUACACCGGCAAAAAGCAAAGUCAUACAAGAUCAAAGCUAUGCCUAGGCGAAGGGAAAAAUAAAAAGGGAAAACACGGAUCGAGUGGCCUCCCGAGUCGCCCACGCGGACGACACGGGGGCAGUUUCCUUCCAAGUGCUCCAUCCAUGCAUGUUACUAGUAAGAAUGAAAUAAACUAGAGCCAUGUGAAUCGAGUAGACACCUAACCUUUUGAAAUUUCAUCUGCUCAUUGUUCCAGCGAACCUUUCUGAUAAUUCCCUGGCAGGCAGACAAGAGGACAGGGACUAUCAGGUGCAUCCAGUUCCCGCAGGCCGUCAUCGACCGGACCAGCCGUGACCUCCUCUCCAACUGCACCUCGUCCUCCGGCGCCCGCGCGCUCACCGCCCCACGCAACAGCGUCUCCAGCUGCGACAUCUGCAAUGGAGCAAGCACGUACGCGCAAACCUUGAGCUAAUCUAUGUAUGCAUCGCUUCAUGUCGUUGAUUAGAUGGAAUGGAAAUGCUUGCUAGUUACUACAAGCCUAUGACCUCGAUGUAGCCACGGUGGUCGGGGUCGAGCUCUUCCAUGACCAGUGGCGCGUAGGCGGCGGCGUCGAUCUUCAGCUUGUUCGCCGACGCGCUCAAUAUAAUAGCCUACAUUAAUAUAUAUACUAAGUAGGUAGCAGGGUUAAAUUAAACGAUCCAUGGUGGACUAACUAACGGCCAUGCUUCUGCAUCGAGUUAUUCAACUGUUAGGAGCGGACUACUUUGCAGGAAUUAUUCAACUGUUACUAGUAUCAGUGGAUACUUUGGUGAUCUAAAAACCUUUAUAUUUUUUUUACAGAGGGAGUACUUUACUUUUUUUGAGUAACUACAGAGGGAGUACUUGAUUUCAGUGUUCCUGACCAGGGAACGUUUGGGAUAACAGGCACUAUUUCGAGGUAAUUCUUGUGGGCCAAAUACUGGGUCUGGGUUAGUUAAGCCAUCUCUCUGGGCAGACUAAUAGGCACAGGUCGUGAGAACAAGCAAACAGCAGCAGUCGCAUGCAAAUUAAGCAUAAAAACGGUGGAUUCGAUUCCAGUAACCUACGAUCCCCAUACUUGCUGCCACUUUGUCCGAAUAAUUCUUGCAAAGUUCUUGCUAAGAACCACCUGCUAUGCUGCCUACAGAUUUGCCUCUCAUUGCCAAACAUAACAUGAUUAGCACAGCAGCUUGGCACUCACCGAUGCACUUGCCGAAGCUCUCCUUUGGGAUGCGCCCGGCCUUGUUCAUCUCGUCGAAGCGGCGCUCCACAUCCUUCCAGCCUUCCCUGCCUUCCGAGCUACCGUCGACAAAGUGAGACCCCAUUUUCACGGUAACUACACUGCAUCUGCCUCCACUCCCUGUUGGGAUAUACUCCUACUUCUCAUGUGGGCCAUGAGUUGCUGAAAUUUAAACUCUUUUAGGCCGCCAAAGCAUGUGCAAGAGCUCACUGUUUAGCAGGGCUAUUAGUUUAUUAUCUAGGAGCGCUCUGAACUUUACACAUGAGAAAUGAGAUGUUUAAACCUCCCAUCCAGUGGAAGUAGUCGCCGAGAGGCGAUAGGUGCGAGGAAAAUACCAGGUUAGCUUCCACUGUAGAAAAGAAAAACCGAAAAGAAAAGAAAGGGGAGAAGAUUGGACCUAUCCAUCUCAUCGUAUCUUUUCAGUUGUGGUUGCACCAUCUUUGAAUCUUUGAUGAGAUUGCUCUCAUCUUAGCUUCUACGGAAGUGUUGCUUUUGCAAUGGAGAGCAAGCCAUUCAACAUUGGUUCAUCUCUUGCCCGUUAGCACCACUGGUGUGGUGGGUGGUUUUUAUAGCCUUCAACUGGCCACUCCAAAUAGUCAAAUCAGGGUGGGAGCAUGUGCUAUAUGAAAAGAUCGUAAUGAUAUUAUUUUUAACAAAUAACAAAGGGUUUCCGAUUCUUUUGCACGUUACCCACUGACUACUGUUCACACACGAACACGUCACCGUGUACCCUCGACGCCGGGGGUGAUGCACCAGAACUCACGUCGAAGGAGACCCACCGGAAGCGCGGUACGCAAGCAAUCCGGCGGGUGCUUUUGAGGACCCGAAACCCCACACGCCCGGGAGGGACCCCGUCAGGGUGCGCGGCGGCUAUGGGCUGCCCUAGGUCGACCUGAUUGCCCCUAGGGCCUCGUGGAUCGCCGCCCUGCAACUAGAAGAACAGACGAAGAAUGAGAAAGAAGAAGAACAAGGAAGAGAGAUAAAGGUAAAGGUAAAAAGUGAUAUGUUGAUAGAUCGAUUGUGUGUUGUUCAAUCGGGCGCCCCUUAUAUAUAUAUAUGAGGCGGCUGGAUUUUCCGUACAAAAAAAGGUCUCAAAUCCCGUCCAAAACAUCAAAAGUUAACCUAAUUCAGAAUACGAGGGCCGGAACUUCCGGGCUAAAACUACAUUAAGUAGCGCUCUUGUACAGCUCCUGUAGGUCGCACAUGGCCUCAGAUUGUGAUGGUCCAAAAAGCAAAGUUGUAGAUCUUGCAAUGGAUCACUUUUUCAUCCGAGGUCAUCUUGAGAUUGAAUUCUGGCCCACAAAUCUGCAAAUAAUGUUGAAAUUCUAGCUUUCGGGGCGAACCGUGUGUGAACUUUCUGUUUAGCCCGGAACAUCCCCGAAAGUUUUGCCCGGAACUUCCGGGCUAAAAUUUUGCAGCACACUGUUUUGGCUCUAACUUUUGCAUACGAACUCCGAUUUAGACUUUUUUAUAUUAAAAUCGAUCGUUUCGACGAGGCGAAGACAAUCCUUGUAGAAACUAUUCUCAUAUAAGGCCAUUUUGGGGGUCUAAUCAGCCGAAUAGUGUUUUGAAUGCAAAAUCCGAGUACUUCAAACACAACUUCGCCUUAGAGAUGAGACCACAUGGCUAUGGCCCAAAUAUCAAAGUUUCUCCUUUUGACGAUAUGGAACUUUCUCACUUUGAAUACUUCUCCAUAUGAGGCCAUCUUAAUUAAGUUCUUGGUCGUGCCAAAAUCUGAUGUCAACAACUACGUUUUAGAUUUGUACAUGAUUCUCGUUUCAACGUGUAGAUGUGCAAGAUUCUCAAGUACUCCCUCCGCAAAGAAAUGUAAGAGCGUUUAGAUUACUAGGUGCAACCACUUAAAGACAAGUAUAGCGACCACUAUGUUCCGCCUAUUUGGAUGGUAGUCUAGCCGAUUUGUUUCCGCACUUUCCACCCUAUUGUAAGACCUUAUACUUCACAAUAAGAGAUGAUCGUGUGCAUAACUUGACAUGGGUUAAUUAUCCUCUUAAAAAAUGACUUCUUGUUGGUGCUAUCCAAGAGCAUCUCUAGCUGAAUCUUCAAAAUUUAACUCCUCAAUCACCUUCUCAAACCCUAGAGCAUCUCCAACUGCUCCCUUUUAGGUCUUUGUAUGGGAUCCUAUCCUUUAACUCCUUAUAUUUGCUUUUCUAAAGAAGUGUGGUUCCUGACCGACCCCCUAACCUUAACUCCCUAUAUUUUUUUAACACAAAUUUAUUUAUUUUUGGGCCAUCUAGUUAAACUUCACUACCAAAUUAUUUCACUAAACGACUUCUUGGCCACAUACUUCACCAGUUCUUCUCUAAAGAACUGAUCCAAAAUAAACUACUCCCUCUGAUUCAUAUUACUUGUCUUAGAUUUGCCUAGAUAUAGAUGUAUCUAACACUAACACGUGUCUACAUACAUCUAUAUCUAGACAAAUCAAAGACAAGUAAUAUGGAUCGGAGGGAGUAUAAAAUAAUUACACACUUUAAUAGAAACACCACUUUCUUAACUACUACUACUAGUUCGAUCAAAAGUUUCUUAAUCUCUUCAUUGCCUAAAUUGUUGCUUUACUGUUGGAUUCUUAAGCUUGCACACUUCUUUCUUCUCUGCCACCUCAUACCUGGACAUUGUGUCUUAUGUGGUCCCAUCUUUAGCAACCAGUGCACCAACAUCUAUCAUAUUUAUCUCUAUCAAUAGAUUAAUGUACUCUUUUUCCCAAUACUACAACUUGCAUCCUUCCUACAUACAACUUUAAGCAAAAAAUGAGUUUCAAAUAGUGACAAAACCAAAUAAUCGAACAACCAUACAAAUUUACACUCACUCCGUCCUUUUCACAGUUGUAGAAAAUUCAUCCAAGAUGUUUGGGUGUGCUCAAGACGAGCCGCACCACCAGCCGUCUACAAUCAUCACACUUGACGAUCAGUUGAGGCUUAGUGAUGAGUUGCCGGACGAGGGCUGAGCCGGGACGAUGGACGGACAUGGCUAUGUUGGCGGUCAUUCAAAAAGUGAGAGGCAAGCAUCGAGGGGAGGACAUACCACGGGGAGCGGUCGAGGUGGGAAGGGAAAUUUUAGGCGUCGGGGCCUUGGUGCAUCGAAUCCGGUGACAUUUUUAGGCGCCAACGACGUGAAGGGACCGAAUAGAAGUGGGGAAGGAGCGCGAUUAGUGCUACUGGGCCUCGGCGAUGGCCAGUGGCGCAUGGUGGCUGGCGGAGGCAAGUAGGGCGGCGCCUUAGUGGAUGCGGCACCGAGUGGGGAGGGUGCGGCCGAGAGGGUGUACUCUGGCGGUGGUGGUUGGCUAUAUUUAAGAGUCAGGGCUGUCGUGCAGUAAAAGAUUACUCCUCUAAAGGUUAUAAGGGGUCGGCCAAGUGCGAUUUGGGGGAGGAAACCAGUUUUUUUCUCCUCUAAAUCUUUAUAGGGGGUCGGUUAGAGAUUCCCUAAACUCCUCAAAUUGAGGAGUUUAGAAAAACACAAACCUAACCGAAGUCUCAAAGUUAACUCAAACAAAUUAGACCCCACAUGGAAGCCUCUUUCUCUCUUCUUCUUCCUUCUUCUUUCUUUCACGCCACCAACGAUGACCUUUCGGCACUAGAUGAGUUCCAUGAGCUAGCUAGCAUCUAUGAUAGGUGCUCCGCAAAAAAAAUUGAUAGAGGCUCANNNNNNNNNNNNNNNNNNNNNNNNNNNNNNNNNNNNNNNNNNNNNNNNNNNNNNNNNNNNNNNNNNNNNNNNNNNNNNNNNNNNNNNNNNNNNNNNNNNNNNNNNNNNNNNNNNNNNNNNNNNNNNNNNNNNNNNNNNNNNNNNNNNNNNNNNNNNNNNNNNNNNNNNNNNNNNNNNNNNNNNNNNNNNNNNNNNNNNNNNNNNNNNNNNNNNNNNNNNNNNNNNNNNNNNNNNNNNNNNNNNNNNNNNNNNNNNNNNNNNNNNNNNNNNNNNNNNNNNNNNNNNNNNNNNNNNNNNNNNNNNNNNNNNNNNNNNNNNNNNNNUGAUUAUGAGACUACAAAUUUGAAGCUUAAGUUGCAAUUUUAGGGCAAUGCAGAUAAAGUAGUAAGUUCUCUAGAUAUGCAACUAUGUGAGAACAACAUAUAUGGCAAGGAAGCUCAAAACAAGGUAUGAUGGGUAAUAAUAUAAUUAGCAAACCAACAAACAUACAAAGCAAGUAUGUACAAAAAAGCAUCCGUUCAGCAUACAAAUAUACAAAACAAGUACGGUGCGAGAACGGAUUAACCACUGAGAUUAGAUAACAGAACAACAACCAAAAAGCAUAUGUUCAACAAAAAGCAAAAUAAGAGCAUCUCCAACAGGCAUGCUAAAAAACCGUUUACAGUGCUGGAAUCGUGAGUUUUUGCGCACCGCGGAGCGCUGGCUCCAGUGGCCGCUGUAACAUAUAGCACGCGCGAGCUGCUCCAGCAAGCGCUGCAAAAAACGGCGCGUGCGCUCAUCACAAACAACAUAUGCACUCCAAACAAAACCAAGAAGAUCAAACAAAAAAAAAUCAACAAUAAAUAGUUCAAUUUUAUUACAACUCAAACAAAUAGUUUAUCUUCCAAUACAACAAAUAGUUCAACAAUACAACAUCAACAUACAACAUCAAACAUACAAAUCAUCAUGCUUUUUGUCGGCUAUUACAUGCCCAUCACUCCUCGAUGAGAUCCUUUUGAAGAUCAUCAUGCGCUUCGACACGUCAAAUGGCAUGAUAGGAGGCAACAAAUCGGGCCACUCACGCAGCCCUCCGCCGCACUCGCACGGGAUGUCCCAAGAGCUCAUACUGAGAGUAGUCUAAAUCUUGGCCACGCUCAUUCUUGAUGAUCAUGUUGUGCAUGAUCAUACAAGCGUGCAUGAUGUACGAAAGCAUCUUUUGAUCUCAAAAGCUAGCCGGUCCUCUCACAAUGGAAAAUUGGGCUUGCAAAAUCCCAAAAGCUCUUUCCACGCUUGCAAAAUCCCAAAAGCUCUCUCCACAUAUUUCCUAGCCGCCGCCUGAGCAUUGUGGAAAUCUAGAUUUUUCUUACCUUCCGGUUUUUUCAUCGGCUUCACAAAUAUUUACCACUUUGGGUAGAUGUCAUCCACAAGAUAGUAGCCAUAGUUGUAUGUAUGUAUGUCCAUUUGCUACAAACUGCACCGGUGACAUUUCACCAUUUGCAAUCUUAUUCAUGAGUGGUGACCGAUUAACAACGUUAAUGUCAUUCAAAGAUCCAAGCAUUUCAAAAAAGCAUGCCAAAUCCAAAUCUCUUGAUCGGCCACCGCUUCAAGGAUUAUAGUUGAACCCUUUUUUUGGCCGUGGAAUUUCCCAUGCCAUGCCUUAGGACAGUUCUUCCAACUCCAAUGCAUGCAAUAUAUUGAGCCAAACAUACCUGGGAACCGCAAGCUUUGUUCAUCUCCAAAAGCCCUGCAACGUCUUCAGCAUUGGGAGAUCUCAAAUACUCCGGGCCAAACACUUGCACAAUUCCGACUGCGAAGCGCUUGACACACAUGAUGGCUUGACUCUCACCCAUGGCCAGGUGGUCAUCAACUAGAUCAGUCGGAAUACCGUAUGUCAACAUACGCAAAGCGGCUGUCACCUUCUGAAAGGUGCUAUGCCCGAGUUCUCUGGCGGCAUUCCUCCUUUGCUGAAAAAACCAAUCAUGGCUCGCCAGUUUCUCUACAAUGUGCCUGAACAACUCGGUGCUCAUCCUAAACUGGCGCCGGAAGUACGACUCGGGGUAUGUGUGAUUCUCCACAAAAUAGUGCCUCAUCAAUCUGUUGUCGGCAUUGAUCUUGUCCCUCCAAAUUUUCCGCCAAACCACCGUGCUUCGGUUUUUUUAUUGAUGUGCAUAGUUAUAGGAUCAUUGCAAGGUCCUCCUCGUCAUCUUCAAUAUCAAAUUAGUCUUCGGAAGAAUCAUAUGACGAACUCAUCUAUAAUGUUGAAUUUUAACUAGUCUAUAAAAAUUACAAACAACAUGCACCAAAUUCAUGUAAACAAAUGUGAAGUUGAAGCAAUACAUACCUUGCAAGCGUUUUGUGGAACACCUUGUGGGCGCCGAGUGGCAGUGGGCGGCCUGGCGCUGUUCGUCGGAGGAAUGGUGCACGCGAGGGGCGGCGGCGACUAAAGGGAGACGGAGGAAGCAGCGGCGGUGCGGAGAUAGGCCCGGGAAGCGCCGUCAGGUCACCGGAGCAAAUGGGAUGGUGCGGCCGGAGGCGCCAGUGCCUGGAUUGGGGGUAGGUGGAAGUCAUGGCAUGGGCGCUCGACUGUGCAGCGCGUGGGAGCGGGCGCACGAAAUAAGUGGCACGCGAUGCCGUUUCAUCCCACGCGCUGAACCACUUAUGCCACGCACGCGUUUUUUUGCGCCUCCGCUGGAGCGCCCGGAGCGACUGUGCGCGUGCAAAAAAACAGAAUUUUUCCAGCGCGGCGCUUAUAUCGCGCAGCUGUUGGAGAUGCUCUAACAAGGUUCCCUUUGCCGCCUACUGCUAGCUGGCGAAACACUGACUUGAGAGUAGAUACAACCUUUUAAUUAAACUGAAGGUGAGAAAUCGAUGCCACAUAUCUCACUAUGAUUCUGCAUUCUGCGUGCGUUUAUUGCUGUGAGGAAGAAAGACAGGAGAGAGGCUGAACUCAUGUAUAUUCAUCCAUCGGGAGUGUACAUAUAUACAGGUACAUGCACACAGCAGGUGCGGCCACUACUCCAACGAACCACGUAAUAAACUCCACUAAGCUAGUACAUGCACCAAGACUAGGUAGAUUAGUUACAGGGAGAGGCUACGUGAUAGAGAAUCACGUAGGGGCACCCUGCGUGAUAGGAGGUUUCCAACAAUUGCCGCCAGCCGGAGCCGGGGACAUGGCAGCUGGUAGAGCUUUUAUCACCGCAGGGGUGUCGAUCAAUCAGUUUGUUGUUGAGUUGGUUAUGGUAUGCAUGAACCCGACGUAGUAAGACUAGUCACAGUGGGAGUAACUUUAGCAGUAACAUCGAGUCCGACUCAGCAAAUUUGCUUAUGUGGCAAUGAGUUAAUGAGGAAAGAGGUAGUUGUAGUAACUUAGCUAGUUACUGUAACAUCACAUGUCCCAAUGCAAUAUGAGUCCAUAACCUAAUAAAUGAAUCUUUGCAUGUUACCACAGUUAAGUUACUACCCACUAUGAAAAUAGUAACAUAGUCUAGGGAUAUGUGUAUGUUACUCUCCAUUGUGGCUAGUCUAAUAACUUGAUCAUGUGGCAAUAAAUCGCACGUCGCUGAUGGACGAGCUGGCCUCUCGCCUUCUUUCUAUCCCUCUCCUCUCAGCUCCUACGUCGACUUAACGUGUGUCUGCGGUCCGAACUAAACUGCUCACGUCAUGAUCCGGAGCCUCUCGGAAGACUCGAUCGGUAAACGAAACGUGUGCGCUGCUAGUAGCAUUAAUUAACAAAGUGCUGCUUGCCGGCUCAAUGGAAUGCAUGGGAGAAGGCCGACACGAAAGAAGGGAGAAAAUUUCAGGCGCGCGUGGGUCGUCGGAGAGGAAGAACGGAAGAAGGAGCUUCGGGAGGUUGGCAUGGUCAGGGUGAGAUGAGACUGACGAGAACACGGAACCAUUCAUGCAAUGCAAUCCCGUGUUACCGUCGCAUAUGCUCUGGUUGCUUUGACGUCUCAACGGUCCAGGCUCGGUUUAUCUCGAGUCAGGAUGCGAAAGAGGCAGCUGAUUUCAACAGGGCCGUAAAGGCUGAGGUACACGGCUGGCUGGGGAGGGUCAGCUUGAGCUGAUCGUCGAGGAAAAACAGGACGACCAAGAACCAGCCGACGCUGCAAUCGAGUUGAAGUUCACGUUCACGUACGUGUGGUCGUACCAACUCGGAUGUAUCUGAUGCGUGUAAGAAUAUACACAGUCGCUUGUGUUGUUUGUAUUGACAUGGCAAUGGCUCUCGCACCUUUUCUUUUUUCUUUGCACCUGAAAUGAAUCAAAGUCACCUGAAAAAAAAUGAAACAAAGAAAAAGGAUUCUGCCUUUGGUGCCAGGGACAUGGCAGCUAGAGCUUUAUCACAUGAGUGUCAAUCAGGUUUGUUGAGUCGGUUAUGAAUAUCAUGGCAAAUAAUAAAAAAGAAAAGGUUUGUUGUGUGUUGUGCAUUAAUAAUUGAGACUAACUUCUUCAUGCAGCAACUACGGGAAAUUAAUGCACACCAUGGCUAUCAACGACUGCUUCAAGAUUGUAUAUUAGAUGUGUCAGACCCUAUAAUUAGGCCUUGCCGAUGUAUCCCAUUGGGAAAACAAAAUUUGAUGUCUGUACCAAUCAAAGUAGAACACAAAAUUAACCCUUCCUACAUGAUUACUCCCUCUUGGUCUUGGACCCCUCCCACGGGUGCCGUCGACCCUAAAAAAGGCGCUAAGCGUCACCGUUGUCAAGUCUGAAAUGGACACGGGUUACUUGGAAACUAGUUAAGCACGUUUUCUCAAACUUAAUUAGCACUUCACUUUUUCGUACUGAUCCUCUCAGACAGAGAUUCUAAUAAAGUCAACCAAGAUCAGCUUAUGUUCAUUAAUACCCUAUGAGCCAGCAUGUGUACCAAAAACUCGAUUCAGACUAAGAACAAACUAUUAGCUGCAACAGUUUCAGCUUUUUUUUUUGAAAAGGGGGGUUUCCCUGGCCUCCGCAUCAGAAAGAUGCAUACGGCCAUCUUAUUAACCAAAUGAAGUAGUGCCAACAUGGUUCCAAAGGUCUUCAAAAGUAAUAAAAAAGCACAGAAAGCUCACACAGAGCCAAUAAGGGCUAGAAACACCAACUAGCCAAGAAAAGACGCCACAACCGGCUGGCUAAAACUAGAUAGGGAAACUAAUUGCCUAUCCUAUUACAUGACCGCCAUCCAAACCGGUUGAAGAUAUCCCGAGCUACCAUCUCCCAGCGGAAAGACCCAGUAACCAAAUGCUCCCUGGCCUCCGUCUGGGUGAGUAGCGACCACGGACGGAUCAGAGCCGUAGUUCGGAAUAUGACCUGCAAAAAAUGUAUACAUGAUAUUCUGUUAAAAACUAAAUCAUUUCUGCAAGUCCAGAUAGUCCACAGCAAAGCACAAACUCCAACCCGAAUAUGUCUCGCUAAGUCAGGCUCAAUCCCAUUAAGCCAUGUCCCAAAUAACGCAUUAACAGAAUUCGGUGGAUUGAUAUUAAAAGCAAUGUGGACCGUCUGCCAAAGUACCUUGGCCAACGGGCAAUCAAAAAAGAGGUGUUUGAUAGUCUCAUCCCGAUCGCAGAAACUACACCUAGUAGGUCCUGUCCAAUUACGCUUUAUCAAGUUGUCCUUAGUUAAAAUAACUUGUUUAUGGACAAACCACAUAAAUACUUUUAUUUUCAAAGGAACUUUGACAUCCGAAACAUGCUUGGACGUAGGAAUGUAGUUCGAAUUAAUAACAUCAAUAUACAUUGAUUUAACCGUGAAUACUUCAGACUUAGUCAAUUUCCAGCGUAAUUCAUCGGGUUGUUGUGAAAGCUGAACCUUCAUCAGUCUCCUAACUAGACGGAGCCAUUCUUUCCAACGAUUGCCCGCUAGCGUUCGACGGAACUGAAUAUUAAGGGGGGUAGAUUGAAAGACGAUGCUACGAACACCUCACGUCGUUGAACAAUGCGGUAUAAAGACGGAUAUUGGAUGGCCAAGGGUGUCUCGCCGAGCCAAGUAUCCUCCCAGAAAUGUGUACUCGUGCCGUUUCCAAUAACAAACUUCGUCCUAUUAAAUAAGGACUGUUUGACUUUCAUCAGGCCUUUCCAGAAAGGUGAAUCGGUCGGCCUGACUGUAAUAUGGGACAAAGUUUUUGUCUGGAGGUACUUGUUGCGAAGGAUUUGAGCCCACAUAACAUCAUUCUCCGAUGAGAGCUUCCACAGCCACUUGCUAAGAAGGCAUUUAUUCUUAACUUCUAGAUUCUCAAUACCUAGACCCCCUUGAUCUUUCGGUCUACAGAUGAUAUCCCAUUUGGCAAGCCGAUAUUUUCUUUUAAGCUCAUCACCCUGCCAAAAGAAACGCGAUCGAUAGAAGUCCAGUCUCUUCCUAACACCAACUGGGACCUCAAAGAACGAUAGGAGAAACAUUGGCAUAUUCGUGAGCACCGAAUUAAUCAGGAUUAAUCGGCCUCCGUAUGACAUGAGCUUACCCUUCCAACAACUCAUUUUCUUCUCAAAUCGGUCCUCGAUGCACUUCCACUCUCUGUUUGUCAGCCUACGAUGGUGGAUUGGAAUCCCCAGGUAAGAGAAGGGUAACUCUCCCAACUCACACCCAAACAAUUUCCUAUAAGCAUCCUGUUCAUCUUUGGCCCUACCAAAACAGAACAGCUCGCUCUUAUGAAAGUUAAUCUUUAACCCGGUCAAUUGUUCAAAUAGGCAUAACACAAGCUUUAUAUUUCUCGCCUUGGCCAAGUCAUGCUCCAUAAAGAUGAUUGUAUCAUCAGCGUACUGAAGGAUGGAUACACCUCCAUCAAUAAGAUGAGGUACCAAUCCACCUACUUGACCAUUUUCCUUAGCCCUUCCCAGCAAAAUUGCUAACAUAUCCACCACAAUAUUAAACAGUAUAGGGGACAUCGGAUCUCCUUGUCUUAGGCCUUUAUGUGUCUGGAAGUAAUGACCUAUGUCAUCAUUAACUUUAAUUCUCACACUACCUUUUUGCGUAAAUGAUUCAACCUGUCGGUGCCAGGCUUCAUCAAAACCUUUCAUACGCAAUGACUGUUGGAGGAAUGGCCAUUUGACCUUAUCGUACGCUUUCUCGAAAUCCACCUUAAAAAUUACUCCAUCUAAUUUUUUGGAAUGGAUUUCAUGGAGUGUUUAAUGCAGGACGACCACCCCUUCAAGGAUAUUUCUGUCCGGCAUGAAAGCAGUUUGGGACUGUUGCACCACAGAAUGCGCAAUCUGUGUGAGCCUGUUAGUCCCGACCUUGGUGAAAUUUUUGAAACUAACAUUGAGGAGACAGAUCGGCCUGAAUUGCUCAAUUCUCACAGCAUCCGUUUUCUUGGGAAGCAGUGUGAUAGUCCCAAAAUUCAAGUGCAAUAAUUGAAGCUGUCCAGAGAACAGAUCAUGGAACAUAGGUAGUAAAUCCCCCUUAAUAAUGUGCCAGCACUUUUUAUAGAACUCUGCCGGGAAUCCAUCCGGUCCGGGAGCCUUAUUAUUUUUCAUCUGUGCAAUAGCAUCAAACACCUCCUUCUUCGAGAACGGGGCAACCAGAAUAUCAUUAUCGUCAGCCGAUAGCUGGGGCACAUCCUCAGUCCUGGACUCAUCGAGGGACACACAAUUAUCUUCCGGAGGUCCAAAUAACUGCUUAUAAUAGUCGGUAAUAUAUGUUUUUAGGUUAUCCUGACCUAAAAUAGUGCCCUCGUCUUGCUCAAGCUGAAAGAUACGCUUCUUUCUGUGCUUGUCAUUAGCUAUCAAAUGGAAGAAUUGAGUAUUCGCGUCCCCUUGGACCACUUUGCGGACUUUAGCAUGCAAAGCCCACUUCAAUUCUUCUUCGCGGAGCAGUUCUUUCAACCUUUUCUCCGCCUCAUUUUUAACCUGAAGCUCAGCUGGCGGUAAAAUAGUGUAUUCGGCCUGUAUGUCCAGGGCCUGUAUAAGAGUAAGGAGUCUAUCCUUUUCAAUCUUAUACACACCACUGAGGUGCUUAGCCCAACCCCGUAAGAAACUUCUCAAAUGCCUACUCUUAUACGGUUUCAGCUAUCUGUGAGCUUAUACGGUUUAUAUAUUCUUCUCAGGCCCUUACGCCUCAUAUGUUUCAUUGGCCAGCUCAACCAAUGAUUUCAGUAGUUCUUUUUUUGAGGUCUUAACUUCAUGAGCUUCGACCAUAUCUUUGUAGACUCUCAAGCAAGAAUGUUUAUUCUUAUGAACGCCAUAUAUAUAUGAAUGAGCGACCAACCUUGACACAUCAUCUUCUGAAACCUGAAAGAAGCAUGAUUUGGAGUGAGUGACAAGUUUGCUGAAAAUGGGAUAGCAUGCAGCUUGGCACACUUCACAAAAUAGUAUGUACAGUUUUACCUCACAGGAGUCGCCAAAUUCAGGCCACCAUAUCAUCUUCAGAGCUGUUGCAAUUUUCAGUAACGUCCAACCCUCGCAGUUGAUGCCAGAGACAUCCUUAAUGAGGUCACCUGCACGGCGCAAGGCUCCAGAAUAUUUCUUCUCAACAGAAUCACAGUGAAACAACGCAGAAGCUGUCGCAGCAAUUUGCUCAUUGACCUGGAUACAAAGAAGAUUGCUUCAUCACUAAAGCAAGGAUGCAGAGCAUAUAAUUUUUUUUCUGUAGAAGUUGCAUCCAAAACUUUGGUCCAUGAAGAUGAAGUGCAACACCAAAUGACAGGGAACUAUGAAGCAAAGAGCAUGGCAACUAGUUAGCUCACCAUAUCUGUUUUGACAUCACAACAAUAACGAUUCAAUACACGUCCUAGACUCAUUGGGAGACGGUCCGCUGCAGCCAGCUGUGAUUUUUCUUGAGGCAGCAAACUUCGCAUGCAAUGCUGUAUGCCCCACAUUACCUCCAUUACAGCUGUAGUAUACAGCCAGUCUAUAUUCUGGAAGAAGAAGAUGAAAAAGUCUAUAAUAGGAAAACUCCAUAGAAGGGAGAUGGGUGGGAGCUCUCGCGACUCGCCUGGCGAGUCGCCUGGCGACUCAUCGGCCGGCGCCGCCGGGCCAAUCCCCUCCGUCCCCGCCGUCCCGCUCCCAGCAGGAGCCACCCUGCAUCCUCCAACCGUCCACCGCUCGUCUGCUCCGCUGCUUGGCCGCCGACCGGGUUCACCUGCGUGCUCCCGGGCUGCUACCCGCCGCGAAGACGUCAUCGCCGCCGUGCCUCGUCCAGGUAUCUCCUUCCAUGCCCGUGUCCUUGCUACCUUCCUCUCGGGCGUCGCCUUCGACCCUGUCACCUUUCCAUCGCUCUCCCAGCCCGGCGCUCUGUGGGUUUCCGCCCCGUUCGCUGCCGGGUGCUUCUCGCGCUCCGGGAUAGCGCGUUUGCUGGAGUACUUCUUCUGCGCCCCCCACGAACGUUUGGUAGCCACGCGCGCUUCGCGCCUUGUCUUCCAUGUCCGCGUCGCGAGCCCCGCCAUUGCCAGGUUCCUCGUCGAGGUUGGGCCGGGACUCAUGGUUGCCAUCAACCUCGGCUUGCAUGCUUCCCUGCAUGCUGCGCGCGGGCGGGUCUCCCACCAGCCCAGCCUUGAUGGCCCCAUUACUCCGUUCCGGAUUGGUGGCCGACGCCUGGCAAUCAAUUGCCCUGUUCCCCCCAUCCCAUCGCUCCCGCCCCUACUCCCCCUACCUCCGACACAGGGUGAGGUUUCGCCCUCUGAUUCGCUGGAAACAAACCCCACACAUGCUGCCGCCCCCCUGCUCCCCAAAACGCGCCAUGCGCGGGCUCGCCCGUCCGCGACAAUGCGUCGGUGGGGAGAGACCGGUCAAGCGUUCAAUGCGCCGAGGUUGACACUCGCGCGGCGCCGGGCCCCGCUGCGCCACCCACCGCCUUCAUGGCUCCCCGGGGAGGGUGCAGCUCGUUCUUGGCUGCCGUUCUCUCCGUGCCCUCACCUCCUCCUCAACCUAACCCUAAAAAGCCCCUCCCUCCCCUCUCGCUGGACGGCUGCUUUCGUUGCCUCUCCACGCGCCACUUUGUGAAGGACUGCAGAGAUCCCGUUCGGUGCCGCCGGUGUCGGUUGUCCGGGCACCGCGCCGCCUCCCCUCGCUGCCCCAUGGCUCCUCCGCGCCGCGCUGCUGCGUCCCCCCUUGCUCGCGCUGCCUCGCUUCCCAACCGCCCGCCCACGCCGCCGCCACCCCCCCACCACGCCGCCAGUCCACCCCGUACCCCCACGCCCGCAUUGCCGCUCUCUCCCCCGUCGGAGGGCUCCCAACCCCGCGCCGUCUCGAGAUCGGCGGCUCUAGCAACCGUGCACCCGCCUCCACUCCCGCAGGGAGUGGCGAUCCGCCCUCCCAGCCAUGCAACCGUGAUGUGUUCCUCUCUGGGGUCAUUCGCUCUCCACCACCCUCUCCUCCGGCCGCCUCCCCUGACAUUGGCCAUCCUGAGCCGGUGUUGGCCCUUGCGACCCCCUCCAUGCAGCAUGCUCACCCUGAGCUGCUUGCGGUUCGGGAGCGGGGCUCGUCGUCCAGUGGAUCACGCCAAUCCUCGCGCUCGCCAUCCUCCCUCUCCUCGGGAAACUCGAUCCCCUCCGCCGUAGCUGACUCCGAGCGUCCUGAUGUGCUCGAGGUGUUUAUGCCGGAGGGAGACUACACCGCGGCCCAGAGGUUUGCCGUGGUGAGCAUCGAGCCCCCGGGCGCUUUCAUCAACCCCACCACUGCGGUGCAAGCCGUCGUCAUGGACCGCAUAGGGCACUUGCUGCCUGAGGUGGUGCCGUCGUCGGUGGGCGCCAUGUAUCUCCGGUUCGCGUCUGUGGCGGAUCGCGACGAGGCCUUGGCCAUGCAGCCCUUCCCCCAUGAAGGCGCGCGCAUCGACCUGAUCGCGGAAGAACUCUUCGAUCGUGUGGCGCCGCGCCUCGACGUGUGCGCCGUCCUCGCCGCCACAGGCUUCCCCGCCGAGUUCAUCAACCCGCGCGGCGUCUCCGCCAUGUUCUCUGGGUUUGGGAAGGUCCUUGAGAUCGAUCCACUCGUCCUGGCGGGCAGUGAGCUCGCCACCGUGCGUGCGGUCGUCCUCCUCAAAAAUCCUCGCGACGUCCCUUGUGACGUGUGGCCUCUGGGAGGACGCUGGGGCGCUCGUGUUGUCUCAGUCCGACCCGUCCGGGCCUGGGCGCGCGCUGACUCCUUCACGGCCAACGGAGAGUAUCUCCCGUUCUUCUACCCGCCACCACCGCCUUUCGCCCACAACCAUGUCGUCUUCCCGGGUCAGCCGCUGGGGAGAGGGAGCGUGCAGCCUCGUGCUCCCUUCCACUCUGGAGGCGGGGCGCGCGGAGGAGACGCUGGUCAACUCGACUCCGUGCUGCGCGUCCUCGGCGCGCCUCCCCUUCCAGCUUGGCUGCGGCACGGCCCUCUACGGCUGGGAGGCGUGCACCCGCCCCGCUCUCCUCUCCCGGCAGGGCUGCCCCCUUCGGGCUCGCCGUCCCGCUCCGUGUCCUCCUCGGUCGGGAGUGCCGGGUCCGGAAUAACAAUCGUCGACGUCACCGAGCAGCAGAUGGAGGGCCGUGACGGGCGCGCCGUUGGCGAUGCCCCUGGGCCUCGCCGUAGCGCUCGGGUGGCCGGCUCCGAGCCUGCGGAGUACGUCAGCAUGGAGGCGAAGGCGGUCAAGCUGCGUGCUCUCCGGGACGCGCUCUCCGGGUGCUCACCCCGCCUCAAAUCCAAAGUCCUGAAGGACAAGAUGCUCGAUGGUGUGCACAAGCCCAUGACGGCCAAGGCGGUGGCUGAGCUGCGCUGUGCCGCGUCCAUCCGGGCUGUUCCGGCGGCCGACGAUGCCGAUGUCUAGUCUUAUCUCCUCCUUUCUUUCGUCUACCGCUGCAUGCGCCUACCCUCGCUUAAGCUUCCCUCCCUGUUGCCCGCUCGGGGCUGUUUGUGGUUCCGCUCCUAGUUGGGCGACCGGCCGUCUGUACCUCGGUGUGUGUUUGUGUAAUGGAUAAUCUCUCCUUUGUUGAUCUCUCUAUUCUCUCUUGGAAUGUUCAAGGGCUGGGGGACCCGGAUAAGUGCGAUAUCGUGCGUAACCUUAUAGCUUCCACUGAUCCCGUCAUCGCUUGCGUUCAGGAGACCAAACUGGCCACCCUCCCCGCGUGCAAAGCCCGCUCGUUCCUCCCUGGGCGCCUUGCUUCGUUUGUCUCCAAGGAUGCCGAUGGGAGUCGGGGUGGCAUCACCACCGCUUGGGAUGCCCGCCUGUUCUCCUUAGUCUCCUCCUUCGCUUCGGCUUUCACGCUGUCCACGUCCUUCUCCUCCACUACCACCCCACUCUCUUUCACCGUUACGAACGUCUACGCGCCCUCGGAUCAUGCUCUCACUAUGGAAUUUGUUGAGGACCUCUCCGCGGUCUCCUCGGAUAUUCCCGGGCCUUGGAUUGCUAUUGGGGAUUUCAAUCUGAUUAGGGCUCCCCGUGAGAAGAAUAACAAUAACUUUGAUGCGUCGAGAGCCGCUGUCUUCAACUCUCUCAUCAACUCCCUGGCCUUGCAUGAGCUGGCCCUGACGGAUCGCCGUUUCACAUGGACGAACCGAAGGGAUCCGCCGACUCUUGCCCGCCUAGACAGGGCCUUCUUUGACAAUGAUUGGGGGGAGUCUUUCCCGGACUCGGCUCUUUCCUCACGCCCUCGGCCUACCUCUGAUCACGUCCCCCUGGUUGUCACUGCGUCCACCCGAAUUCCCAAACCGGCUCGCUUCUUCUUCGAGAACUCCUGGCUGCUCAACCCUCGCUUCCUCCCCACUACCAUCCCUUCUUGGACGGGCGCGGCGCCCGGGCGCUGCGCGGUGGGGCGGCUCGCUGCACGUAAGAAGAAGUUUCGGUCUGCGGCCAAGGUUUGGAAACGGCAACACAAAUACAUCCCUACCUAUGAUAAUGAUUGCAAAUUUGUGGUUGACCUCCUGGAUUUCUUGGAAGAGUCCAGAUGUCUGUCUACAGAUGAAGCGCUGCUGCGGAGUGAUGCUCGUAGCUGCCUUGCCGCGUCCAUCAAGAGGCAGAGUGCGCACUGGAAGCAGCGGGGGAAGUGUCGUGCGGUUCGAGAAGGCGAUGAGAAUACCAAGUUCUUCCACGCCAGUGCAUCCCAGCGCCGUCGCGGGAACUGGAUCCGCGCGCUUGAUGUUGAUGGGCUGGAGGUGGUCGAUCACCUUGGCAAGGCGGCUGCGCUGCGGGGCUUCUUUGCCAACCUCCUCGGGCGUUGCUGCCUCCCCGACUGGCGCUUCGACCUUGAGGCGCUGUACUAGGGUGUCCCAGGCGUCGACGGGGGCGCCCUUGUGAGCCCCUUCACCCUGGCCGAGAUCAAGAAGGCGGCGGGCCUCCUCGACCGCUCGAGCGCCCCCGGCCCGGAUGGCCUGGGGCCUGCCUUCUACCAAGCUGCGUGGGAGGCGGUGUCGGGCGAUAUGCUGCAGCUCUUCGACGCCUUCUUUGACGGCUCGGUGGACCUGGAGCCGAUCAACCGGGCGUACAUUGCCCUCUUGCCGAAAGGGGGUGGGGCGACCCCAACUCCAAGUUCGUUCCGCCCCGUCUCCCUGCAGAACUGCGAUGUCAAGAUCCUCUGCCGGGCGCUCACCACGCGGUUGCAGCAGCAGNNNNNNNNNNNNNNNNNNNNNNNNNNNNNNNNNNNNNNNNNNNNNNNNNNNNNNNNNNNNNNNNNNNNNNNNNNNNNNNNNNNNNNNNNNNNNNNNNNNNNNNNNNNNNNNNNNNNNNNNNNNNNNNNNNNNNNNNNNNNNNNNNNNNNNNNNNNNNNNNNNNNNNNNNNNNNNNNNNNNNNNNNNNNNNNNNNNNNNNNNNNNNNNNNNNNNNNNNNNNNNNNNNNNNNNNNNCAGUCCGGAUUCGUCUCCGGGCGAAGCAUUUCCGAGAACUUCGUCUAUGCGACCGAAGUGGUGCAAUGCUGCCGCGCGAGGAAAGCCCCCGCCCUCGUCCUCAAGCUGGACUUCGCUAAAGCCUUCGACUCUGUUAAUUGGGCGUGUCUUCGUCGCGUCAUGGAGGUGCGCGGCUUCCCUGAGCAAUGGUGCGCGUGGGUGGACGCCAUCCUCCGUUCAUCACGCUCCGCGGUGCUGCUCAACGGAGUGCCGAGGGCGUGGUUCCCCGUCAGGUGUGGGCUUCGCCAAGGAGACCCGAUGUCGCCCUACCUCUUCCUCUUGGUGGCGGAUGUCCUGCAACGGAUGGUGCGGCGCGACCCCCUGCUCCAACAUCCGCUGGUGGAGGGGGGGAGCACCGAUUGUGCUUCAAUACGCCGAUGACACACUUAUCAUCGCCCGCGCGUCGGGGGAGGCGGCGGCGCGGCUACGACGCAUCCUGGACGACUUCGCCGCGGCCACCGGGCUGGGGAUCAACUACGGCAAAAGCACCCUGGUGCCGAUCCACGUCGCGGACGAGGUGGUGGCUGGGGCUGCGGGGGCCCUCUCCUGCUCUGUACAGGGGUUCCCGCAACCCUACUUGGGCCUGCCGUUGUCGUGGGACAAGCUGACGGCGGCCGAUUUCGCGCCGAUGCUUGCUAAGGUCGAUGCCUACCUGGCCGGGUGGCGGGCGCGUCUACUCUCCCCCGCCGGGCGCCUGGUCCUGAUCAAUGCGGUGCUGGACUCGCUCCCCACAUAUGCCAUGGCCGCCGUCGUCCUUCCCCCGGCCGUGGUUAAAGCCAUGGAUACGCUGCGCCGGGCAUUCCUAUGGGCGGCGGCCGACCGCGCCACGGGAGCUCAGUGCCUGAUUGCUUGGAGCCAGGUCUGCAUGGCGAAGUGCGAGGGGGGGCUCGGGGUGCGGGACCUUACCACCCAGAACAUGUGCCUGCUGCUCAAGAUGUUGCAUCGUCUACACUCAUCGGAGUCGAGGUGGGCGUCGUGGGUUUGGGCGGAGCUGAAUGGCCAAUCCCUUCUCCAACCCGGUAGCUGUCGUCAUGCCGGGCCGCAUGGGCGCUCUCUGCGCGGCAUGCUGCCGCUCUACCGCGCCAUGUCGCGAGUGCGUGUGCAGGAUGGGCGGCGAACCUCCUUCUGGCUCGACUGGUGGCUGCCGUGCGGUCCUCUGAGUGUGGCCUUCCCCGCUCUAUACUCGCAUACCACAAGCGUCGAGGCCACUGUGUCCUACGUCUGGAACGGUGGGCUCGACCGCAUCUUGGUCCCAAGACACACCCGGGCGGGGGCUCGGGAGCGAGAAGCCCUCCUUGCCAUUCUCCCUGAUGCACUUGUGGCGUCGGGCGUAGAUGAGAGGAUGCUGCCGCUUUGUGGGCACCCCCGGUCGGGAGGCCUUGUCGCGCGCCGCGCCUACGCCCUCCUGCGCUAUGGCGGGCGGCUCUCGCCUCAUGCAGCGUUCGUCUGGGGGGCGCGCGCGCCGUCGCGGGUGAAGUUCUUCUGCUGGCUGCUGGUUCAUCGUCGAGUCAACACUCGGGAUGUCCUUCUUCGGAAGACCAUUGUUGAUCGCGCGGGGGCCGGCUGCCCCGUCUACUUGGCGGAGCUGGAAACCGCGGACCAUCUGAUGUUUGUCUGCCCGUUCGCGCGCGAGUUCUGGCGCGCCGUGGGGGUGUGGUGAUCGCGGCCGGGGCGUCGGUAGAGCGACUCUUCGCCCUAGACGUAAGAGUUGCCGUAGGAGAUGCCUCUCCCGACACCUUCAUCCUCCUAUGCUGCUGGCACCUAUGGAAGCACCGGAACGGGGUGGUCUUCCAGGCUAUGGUGCCAUCUCUGGAUCGGGUCCUAAGCUGCUGUCGAGAGGAUGCUGUUCUCUGGCGAGAAUGGCUACAUCCACGGAAUCGUGCGGAUGUUCAUGCGUGGGUGCGUGCGUUGACGCGGUGAUCUGAUCUUAGCUGAUGUUUGUAAAAAUGAGGACCUCCCCCUAGUGGUGAUUUGGCAAUAAAAUUCAGGUGGAGGGAUCGCUAUCCCUCCCCCGGUGACAGUUCAAAAAAAAAUAUUCUGGAAGAAGUGAUAUCAAAGAUGGCGAUCAAAGUUGUUCAAAAAUAUAGAUAAACCAGGAACUUAACCUCACCAUUCUCUCUUCAAUAAUUCUUUUAUAUUCAAGCUUUCCAACAGCAAUUUUCUGUUCAGGGAAGCGACAGUUCAUGAUCAUAUCAGUAAGCCUUUCGCUGACACCAGUACUUUUAUUAAUGGCCUUGGACUUGUCCUUAAAAGUUCGAAACUCUUCCAGCAAAACAGCCUGAUGAAAAAAUGAGCAUGUUCAGGUGCAAAAAGAAACGAUUAAUCAAGGAUCAUGUCAUGUCUCUCAAUCAGGAUAGGGGGCUGAUUCACUGGGCAUAUCUUAACUGUAACGAUAUACCCAUGUUACAAAUACUCGUUCAUCAAAUACUAGUGUGAUUCAGAUUAACUCAUAAAGCAAGGUCAUGAGAUGUAGUUUGGCAACAGACCACAGUGCUGCUCUUCAGUAGUAGCAGCACAUCAGUAACUGAUUUGUAAGAAGUCUUGUUACACCCAUGGCGGAUAUUUAGCCAAAGUAGUUUUUUGGGCGUGCAUGCAUUUGUGUCCAGGGCAAGGUUUCCAUUUUCAGUUUCAGCGAAAUUCAGUGAUUUGUUUGAAAUUCAAUUAAAUAUUUGAAACUUCUAAAUUAUUUUUGAAAAAUAGUUGAAUUCAUGUGUACUACUUGAAAUGGCUGAAAUAUUUUGGCCGAAAGGUAGAUAUUUCAGUGACUGCUAAAAUUAAUCAAAUCCAGUGAAAUUCAUCAAAAUCUCACUGAAAGUGAAAACCGCGGUCCAGUGUACAUGUUUUAGAUUUAUGGAGGAAAGUUGUGUUGGCCUCUCAAUUAUUUAGUAAUUAACCAUGUGUUUAUGUUCCUCCGUUAAUAGAAAAUAAAGUAAAUAAAUAAAUACUGAUGCAAUCAUGGAUGGUGCAAGAUAACUAGCAGGGUUAAUUUGGCAGCACAACAUAGGAAAAUAACAAUCAUAAGCAGGGAAUCGAAGGAAAGAAGUGGGCACUAACACGUUCUGCCUUCCAUCUAUCAGUGAAGUUAAGCCAUAUUUCCUGGAGGAGACAAAGAGAAAAGAGAAAAUUAGGUAAUUGACAUAGACAACAAGAGAAAAAAAAAACAAGAGAAAGCAAGCAAGCACAUCAUCAGUAACCAAGGAAGGAAGAACAUAUAUAUAGUACACCACUACACCUCCACAGCAUUUGGUCUGCUAAUAAGUAACGCACAAAAAGUGAAAAUUGCAAAGCCUGAGGGUGUCUCAAACAGAAUCAGCAUCAGUCCACUAUCCCCGCGGAUGGCAGCUGCAAAAAAAGAAACAAAGGAAAACUUAAGCAAGCAUGAUUACCAAGAAAAGAAGUGAAGAAUUCAAAUAUCAAACAUGAUGCCAGCCCUUGCCAAAGGUCUGUUGGCUGUGCUCUCUUCCACUCGGAUGCCACUACAGGUGCCUCCGGCUAGACCUUGACCACUAGAUAUUGUCGAGAUGUUCUAGCCAAAUGCACUCAAAGGUUCCAUCCCAAUUAUCUUAAAAAAAAAAGGUUCCAUUCCAACCGCUAGAAUGUUCCGGCCAUGGAAGGUAAUUGUUCCCACCAGUUGAAAUGAACUUUCCAUGGGCGCAUUGGGAGCAAGAGAUCCAGUGGGAACUGAGAGGUGUGCGCAGUGGCCAGGAUCAUGGAGCCGCUGCUGGGAAAAUGUGGUGCCAUUUUAGCGUGUGUCUGUUAUGAGGUUGGUACAGUUUUAUCUCCUGCAGGAUUUGGACAUGUUUUACUCUAACAAAUGAUUAAAAAUUCCUUGAUUUCUUGCAUAAAGAAUGAGAUUUAGUUAGGUUCCAAUGUCACAUUAAGAAUAUUUUCCCAAGAGCUAAAGAUUCAGAGAAACGACGCGAUGGUUAGGUACUUAGGUAAGUCUUAUGGAAACUAAGCUCGCCACUAUAAGGCUGGCUACUGGUCGUAAUGGUAGUAUCAUAGCUAGUAUUAUGCCUUGUACAAUGGGAGGUGCUUAGAGAGAUGCUUAGAAAAAUAAACCAGGUUUUUCUGAAGCCCCGGUGCCUAUUUCUACAGGAGCUUAAAAAAAAGCCUGGUUUAUUUCUCUAAGCACCUCCCUUUGUACAAGGCCUUAUGCAUGCCAACUAGGCAAUUUUGAUGAUGUGGCAUAUCAUUAAAUGAAGAAAGAGAUGGUGGAGUAUCAUAUCAUGAUACUGUAUCAUAAUAAAUGCUAUGCUACUUUGUGUCAUGCAUGGCAAUAAAUAGAGUACUACAUGAUACUAAUAUAUGAUACUAUGCAUUAGGAAGGUAGUACCAUACACUAGUAUCAUAUGUAUGAUACUAUUAUAUGAUACUCCUCAUUAGGCUGGUUGUAAUGGGGAGUAUCAUAUAGUAGUAUCAUACAUAUGAUACUAGUGUAUGAUACUACCUCCCUAAUGCAUAGUAUCAUAUAUUAGUAUCAUGUAGCACUCUAUUUAUUGUCAUGCAUGACACAAAGUAGCAUAGCAUUUAUUAUGAUACAGUAUCAUGAUAUGAUACUCCAUCAUCUUUUUCUUCAUUUAAUACUAUGACACAUCAUCAAAAUUACCUAGUUGACAUGCAUGAUACUAGAUAUGAUAUUACCAUUACGAUCAGCCUAACGAAAAUUUGACAUGGUUGUAGUACUAGUAGUACAGAGUUCUUAAAUAUAAGUCUUUUUAGAGAUUUCAAUAUGGACUACAUAUGAAUGUAUAUAGACAUAUUUUAAAGUAUAGAUUCAACCAUUUUGCUUCGUAUGUAGUCCAUAUUAGAAUCUCUAAAAAAACUUAUAUUUAGGAGCAGAGGGAGUAUAAAAGACUGGUACUGCAGCCUGCAAUUCUAUGAAUAUCUUAUUGCAAUUUUUGUUGCAUGGUUUGCCUCUUAUCAUUUCAAUUCAGCUGUUAACCAUUUUGGAUAAAUGCUUCAUGCGAUGUUUGACUUGAACAUAAGUUGGAUAGGCACGAGAAAGGUUUGCCCCAUUGUGUACAUGUCUCAAGCAAGGCACCGCCAGGCCAAUUAUGUGACAGUUGUACAAGUAAGUCGAGAAAGUUACUUUGUACAUAUGGUACUGCAUAUUUACUCCUGCUACUGCAGGGUAAUUGGCCAACUGCUAAUGCCAAGUUGCUGUGACUGAAGGUGUAUAUGACCUUUUGGACAUCUGCGUGAGAAGGAUAGAUAAACUGACAAAAUGUUUGGAGUGCUGAUGCUGAAGACCAACGUGAUACUACCAGAAAGGACCAGCGGUGCACCAGCAGCAAGUGAGAGAAAGCAAAUGAGAGCAUAAGAGCAUUUCCAUCAGACUCCUUACAAAUGGUCAAACCCGUAAAAAAAAUGACGUUUUCAGUUUUUGUUUUCAAAAAACAUCCCGGAUAGAGCCCGUAGAAAUGGUCAAACCCGUAAACUUUUUUCAGGCCCCUGAGAAUCCAUCCUCACGACCCCUUUAUUCACAGAUUUAGAGGCAAAACUAAGGAUGCCCUGAAAAUCAGUCAACAUAUGCUAAGCGACAAGGAAAUUUCACCGUGCACACGGGCUUCGAUGACCUUCCGCCACGAAACUCGUCGGAAUCUCGCCAGAAACUCGGCACUUAGAGCAGCUGCGCCGCCGGCCUGUGGAGGAGCUCGCAGGAGCGGCGGCGGCGGCUCCAUGACACCGAGAGGUUUCAUCCGCGCUGGUUCCUCAUCUGAUGCUGGCUGUCCCACAUCUGCCGCGGAGGCUUGGAUUUAUUAAGCAGUGACCGGAGCUAGCUAGGAUCGAUUCAGUUGAUCCAUUCAAGCAGCAACGGCGACGGGAGCUAGCUAGCUCCUGGAUCGAUUCAAUCGAUCCGUCGAAGCAGCUACGGCGACGGACACAGCGGCCGCUUUGUGCGAGAUGUCUUGACGCCGGCGGCUCCGUAUUUGGCCGCUUCGUGCGUUGUCCGCCAGCUCCGUAGGAGCGAGCUUAUUGAGCAUGGACACGGGCAAGAGGAAGAAGACAUGGGAAAAAAUAUAAGGGAAUAUUCAGUUUUACAGUUUAACUUCGAGGUUUCUACUUGGCCGCAGCUCAAACCGAUUCUUAAAACGUGUUUUCCGUAAACUGAAAACCAAAUUCUGCGGUUUAAGGGGUCUGCUAGAGAUGCCACCUCCAAUAUUAACCCGUAAAUUACUCCCGCAUCUGUUCGCGGACAUCCAACCCUAUGCCUCAAAUAUCCGCUUUCUACUAACUUAAAAAAUUGUUUACGCUUUUUAUUAACUUAAAAAAAUUGUUUAUUCAUCGGCUUCCGUUGAAACACAGUGUCAAAACACACACAUGCCAGCCUUCCACCAAAUGCAUACAAGUAGAUGUUAAUCACCUAGUCAAUUACACCUUCCGCCAAAUGAGUUACACACCUUCCGCCAAAUGCAUACAAAUCACUAAUGCUAAACGUAGUCCAAGUAUACCUUCCGCCAAAUGCAUACAAAUCACUAAUGCUAAUCGUAGUCCAAUUACACCUUCCGCCAACGAGUGCUAGACUUGCAUCACACCUUCCGCCAAUUGAAAAUCGCCUUCCACCCUUUAACCUUGCGUCAAACUAAUCACCUUCCGCCAAACAGCUGCGGCUUUACACCAUCCGGACAGAGAGACGGGCACGUGGUGCUUUUUGGUUGACCAGACGGAUGUCCAGACUCCCGCAAAGUUUAUCAUGUUUGUCUUCAGUUUGUCGAAAAAACGUGGUUCAGAUUGCUCGUCGGACCGAUACAGAACCACGUUGUAUGGCAAAUUAUGUCCAGACAACACGGUCUAGACGCUUGCGGGAUGUUUAAGGGUCCACCUUAAAGAUGCCCUAAAGGGGAUAAUAGCAGAGUGAGAGGCGGUGGGCGACGAAUAACAACUGCAUGGGAGAUGUGCUGCCCACAAACCCGUGCUCUGGGGGUGUGUUCAGAUUCUUUUGGCUUUAAUUGGAGCAUCUUCAACGGAUGAUGUAAAAGCACCGCGAUGAUAAAAUUUGGCCAUUCGGGGUACUUCGGUCAAAAACGACAUUCCAACACGUGAUGUAUAUGUAUCCAGUGAUGUAAUUUUUUUAGGACAGAUGAAACAAACGCCUCUCGCUGCUCCAUAUUUGCAGCAUUGCAAUGGCUGCCACAAAAUCCUCAUGCCCACGCACGCAAUUGCCCGCAGAAACUACCCCGUCUGCAGCCCGCAUCGUUGCCCACCACUGCCAUCGUCAAUUCCAUGUUGUAAUCACCACCCGACCAGCCGUCACUAGCCAUCUCGCCACCGGUUUCCACUCUGCUAGCCGACAAUUUCCACCUACCCACUGCAUCCACCCCGCCCACAAAUACAGCCUCCCCAUUCCCCGUCAUCGUCCGAUCAAUGACUCACCUCCUUGAUUUGUCGACUCUGGCGGCUGCUGCUUGGGUUGCCUCUAAGGUUUGUUCGUCGCGGUUGGGCUCAACACACCGCCGCUCAGCUUGGCAGCUCGGGGCCGACGACACUGUCAGUGGCAGAGCUAGCCAAGUAUGGCUGGGAGGCAGAUGACCACACUUAGCUUUAACUUAGCACCUAAUAAAAAUUCUUACAGAGAUUUUUCUAAUCUUNNNNNNNNNNNNNNNNNNNNNNNNNNNNNNNNNNNNNNNNNNNNNNNNNNNNNNNNNNNNNNNNNNNNNNNNNNNNNNNNNNNNNNNNNNNNNNNNNNNNNNNNNNNNNNNNNNNNNNNNNNNNNNNNNNNNNNNNNNNNNNNNNNNNNNNNNNNNNNNNNNNNNNNNNNNNNNNNNNNNNNNNNNNNNNNNNNNNNNNNNNNNNNNNNNNNNNNNNNNNNNNNNNNNNNNNNNNNNNNNNNNNNNNNNNNNNNNNNNNNNNNNNNNNNNNNNNNNNNNNNNNNNNNNNNNNNNNNNNNNNNNNNNNNNNNNNNNNNNNNGUUGUUGGACACUGUCGAGGAGAUAGCAUUGCCCAAGCCACCGCUACAUCACCGCUCUGCCGCGAGCGCCACCUCGUACCGUGGUGUUAGGCUAAGUGAGUCAGACGUUGCAAAAACCACUUGCAAGUGGCGGCUUAGGUGGCUCGGCGUCUUCAAGAUGCCCAAGCUUGCCGCACACGUGUACAACAAAGUUGCAUGGAGGCUCGGCGGUAGCCGGGCCGAGCUGAACUUCUCCGACAUGGUCUUAGCCUAGGAGGCACAAUUCCGCUCCCAUGAGAUUUGCAUUGUCUCCCACGAUGAGGAGAAAGCACACCGCCGUGUCGAGGCCUAACAAAGUGCCUAGGAGAAGGGUAGGGUUUACAUGGAGAGGUUUGCCUCGACAAAUCCACACCUCGUCGAGGCGGAGCUUCAAUUCUUCGCCGAGAAGGAGAAGGCUAAGCCAAAGGAGGAGGAAGAGAUGGAUCACAAACCCUCAUGUUUAAUUAUGUUGUUUCAAAUGCUUAAUGGACGUAGAACUAGAGUUUGAAAUUCCAAAAUGUGAAAUGAAUUUUCAAAUGAUGAUUUUUAGGGCACCACUUUACAUCUCACCUAUUAAAGCAACAGCCGUCUCGGUGGCGUAAAAUUUUCUCCCUCCUGCCCUAUAUGGGUUUUUACAUCACCAAUUUUUCAUCACCUGUUGGAGAUGCUCUUAAGCAAGUGGGUCCUCAUCCGAUUAGCAAGCACAUGCACCGUGGCGCUCCGGUGCAUCAAAGUUAGUUGGUGGUAAACCAAAGAGGGCUAUACUUUUUGCCAAAUAUUUGGACUUGGAAUGGCUACGAUCCAAACAAUAAUGGCUUACUGAAAUUUCGAUCAUACCCAUGCAUCGGUGAUGCCAACAUUUUGAUGUCUAGUUGUGGCUCAAAUUAAACAUACCCUAAGACUCCAUCUCCAACCGCCAACCCACGAAACCUACCCGGUGCCCGGAUCUGUUGGUUCGGACCCCAAAACGCGCGCCCCAUGGCAGGUAUAUGCUGCUAAAGAUUUAGGGUUUCUUUGCAUGCAGUCCAAUUAGCGACUAAAGUUUUCCCUCCCGAGUAGGUGAGACUGAGAGGCAAGGCAGGAUGACGGCGGGCGAGUGGCUCACCUGGACAGGGUGGGAAUCUCGACGGAGGAGAGCGCCCGCGUGGCCGCUUCACCGCCGGAGUAGAGGAUGUCGAGGAGGAGCGCCUCUGCUUCGCCACCGGAGGAGGACAGGAGGAUGUCGAGGAGGAGCGAGACCGAGUACACAUCGCCGGAGGAGAGGAUAUCGACGAGGAGCGAGUCCGCAUCGCCGGUUGAGGUUUGCGCUGGCGGCCGUGUGUGAAUUUUAUGGAGUCGGUUAGGUUUAGUAGAGAAUGGAUCAGUGCUUCGCGAACCUUUUUAUUUUUUGAGAACCUACAUGCACGCAGCCUUUUUUUAAGAUGACCUUAACUGGCAGAAAUUCUGGCAUUUUGUUAAAUGGCUCUUUGAAUUGCAGGAAUAUGGAAACGUAGGCAUAGUAAAAAAACAUAGAAUGAAGAUGGCAAUGGGUACCCGGAACCUGCGAACUGGACUUGUAAAAACUCUAUUAUUAGGGUAAGUAUAAGAAAUACAAACUCCCAUGACAUGUAAAUGAAAAAGCAAUUAUACCCACGGGGGUAUAGUUGGUUAGAGUACGUGAUACAAUAUUCGUACCCGCAUACUCAUAUAGUACUUGGCUGCAUGCAUUAGUAUGACAUGUAGGAUCAUGCUGUCAUCGAGUAAUUAACUACUCCCUCGGCCCAAAAUAAGAUACUUAUUAUGGAACAAAGGGAGUAUAAAAGAAACCUAGAGGCAAUUUAAUCGGUCACUUCUAUCCUAUGAUACCCUUGUCGCCAGCCCAACUCCUAUCCUCCCACUUGUCUUUCCCUCCUUGAUCAUCCCCGCCCUCCUGAUCCCGGCGCCAGUGUGUCCAUCCGACUAUGUCGACUGUCACCUACAGCCCUGCACCAUGGGUUGCCAUCGCCUGCCACUCUCCACUAGGAUCACGCCCGCCACCAUUCCCAUAGUCCCGCCUUAGUGCCUGCACGGCUGCAACUCCUUCACCACCACAAGACAGCCACAUCGCCUUGUCCCAGCCACCUUCCAUGCUCUAGUCGAUAAGGACAAUAUACUGUUAUAGUUGGUGAUGUAGGUGUCGCUGUUGUAUUCACCAUCCACAACUAACAAGGUCCUCCCUAUCGGAAAUGUGAAUUGGGUGAAGCCAUGAUCAUUUUUGAAAAUCAAGAACAUUUUGGAAAUUCAAGAACAUUUUUUGCAACUCAGGCAACCACCUAUAAAAUGUAGAAACAUUUUUCAAAUCCAUUUUUUUUGAAAUUCAGAAACAUUUUGAAAGAGCAUGAAUGUUUUUUGAAAAUCGUGAACAGUUUUAUUUUUUAAAUAUUUUUUAAAACUAAUUAAUGCUUUUUAAAAUUUGCAAAUAUUUUUAUAUUUUGAACUAUUUUCUAAAUUUUCGACUAAUAUUAAAUUAUUACUUUUUCUAAAAUUUCUGCAGUACUAGUGUUUUUUAUGGUUUUGGUGAAAAUACCCAGCCCCAAGUUUUUUUUGAUGGGAAAUACCCAGCCCCAAGUAAAUGACCGAAUGGGCCGACACAAUACGUGCCUGAGGCUUGAUAGAGGAAAUACCCAGCCCCAAGUAAGAUGUUCUUAAAAUUGUAAAGAAGAAUAAAAAAAUUAAGAAAGGAAAGAAAAUGAAAAAAAGGUGGANNNNNNNNNNNNNNNNNNNNNNNNNNNNNNNNNNNNNNNNNNNNNNNNNNNNNNNNNNNNNNNNNNNNNNNNNNNNNNNNNNNNNNNNNNNNNNNNNNNNNNNNNNNNNNNNNNNNNNNNNNNNNNNNNNNNNNNNNNNNNNNNNNNNNNNNNNNNNNNNNNNNNNNNNNNNNNNNNNNNNNNNNNNNNNNNNNNNNNNNNNNNNNNNNNNNNNNNNNNNNNNNNNNNNNNNNNNNNNNNNNNNNNNNNNNNNNNNNNNNNNNNNNNNNNNNNNNNNNNNNNNNCGUUGAUACAUCAAGUAGCGCACGACUUUUAACUGGUCCGGUCCGUUAGCUAAGUUCUAUGUCUUCCAGUUUCCUGGUUUUGGGAACAUUUCAGAAGGAUUUGUCAGGUUCAGGUAUUGUGUUCUUUCAGUUUUACUGAUGUUUCUUUUUCUGGGGUUUUUCGUGUUUUUUCAUUGUAAAUUUCAAUUUUUUUUCAAGUUUAUUUUGUUUUAAAAAAUUCAGAAAUUCCAAAUAAUAUUAUUUCCAAUAUUCAGUUUUAUCAAAAAACACGUUUUCAAAUAAUGUUGGUGUUUUAAAAAAAAUUUGGAAUUUUUAAAAAUGUUCCUGUUUUAGAAAUUGUAUUUUCGAAAAAUGUUCGAAACUUUUAAAUAAAUUGGUUUUUAAGAAAUACCACAUUAUCAGAAAAUAUUCGCGUAAAAUCUUCGUGUCUUCAAAUUUUGCUUUUAAAACUAAUCGAAGGACUGCAUUCUGCUUGGAAAAUUGGGUCGCUGCUGUAUUGUUACGGGAAAACCGAGUCGCUACAAGCGAGCGCCCUAUGAGCAUUCUGUCGCAUUGCACAUCUCACAUUGCACAUAGGAGAUCUGUCAUCUACCCAGUGCUACCAUGCCGGGAUAACAAUCUUUGCAGAAAUGUAUGCGACGCUUGAAAGUUGUCGCUUGGAGCCGGAUCGACGAUGCCCAGAAGUUCAUAAACCGCAUGACUGUGGAAGGUGGAAGACGCCCUAGCAGCCCCCGCAUGUGAGAUCACUUCCUAAAGUAGGAAGAGUACGUAGUUGAGGGGGAAGAAAUCUAUGUUUUCGAAGCUUCAAAUUGUUUUAGACAAUUUUUUUAUUAUUAUGUAAAAAUUGUACUAGAUAUUGUAAUGGAACUUGUACUAGAAAUCGAUGUUACAGAUCAAAUUCAAGGCUUAAUUAUUGUUUGAUGAGAUGAAGAAAAAAUAAAUCUUGUUAAGCCAAUGAGAAACAAGUCCACAUGGAGGAAAAUUUUGAUUAUGACGAUUUUGCACCCUCUAGGAACUUUCAAAAUAUUAACCUUUUCAUCAAAGAAGUGGCCGUUAGAUGACUAUGGAUUCAUUCUUGUGUCUACUACGUACUUUUAGGGCAACACCAACCAUGACGGGUGUCACCAAAACAUACGUCUUUAAAUGUCCGCGGACAUGUCUUCAAACAUCAAAAUAGGAGGCAGCUAUCCAACAAUAUUCACCAAGUAUACACCAUUUAAAUGGAGAGAAGGGAAUGAGAGGAAAAAAUGGGGUUAUGGUGGGAUUUGAUGCUGAGUAGGUAUGCUUGAACUCCCCUAGUUUGAGGAAGAUUUNNNNNNNNNNNNNNNNNNNNNNNNNNNNNNNNNNNNNNNNNNNNNNNNNNNNNNNNNNNNNNNNNNNNNNNNNNNNNNNNNNNNNNNNNNNNNNNNNNNNNNNNNNNNNNNNNNNNNNNNNNNNNNNNNNNNNNNNNUCAUGUUGGAGUUUUUUUUUAAAUUAGAAACUUUAUUGAUUAGGAAUAUAAGAAUAUGUACAAUUUCGUCCAUACGCUCCUCAAACCAAACCUUAGUCGCUGGAAAUUUAACCUACCAAGUUCAUGACCUAUCUUAUUCGUUUUCCCGUUACAAUGUUCAAACCAGUAAGAAGAAAAUCACAGGCGAAUAAAUAGCAAUCACAAAAAAAAAAAUGCCGCCGUCGCUCCGGUCGAACGUCCUUUAUUCUUCAUGGUAUUAUGUCUUCCAUAUUUUUAGAAUUAAUAACAGGGCGAUUGCAUCCUGCCUUUUGUGCAAGAAAUAAGCCGAGUCUCAUAGCCAAAGUUUCUAUCAUUAGGACGUCAACACACCAAUCAAUCUUUCAAUUUCUGCCAACAAUGAAUUUUUCUUUAUCAUCUCUGAAUACAACGUUAGCUGUGUCCCUAAGCACAUGAUCAAAAGAUGCAUUAACAUCGAGCUUUACAAAACUCAUAGGAGGUCUAAUCCAUCCUUCUCUUUUACUAGUUGCAUUGCGGGAGCAAGCAUUAACAACAUUUGCCGUUAUAGCAUGAAUCCCCAUAAAAAUGCGGAACGCAUCUUGAAACUUUUUUGUAUGAAUCAAUCUACGUCUAUCCCACCAUAAGUCCCAAGCGGUAAUAGCAAUCGAUUCACGAGCUUCCUGAGGCCCAAUAUAGAUAGACCCCGGUUUGGCGUAAGAAGUAAGAAUUCAAGGAUCGCCUCUCCCGCACGGUCAAUAACACAAGCUUUGUUAAUCCCUCGGUCCAUUCCCAACUUAUUGCAACCCCCCUUUGCUUUCCGAGAAAGAAACACCAUGUGUUUUGUAUCUUCUGGCCCAUUAAAACACGAGGGGCAAAUGGGCGAAAUUUCUAGAUGUCUAUUGGUAAGCGUAACACGCGACACGCAGAGUGCCAGUAUGCCAAACGGGUGACAUGACACGGAUUCACGCUGGAGUUGGCGUUGCUCGUAACAGAAAACACAAAACACAGAACAUGGGUAGCUGCAAACUACUCCCUCUGUAAACUAAUAUAAGAGCGUUUAGAUUACUAAAGUAGUGAUCUAAACGCUCUUAUAUUAGUUUACGGAGGGAGUAACUAACACGCCCCUUCAAAAAAAAAAAAAACUAACUAACACGCGUGGCCCACGUCUCAGAGAUGUACUUCCAGCUGGNNNNNNNNNNNNNNNNNNNNNNNNNNNNNNNNNNNNNNNNNNNNNNNNNNNNNNNNNNNNNNNNNNNNNNNNNNNNNNNNNNNNNNNNNNNNNNNNNNNNNNNNNNNNNNNNNNNNNNNNNNNNNNNNNNNNNNNNNNNNNNNNNNNNNNNNNNNNNNNNNNNNNNNNNNNNNNNNNNNNNNNNNNNNNNNNNNNNNNNNNNNNNNNNNNNNNNNNNNNNNNNNNNNNNNNNNNNNNNNNNNNNNNNNNNNNNNNNNUCCAGCUGGCCUCCUCCUCAAUCAUCCAUCCAUCCUCUCCCAAAUCCAGCGGAGCUUUGCUUCCUCUUCCUCUUCCUCUUCUCCCCUCAACCCAAACUCAAAUCCAAAUCCCCGAACCCACCGGCGAUGGCGCGCGGCGGCCGCUCCGAGAAGAGCGGCGGCGGGUGCGGGCGGUGCUGCCUGGGGUUCCUGCUCAAGCUCCUCGCCUUCCUGCAGGCCUUCGCCGCCCUCUCCGCCGUCCUCUACGCCGCCUCCAUCCUCUCCCGGUGGGCGCGCCACCAUGAGCUCCACAUCCACCACCUCCUCCCAGACCUAUGGUAUGUACUUCUAUCUCCUCUAUCUCCCUCCCGCCCUCCACUUCCCUUCCCGCCGGUAUGUAAUCCUGAUCCAACUUUUUGGCCCGCAGGUUCGCGUGCGCCGUCAUGGCCGCCGGCCUCCUCUACUGCGCCAUCCUCCUCGCGGGCUACGUCGCCGCCGAGGUCAGCAGCGGGUGCUGCCUCUGCUUCGUAAGAUCCACCACAACUCAUACUCAUCCAUCCAUUCAUUCCCCCUCGUGCUUGCUUGUGAAUAAGCAUAUUCAUAUUCAUUCCUAGUGAUUGGUGUAUCCGUACUAAUUAAUCAUUUGUUUCUGAUGAUAACAACUGAUUAUUCCAGUACACCGGCUUGGCAAUGGUGAUGAUGCUGCUCGAGGCCGCCGUGGCCGGACGCAUCCUCCUCAACGAGCACUGGAUCCAGGUGGGUUCAUUGGAUGCACAUUCAUUCCCCUGACAGCAAUAAGUUCAGUUCAGUUGAUAAAACCAGAGCACUGAUCGAUUCCUCUUCUUCUUGCAGGAUCUGCCGCAUGACCGCACCGGAGAGCUUGAGAACCUCGUCUCCUUUGUCAAUGCCAACCUCGACCUCUGCAAAUGGGCUGCUCUCGCUACCGUUGCCACUCAGGUGCGUCAGAUUGAUAUGAACAAGCAUUUUCAUCAGUUCAAACGGCACGCCAAGUAUACACAUGCCUUUAAGUUGCAUGCUCCAAUAAGGCUCUUCCACAGUAAUUUCCACUAGUAAUAACUAAUAAGAUAAACAAACCUACUCUGUUUUCCUUUCCACCUCGAGGAGGAUGAUCUGAUCUGUUUACAUGUACAGGCACUCUCGCUUUUCUUGGCGAUGGUUCUACGAGCCAUGGUUUCACCCACGAGUGGUGACUAUGACAGUGAUGAAGAUUUUGUGGUCAUAAGGAGGCCGCUGCUUAUUGCCCGAGGAGCUCCAUCCUAUCUCCCUACCACCGCCGACCCCAGGGGUGGUCAUCCGAACUUAUGGAGCUCAUCAAUGAGGCAGAAGGUGAGAAUUGCUUAUCCUCCAACGCUUGCUUGCACUGAUUUCAGAUGGGACUAUGCAACCUAAGCAAGAGUGCACUAUCGUUAACGACAAUAUGUUUGCUAUACUGUGCAACACUGUUCAUCCUAGCAAACUGAAGAAUGUUUUGAAUCGUUAAUCAAGCACAUAUUUUGCUACAUUGAAAAAAGCACAUAUUUUUUCCUUUUAGUUUCAAUUUGACAAGAUUAUUUUGCUGGAAACUUUUAUAUUUGCUCUUACUUUCAUGAGUCAUGGCCCUCAGCUGCUUGAUACCAUAAUUAUCUUGUACUCUACUACUAUAUGUGUAGUCCAGCGGAGGAUUUAGAACACAACCUGAUUGUAGCACACACCGUAGUUGAAGCAUUUCUAGAUGAGUACUAGUUCGUUUUGUUUACUCCUACAAGGCUAUAACCAAGCAAGCAAUCUGAAGAAAAAGGUGUUAAAGUUGUAUUGUUGUAUGCUGAUUAGUGAUUACACAUUAUCUGGGUUGGAUCAUAUGUUAGCUUUAGGGUCAAGUUAGUACUAUCCUUUAUACUUUUUCAAUACAUCAAAGACGCAAGCCUUUUGUGUCGUUGAGUUGUAAAGACUAAAGACAGACUAGUUGGCUGGAAACCGUUCGCAUACAUUUCUUUAGCAGAGAUGCAACAAUAAUGUGGAGCACGUUGAUUGCAAAAGUUACACGCCCCAAUAGUGAGUCCUGUAUUUCUACUUGAGAUUAUGUCUGCACAUCACUCUUCUCCCUAGCAAACUGAAAGAAUAUUUUGAACCAUUAAGGAAGCACAUAUUUUUCUAUUUGGCUUCAAUUCGUCAGGCUUAUUUUGCUGGAGACUUUUAUGUCUCAACAUUUGCUGUUACUCAUGAGUCAUGAUGCUCAUCUGCUUGAUAGCCUCUGUCAUAAGUUUUUUUUCUUCUUUUUUUCUACCGUAAUUGUUUUGUACUCUACUGCAUGAGUCUGACAAUCUAACCUUAUGCGAAAUCUUAUUAUCUUGCUUAUUAUUAUUAUUUUAUAGUAUGACUCGUUUCAUAUAUCAUGAAAGGCUAUGACGAUGUAACCUCAAGCCAAAUAGCAAAAAAAUCAUGGCGACUUUAUUAUAUGAACGAAUCGCGCCCUUCGUUCAACACUGAAAAUCUAUUCCCAUCCCACCAGCCCUGUGUUUCUUCUUGAUUACUACAUCAACUGAAAAGAGCAAUGUGAACUAAUAAUUUUUUUUCCUCCUUUGUGCCCUCUAGUAUGGACUGAACUCCUCGGGGGACUACACCUACAACACACUGGGUCAAAAUGCAGUGCCACCGCAGUGAGAAGCUUAUGUGCGACAGGUGAUGAAGGAAGAGCAUGCAUGGCUUUGUUGGAAGCACCUGUGCAGCAUAUUUGUAGUAUCUGGUUAUAUUCCAUGGUGUAAUGCGCACUAUAUAAUUUGUGCAUCCAGCCAAUCUCGAACUCAUUGUACAUAGUUCCAUCAUUAGUGAAGAUCAUGUAUGUGUGACCCUGGCUGGCUAGUUGGAAAGGACUUGUUGUCAACAUUUCGUUGGAUGUUUGUUAAGCUAGCUGGUGAUAGCAGUUUAUGAUGUGAAAAAAGAUCUUGUAAAGUAAUGUUACUAGCACAGUUUCACUUGUGUGGUGAGAUAGUAUUGAUAUGCCGCCAAGUAUUACAUGCUAUGUAUCUGUUCUUAAACCUCCUCUCUUGGGUGCAGCGGCACUUUGCAUAAAAAAUGAUCUUUCAGAAGUACUCCCUCCGUCUCAUAAUGUAAGACGUUUUUCGACGUUGAAAAAUGUCUUACAUUAUGAGACGGAGGGAGUACUAUGCUAAAUAACUUUGAGGUAAGGUUUUUUUGUUUUUGAAAUGGAGGCAAAAGAUUUGCCUCAUAUAUCAAUUAAGAAGAGGAUAUAAUUUUUGAUACAAGCCCCAAACUGCAUAGCACUCAUGCAUUGUCAUGCUGUAGCUCGCCAUUGUUCAAAUGUUCAUAUGAUGGAGCAACCCUGUAUUUUGUUUUUUGUUUUGAAAGGUCGUCCCUGCGUGCGCGCCCACGCUGCAGACCUCACCUACGUACGCCACGCACCCUCCCGCGCAGGGUCUCCUGUCGGUCGACGCUGUGGUUCCAACGCUUCCCCUCCAUGCUCCCACGUGCUCCUGCUCACUGAUUGAAUAGCAGCUCCUACCAGCUACCUAAAAGCCCCGCUCCAAACGGCCAAGCUAAGGAAGAUGAUGCCCACCCCACAUGCAUUUGCCCGCCCCGAUCUUGUGCUACAAACCUCUCUGUUUGUUUCGUCGUUUAGAUGCGUGCGCGUGCGUUCUAGGGCUAGUUCACUGAUCAGAGACAACGCGCACGUAUUCUGAAUUACAAGUUCAUGGCUGGAUUCAGAGGAAUAGCACUUUUUUUUUUCUCUUGUGUGCAUGCAGAUUGCAGAAACACACAAGAAAAAAGCCCUCUUCUUGUGCUCCUUUCCUUUGUACUCCCUCUGUAAACUAAUAUAAGAGCAUUUAGAUAACUACUUUAGUGAUCUAAACGCUCUUAUAUUAGUUUACAAAGGGAUUACUCUCUAAAUCGUUUAAUCAAGAUGAGUAGAUUCAGGACUCACGCACAAGACUAUUUGGAAGAAGAAAUUCAGGCACCAAAUCAAGGUGAGUGGAUUCAGGCCCGCACUCGGAGAAUAAUCAACGGCACGCACAUCGAUCAACACGGGUAUAAUUAACAACAAGAUAGACUUGCAACAAGAGAAUGACUUUAGCUUUACAGUCCGAUGGAAUUCAGCAGAAAUUGAGAUUAUUCUUCCACCCAACCCAACACGCAUCAGUCAGAAAAAUCCAGACACCAACCAAACGCCUACCACCACAGUAGCAGCCACUUGCCUGCCUUGAGCGCCGCCGAUCGAGGUCGAGGCUCCCACCACCGCACCACCACCAUGAUGCCACGUCAGUAGCACGGGACGACGACGCAGCGCCUGCGCCGGGGCUGCGGCGAGCAGACGACGAACAGCAGCAUGAUGACGAAGGCGGCCAUCACCAGCGGCAGCAGGUUGAACCCCGCCUCCUCCUCCUCCUGGCUGCAGCACAUCUUCCCCAUGGCCGAUCGCCCGCUCGCUUUUCUCACAGACAGAGCAGUUUCUUGGCUUGGAGGAACAAGGAGACUGGGCGAGGAACAAGGGAAGAAGUCCUUCUUUCGUGGUGCAGUGGGAUUUCUGCUGUAUCUAUCUGUCUUAAAGACCACUCCCCUCUCUCUUCCUCCCCCUCUCCGCGUCCGGUGGGUCUCUGAAUGAAACUUCUACACUAUUUCCCUAUGGCACUUGUGAAGUUGGCUCGCUUGCGUGGUUUGUGGCAUCAUGCAUGUGGCGGUGGUUGCGGCGUCGCCGUCGAGCUCUUCUAUUCCGCUUCCAUGAUGGGAUUUCUUUUCGCUUGUUGGGACCGUCUGGUUGGGGACGCGACAAUAGAGUCGAGUCCACCAAUCCAUCAAUCAAUCACCUACGCACCCACCGCGAGGACAGACCCAGAGCUAGCCCACUACCAACAGAUCGAUCAGGACGCUUGGGUGGGCCUGCUACGGGCAGCAGGUAGCUUCUAAAUACAUCCAUUUUCGAGACAAGUAAUUCCGAACGGAGGGUACAUCCAUUUCCAAGGCAAGUAAUUCCGAACGGAGGGAGUACGUAGGAGUGCAGCAUGCUUUAGUUUAGUUAGUUAAUUACCAACUGACACUGCAGGUCUGGUCAAUGCGUCUUCUCCUCUGUGUUGGUACUGUUGUUGAUAGUACAAUCGUACGUACUGUCAUUAUCGUCAGGCGAUUAGUCUAAACCUCGGUUGAUUUGGACGCCGGUGAAAAGCAUGGCUGGAAGCAGCCGCCGGCUCUACUGAAAAUUCCGUGAUGGUGAAAGACCCGACUUUGUGUUUUUGCUGCUCUGUUUAAUGCGUGUUGUUCAGCAAAUCAGCAUGAUUGUAUGCAGUAUAUAGAUAUCAUUGACAUUUGCACUGAAAGCAUGGUAUGUAUGCAUGAUUAAUUGAGCACGCAAGUGGCGAUUACUCUACGCCAAUUUGGGCACCGAUACGCGCAUGGAUAGUAUACUUUUAUACCAAGAACACCUUUGCUGUCAGGGUACGACCUUGAUCGGGUGCUUGCCGCGACUAGGUCAGGGCCUCCCACCUUACUAGUAAAUCUUAAUGUAAACAUAUACCAUCGCAAAUUCCCAAUGAUUGAGACGGCAAUGCUACUACUCCUGAUGCAUCAUUGUAUUGCCAUGCAUUUAUUCGUUUUGAGAAAAGGAGAAGCUGACGUGCACCGCAAAGGUACACGCCGGCCUAAAUUAUAGAUGUUUGCCACUCUUUUCUAUGUAAGUGUGGGCCAUUCGACAUUUCUAGGUCGGUUAUAUUUAAGGAAUUUUACCCUUUCUUUUGUACUCGUUUGUAUUUUUGACAGGAAUUACACCAUUUAAGGAAUAUUAAUCCAUUUUACCCCAUUUAGUGAGACGUGUGCCGCAUUUUACCCUUUUAUUGUUUUAAGUAUGUUCUAUCAAGCUGGUCUAAUUUCUAUCAAAAAAGUCAAAUGAGGGUGGUAGAGACUAGGAUUUGAUUUUUUGGGGUUUAUUUUUAUGUGAUAGCGGGUGGUAUAGGCUUGGAGCAAAUAUAUACUUAUAAUUCAUACUUUGCAUUUUGUUUAAAAGAUGGUGUCACGUUAAGUUCAGUUCAAUAGUUUUUCUCUUUUUAUUCAUCAUUCCGUCACAUACUUUCUAGAUUUUAUUGUUUUAAAAUACAAAUUUAGAACACUCUUAAAUUUGUUUUUCUAAUAGUUUUAGUUUUUUAAGUACCUAUUUAUGCAUUUGUUUCAACAUGGUUCCCUAGGCAGCGCACAUGACAUGAUCUAGUUUCAUCAAGAAUCAUCCCCCCAAGUUACCGGAACGUUUAUGCCUUUUAAUUUGUACCAGAAAAAAACCCUCCCAAUUUACCGGAACAUUUCUGCGUUUUAGUUGUACAAUUUUUUCUCUCAAAUACCAUAAGCAAUUGUAGGUUAAUUGAUAGUGAAUUCCACUUUACCUUCUAGAUUAGGUUGGUGACCCUUUUUACCCAUUUAGCAAAUUAAUUCCGCUUUUCCCUUUUAAAAGGUUUGUAUCGUUCUGUCGGGUGGGGGCCAACUGCCAUUGUCCCAUGGAGUUGCGAGUCAAAUGCCGCAUCGGUGUCACAUUCCUCCGAGCGGCAUCCGACGCAGUAGAUGGGACGCAGUUGGGCGACCUGGCUAGGCCAAACCACACCCGAGUUGCCCUAUCUCAAAUAAGUGACCUAGGGUUUUGGAGGCGAAAGUAGCAUGGCCUUGGAGGAAGCGGCAAUGAUAUCGGUUGAUGAUGAAGCAACCUUAAACUACAGGACGUCGCAGCCUUACAGGACAUGUGAUAGUGGGAAAUAGAUGAAUUUAUUUUAGUAUUUUCUCCGUUCCAUAAUAUAAAAGCGUUUUUGACACUACUUAUAUUAUAUAUUUGAGACGAAGGGAGUACGGACGUGUUUGGUUCUUGUCCACGUCAUUUUAUGCCUGGCCUGGAUGGUCCCUGGGAUGUGCCUGGGACUUGUUUGUUUUGCGUCCUCAAAAAGUAGAUGGCUGCCUGGCCUGGCCCUCCGCCAAGUGUGUGAUUAGCCUGGCCCAGGUAGGAUUAGCCCAGGCGCCGUGAUUAGCCAGAGCCAGGCGUCCUGUCCCUUGCGCCUGGCAUGCAGCAACAGCAGCCUGGGAGUAUUUUAAUACUUUCUCUGUUCAUUUUUAUAAGACUUUGAAGACAUUUCAGACAAUGUGCAAAACAGCCUAUUUUGAGUUGUCUGAAACGACUUACAAAAGUGAACGGAGGGAGUAUCAAGAACUGUACGGUCUGCUAUUUAAAAACAAUAUUAACAACCCACCAGGCAGCGGCAUGUAAGGACAGGAACCAAACACCCACACUACAGGCAGGCCUCGUCAGGAAAAAAGUUGCAUCUUUCCAGGCACUAACCAGGCAGCUCAUUCUCCCAGGCAAGCUCUCGAGGCCUCGAACCAAACUGACCCUACAUGCGUGCGUGUUCUUAGACCAUCGAUCACCCACACGCUGCGCCCUCUGCCUGCCCAACUGUUUGCCUCUGCUCUGAGACUCGCUCAACAUGGAGAAACAAGAAAAAAGGUGAUGGCUUGGGUCGAGUCACGUGACCUGGUGGUGCUGAACCAUGUUGCUCCACGUUGUGUGCCGCGUGGGAGACACUUCACAUGAAUGUGCCUCCGAACCCGAGGCUGACCCAGAUCGCUAUUUGGGAUUGGCAACAGGACCUGCCUAACAGGCGAGUUUUCCGGUUCCACUUGCAAUGGAGUCAAGAUCUUGGGAUCCCACUCCCACCCCCACGGGUGGAGUUUUUCUUCUAGUACUACAUUGCUUGCUUGCAUGAGUGACAGAGGCUCUCUAGCUAGAUGCGGGCUGGCCGUAACAUUGUCCCGAGGUGAAUGUUUUACGGCCAUUGAUCAGAGAAUUACUGAUCAAUGGAAAGUUAGAGAAUUACUGACAUUAGAUUACAAGUCUGGUCAAUGCGUCUUCUUCUGCUUUUUUGGGUAGCUGGUAGCUCCAAUACAGUGGUACCUACUGUCAUUGUCACCUGGCAAUUGAUUUGAACCUCGGUUGAUUUAGACACUGGUGAAAAGCAUGACUGCUGGUACUGCUAGAAAUGCCAUGCCGGACUGUUUUACUGCUCUGUUUCAGUACACAUAGUACAACAUACAUGAUUCUGGGUAUGGAUGUGAUCGACUUUUGCACCGAAAACAGGGUAUAUGCAUGAUUGACUCGGCAAGUAGCGAUUACUCUACGUCAAAUUGGGUGAUGCUACGCGCAUAACUAGCACUUCCGUCGAGAGCCACUUGCUGUCUUUGUACGACCUUGAUCGGGUCAUCCUUCACCGCGAUUAGGUCAGGUCAGGUCUCACUCCUACCAGACCUGACCUGACCUUCAGUCCUGAUGUAAACAAAGAGCACUGGGAAGAUGGCAACGCAACUCCCGGUGCAUCAUCCCCGCAAACAAAACUCCCGGUGCAUCAUCUAUUUGCCAUGCAUAGUCGUUUUGAUUAUAUCACAACCUGACGUGCACCACAAAAGGUACACGCCUGCUUGGAUCCGGAAUUUGCCUAUCUCCUUUGUGUGUGUGUGUGUGUGUGUGUGUGUGUGUGUGGCCUUCAACUUUUUCAGCGGCAAAUUGAUAGUGAGUUUCACUUCUACUCUCUAACAAUAUUGAGUUCGUGACACCUUUUACCCCCAUCUAUACCUGCCAUAUGUUGGGCCAGGCCGGGCCUAACAAAGCCCGUACCAGAAAACUUAGGCUUGUGCCUGGCCUAGCCCGGUCGUCAGGCCUAGAUCUCAGGCCCAAGCCCGCCCCAUCAGUGGAAAAGCCAUCUAGGCCUCAGCCCUCCCCUUCCCUAAAUCGCAAAUAUGACAAGCCCAAGCCCGACCUGGCUUGUCCAUCGGGCCUAGAUCUUAGGCCCAGGCCUGGCCCAUGGGCAAGCCUGGGCCGGGUCGAGCUUUUUUGGGCCGGACGGGCCGGGUUUCCCAUGUCCAGGUAUACCCUCAUCAAGCACGUAUUUUCAGAUAGACCCUAUUUAAGCAAAUUUGUCCAUUGUUUACCCCUUUUGAUGUUUUGCUUUGUUCUUUUCGUCGGGGCCAAUCACUCAGUCUCAGUCUCACGUGGAGAGGUGACUUAGAUGCUACAUCGGUGGCAUGCUCAUCCGAGAUGCGUAUGACAUAGUAGAUGGGAUGCAGGGUGACUAGGUUAAGCUCGACUAGCGCGCUCGACUCAAGUGCAGUUCGACUAGCUUAGUUAGGGAUUUGGAAGCAUAAAGCUCGGGCUGCGGUGACUUGUCCUCAAAGGAACUGGUAAAGGGUAGCGGUAGAUACUGAAGCAACCCUAAACUACAUGCCAACAUAAGACCCUUGCUAGGCUCCUUCUCCUCACCCCGCAAUUCACCUCUGCUCCUGAACUACCACAUGGCGAAACAAGGAUGGUCAUCAUUGACUUGGGUGAGUCGUGUGGCCUGUUCGGCCAUAACCUUGUUGUCCUACACCGUGUUUUGUGUUAGAGACGCCUCGAAUCAAUGCGCCUCCAAACUAUUGGUUGAUCAGCUCACCAAUUAGGACAAUCAAUGUGGUCCACCCUGUUAGGGCAUAAUUUUCCCUGGUUUGUUUUGGUGAUUGAUGACAAUACUUUUGCAGACUAAUCGUGUGCAUUAAGCUUUCCAGGUUAUCUAAUAUAAGGGCACUAUGCGAUUGUUUCCCCUCGAGGACUUCACUUUAGACGGAUUAUUUUCCCUCAUUUCUUUUUGGUGGAAUUGAGUCGUAGGGAUAACCAUACUAUCAAGAGGGGAUCCGUUUCGGAAGAGUAUGGGUGGAAUCAUCACGUACACACUCUCCUUGCACCCUCGCCUUCUUCCUGCUUCUUUGGAGUAUCUGUGCUGUGCAAAACAAGGGGUGCUGAGUGCUAAGCGGUAGUACCACGGUCAGGGCGGUAGUACCGCCUAGCGGCGGUAGUACCGCUUGUUAGUGCCGCUGGCACUAUCGCCCCUGCCGUGGUCUCGAUUUUUCAUGUCAGGUUUCCGUAAAGGACCACUCAGGGGAGCGGUAGUAGGGAAAACAGUAGGGUGCGAUAGUGCCGCUUAUAUUAGCGGUAGUACCGCUCCUACGUCCGCUCCAACUGCCGCUCAGCUCGCUGCCCUCCUCUAUUUUCCAGCGGCUGUAGGGAGCGGCAGUACCGCUUAUCGGCAGUAGUACCGCCCACAGGGAGGUAGUACCGGCCUAGUGCGUGUAUUUCUCCUCGCUCAGCCCUGGUUUCCCUAUGCCUUCUUGCCAUAGCGGUAGUACCGUUGUGGCAACGGUAGUACCGCUCCGAUAACGGUAGUACCGCCCAGAUGCGGGCUGCGGGCUGCAUAACGGUUGGAUGUGUCCGCCCUCUAUAUAUAGGGGUCUUCUUCUCCAAGAAGACUUACCCCUUCUUCCCCAAAACUCCAUUGUUGCUCCACAAGCUUAUUUUCGCCCGAUCUCUCUCCAUAGAUAAUCAAACUUGUUGAUUUUCUAGGGAUUGGUUGAGAAGGCCCAGAUCUACACUUCCACCAAGAUAAAUUUGAUCCCCCCACUAAUCCCUUGCGGAUCUUGUUAUUCUUGGGUGUUUGAGCACCCUAGAUGGUUGAGGUCACCUUGGAGCCAUAUUCCAUUAUGGUGAAGCUCCAUGGUUUCGUUGGGAGCCUCCAAUUAAGUUGUGGAGAGAGCCCCAACCUUGUUUGUAAAGGUCCGGUUGCCGCCUUCAAGGGCACCAAUAGUGGAAUCACGACAUCUCGCAUUGUGUGAGGGCGUGAGGAGAAUACGGUGGCCCUAGUGGCUUCUUGGGGAGCAUUGUGCCUCCACACCGCUCCAACGGAGACGUACUUACCCUCAAAAGGAAGGAACUUCGGUAACACAUCCUCGUCUUCACCGGCUCCACUCUUGGUUAUCUCGUGCCUUUACUUGUGCAAGCUUAUUUGUAUUAUAUCCCUUGCUUGCUUGUGUGCUUGUUGUUGUUGCAUCAUAUAGGUUGCUCACCUAGUUGCAUAUCUAGACAACCUACUUUGAUGCAAAUUUUAAAUUGGUAAAGAAAAGCUAAAAUUGUUAGUUGCCUAUUCACCCCCCUCUAGUCAACUAUAUCGAUCCUUUCAAUUGCUAUCAGAGCCUCAUCUCUUUAUUAAGGACUUCACCGUCCGAAGAGUAUGAUUGACAGCGUAGACGGUGAGGAGGAGCACUCCAGUGCGAAUCUGUUCUCGUCUAUGGCCGAUGGGGGAACCGCGGUCUCUCAUGAGGAAUUCAAUGUGGCUUUGGACUUGUUGAAAACCUCCAUGAUGACCGAGGUUGAAAGCAUGUUUAAUAAAUUCUUAGAAGGGCUUAAACUAUCUACCGCACCAAUGUAAGUGGGUGAUCCCACUAACAAGGUGACAGAUGCUAACUCCGACAAGGGGGAAGCUACUAGUGAAAAGGCUCCUUCUUCUAGUGGUAAAAUUGGCAACAACAUCUUUGCCCAUGUGGAGCCUCCACUUACUUAUGGUGGACCGAUUCCUUCCACUCAUUUGAAUCAUGCCGGUCCUCCCCCUAAGGUUGUGAAAAAUGAGGCCUUUGAUUCUUGGGUUUAUUGCUUUAAGCGUCAUUUGAACCAUAUUAAUACUAACCAUUGGAGAAUCAUUGAAGAAGGUUUUUAUCCGCAUGACCGAAGCAACUUCACCCCUAGAGAAGCUGCGGAUAACCAAUUCAGCGAGAAUGCUCUCUUCAUCAUCCAAGAUGCUAUCCCUCCGGAAGAUAUUGCGCAUCUCCGACCAUUCACCGUGGCAAAGGAAGCAUGGCACCAUGUUGUUUCCCUUUACAAGGGAAGUGCAAGCAUUUGACGCUCCAACUAUGAAGUGGUGCAAGAUGAAGCCGAUGAAUUUGCUAUGAAUGAAGGUGAAGAACCUCAUGAGCUCUAUCGGAGACUAACCACACUCGCGGUCUCACUCCGCGAUCAUGGGAGCAAGGAUACAAAUGACAAUUGGAUCAAGCGGAAAUUUCUCAAAGCCAUGACGCCUUACCAUAAGGCCGGAAUUCCACACCUUGUCCUCAAGCGAAGUGUUGGAUGAGUUUGUGGCAAUGAGUAUCUUGGACAAGACCGCCGACAAUGCGGUAUUGCAUUCUCAAAGAGCCAAGAAGCCCAAUCUUGCUUUGAAGGCCAAGGCUAGUGUGGAAGAAGAGGAGGAAGAGGAAGAAGAGGAGAGCAACCCCGAAGAUACAAAAUAUGAUUAUCAUGAGCACAUGGCUCUCUCUUCAAGACAAUUUUGGAGCAAGAAGAACUCAAGGCCCAACUUCAACAAGAGCAACUCAAGUGGCGUCAAGAGCAAGCAACGGGUGAGGACUUGCUACAAUUGCCGCAAUCUGAGCCACUUUGUUGCGGAAUGCCCCGAUGAGAAGAGGGAAGACAAUGGUGGCAAGCUCAUCCGGAAGGACAAGGCCAAGUCUUUCCCCAACAAGAACCACUUCACUAAGAAGACUCCUCCCAAGGGAUUGGUGGCACAAGAAGAGUACAAUGAGGAUGAUGAUGAAGAUGGUGAGACGGUUGCCAUGGCCUCCAUGGCCAUCGCGACAACACCCCGGGCGUCCCUCUUCAUCACCCAAUGAGAACAUAACCGCCAAAUGCCUCAUGGCUAAAGCCACCAACAAGGUAAACCCCAACAUCAAAACUACCAUCAUAACUCAUCCUUNNNNNNNNNNNNNNNNNNNNNNNNNNNNNNNNNNNNNNNNNNNNNNNNNNNNNNNNNNNNNNNNNNNNNNNNNNNNNNNNNNNNNNNNNNNNNNNNNNNNNNNNNNNNNNNNNNNNNNNNNNNNNNNNNNNNNNNNNNNNNNNNNNNNNNNNNNNNNNNNNNNNNNNNNNNNNNNNNNNNNNNNNNNNNNNNNNNNNNNNNNNNNNNNNNNNNNNNNNNNNNNNNNNAUUUGAGUCUUUUAUGAGUAAGCUUAAGGGUAAAUCCAAGAAGCACUUCGUUGCUCUCUUGGAACAACUUGGUGAAGCCAAUGACAUGAUCGAGGCUCAUGAAGACACCAUCUCUAAGAUGGAGGGGCAUAGUCGUGACUACGCCGAUGAGAUAUCAGAUCUCUCUAAUGCUCUCGAGGAAGAGCGUGGUCAUCGCUUGGCUCUUGAGGAGUCACACAACAAUGACCAUGCUAAACUAAAGAAAGUUCUUGAUCAUGCUCUUGUUGUGUCUCGUGUGCUAAAUUCCGAGAAGGCCAAACUUGGUGUUGAUCUUGCUAGACUCAAGGAGGAGUUUUAUUUCCUUGACAAGGCUCACAAGGCCUUGAAGAGUACUCACGCUAAUCUUAAAGAGUCUCAUGAUCAACUCCAAGUGAUGCUAACCAAGGAGAAAGCCACUUUUCCUCAUAUGGUUUUAACUGAUAAUGCAAAUGCUACUAACCCUUGACGAGGAGUCUCGAAAUGGUUGAGACGUAAAGAUCGAUUUACUAGACGACUAUAUUCAGACAUCGGAAAGGUUCCGAGUGAUUCGAGUAUUUUUCGGAGUACGGGGGAGUUACGGGAAUACGGGGAAGAAGUAUUGGGCCUCAUGGGCCAAGUGAUGGAAGAGAGGAGGCAGGGCGCACAACCACCCUAGCCCAAACCGAAUAGGACUAGGGGGGCGGACCCCUUUCCUCCCUCUCCUUCCUUCUCCCCUUCCCCCUUCCUUUCCUCCUAGUAGGAGUAGGAAAGGGUAGUCCUACUCCUACUAGGAGGAGGACUCCUCCUCCUAGAGAGCCCUAGGAGGGCCAGCCAACCUCCCCCUUGCUCCUUUAUAUACGGGGGCAGGGGGCACGCUAGAACACACAAGUUGAUCAUUGAUCCCUUAGCCGUGUGCGGUGCCCCCCUCCACCAUAAUCCACCUCGAUCAUAUCAUAGCGGUGCUUAGGCGAAGCCCUGCGUCGGUAGCAACAUCAUCACUGUCAUCAUGCCAUCGUGUAGACGGAACUCUCCCAUGAAGCUCUGCUGGAUUGGAGUUCAUGGGACGUCAUCGAGCUCAACGUGUGCUGAACUUGGAGGUGCCGUUCGUUCGGUACUUGGAUCGGUCGGAUCAUGAAGACGUUCGACUACACCAACCGUGUUCUCAUAAUGCUUCCGCUUACGGUCUAUGUGUUGGGGAAUGUUGCAGAAAACAAAAAUUUUCUACGGUUUCACCAAGAUCCAUCUAGGAGUUCAUCUAGCAACGAGUGAUUAGAUGCAUCUACGUACCUUGUAGAAGCGUUCAAAGAACGGCGAUGAGGGAGUCGUACUCGACGUGAUUCGAAUCACCAAAGAUCCUAGCACCGAACGGACGGCACCUCCGCGUUCAACACACGUACGGAACAACCAUGUCUCCUCCUUCUUGAUCCAGCAAGGGGGAAGGAGAGGUUGAGGGAUAUGGCUCCAGCAGCAGCAUGACGGCGUGGUGGUGAUGGAGCUGCAGUACUUCGGCAGGGCUUCGCCAAGCACUAUGGAGGAGGAGGAUGUGUUGGAGAGGGAGAGGGAGGCACCAAAGAUCAAGGUCAGAAGUCCUCCAUCUCCCCCACUAUAUAUAGGAGGGCCAAGGGGGGGGGCACCGGCCCUAGGAGAUCUAAUCUCCUAGGGGGGUGCGGCCAAGGGGAGGAAUCCCUCCUCCUCAAGGCACCGGCCCUAGGAGGUGCCUUCCCCUCCUAGGACUCUUCCUCCUUGAAACCCUAGGCGCAUGGGCCUCUUGGGGCUGGUGCCCUUGGACCAUGUAGGCCAAGGCGCACCCCCUACAGCCCAUGUGGCUCCCCGGGACAGGUGGCCCCACCCGGUGGACCCCCGGGACCCUUCCGGUGGUCCCAGUACAAUACCGGUGACCCCGAAACUUGUCCCGAUGCCCGAAAUAGUACUUCCUAUAUAUAAUUCUUUACCUCCGGACCAUUUCGGAACUCCUCGUGACGUCCGGGAUCUCAUCCGAGACUCCGAACAACAUUCAGGUUACUGCAUAUACAUAUCCCUACAACCCUAGCGUCACCGAACCUUAAGUGUGUAGACCCUACGGGUUCGGGAGACAUGUAGACAUGACCGAGAUCGCUCUCCGGCCAAUAACCAACAGCGGGAUCUGUAUACCCAUGUUGGCUCCCACAUGCUCCUCGAUGAUCUCAUCGGAUGAACCACGAUGUCGAGGAUUCAAGCAACCCCAUAUACAAUUCCCUUUGUCGAUCGAUAUGUUACUUGCCCGAGAUUCGAUCAUCGGUAUCCCAAGACCUCGUUCAAUCUUGUUACCGGCAAGUCACUUUACUUGUACCGUAAUGCAUGAUCCCGUGACCAGACACUUGGUCACUUUGAGCUCAUUAUGAUGAUGCAUUACCGAGUGGGCCCAGUGAUACCUCUCCGUCAUAGGGAGUGAUAAAUCCCAGUCUUGAUCCGUGUCAACCCAACAGACACUUUCGGAGAUACCCGUAGUAUACCUUUAUAGUCACCCAGUUACGUUGUGACGUUUGGUACACCCAAAGCACUCCUACGGUAUCCGGGAGUUACACGAUCUCAUGGUCUAAGGAAAAGAUACUUGACAUUGGAAAACUCUAGCAAACGAACUAUACGACCUUGUGCUAUGUUUAGGAUUGGGUCUUGUCCAUCACAUCAUUCUCCUAAUGAUGUGAUCUCGGUUUCAAUGACAUCCAAUGUCCAUAGUCAGGAAACCAUGACUAUCUGUUGAUCAACAAGCUAAUCAACUAGAGGCUUACUAGGGACAUGUUGGUGUCUAUUAUUCACACAUGUAUUACGAUUUCCGGAUAACACAAUUAUAGCAUGAAUAAAGACAAUUAUCAUGAACAAGGAGAUAUAAUAAUAAUGCUUUUAUUAUUGCCUCUAGGGCAUAUUUCCAACAGUCUCCCACUUGCACUAGAGUCAAUAAUCUAGUUACAUUGUGAUGAAUCGAACACCCAUGGAAUUCUGGUGUUGAUCAUGUUUUGCUCUAGGGAGAGAUUUAGUCAACGGAUCUGCUACAUUCAGGUCCGUGUGUACUUUACAAAUAUCUAUGUCUCCAUCUUGAACAUUUUCACGAAUGGAGUUGAAGUGACACUUGAUGUGCCUUGUCUUCUUGUGAAACCUGGGCUCCUUGGCAAGUGCAAUAGCUCCAGUGUUGUCACAGAAGAGCUUGAUCGGCCCCGACGCAUUGGGUAUGACUCCUAGGUCGGUGAUGAACUCCUUCACCCAAAUUGCUUCAUGUGCUGCCUCCGAGGCUGCCAUGUACUCCGCUUCACAUGUAGAUCCCGCCACGACGCUCUGCUUGCAACUGCACCAGCUUACUGCCCCACCAUUCAAAAUAUACACGUAUCCGGUUUGUGACUUAGAGUCAUCCAGAUCUGUGUCGAAGCUAGCGUUGACGUAACCAUUUACGACGAGCUCUUCGUCACCUCCAUAAACGAGAAACAUUUCCUUAGUCCUUUUCAGGUACUUCAGGAUAUUCUUGACCGCUGUCCAGUGUUCCUUGCCGGGAUUACUUUGUUACCUUCCUACCAAACUUACGACAAGGUUUACAUCAGGUCUGGUACACAGCAUGGCAUACAUAAUAGAACCUAUGGCUGAGGCAUAGGGGAUGACACUCAUCUCUUCUAUAUCUUCUGCCGUGGUCGGACAUUGAGCUGAGCUCAAUUUCACACCUUGUAACACAGGCAAGAACCCCUUCUUAGACUGAUCCAUGUUGAAUUUCUUCAAUAUCUUAUCAAGGUAUGUGCUUUGUGAAAGACCUAUGAGGCGUUUGAUCUAUCUCUGUAGAUCUUGAUGCCUAAUAUAUAAGCAACUUCUCCAAGGUCCUUCAUUGAAAAACUCUUAUUCAAGUAGGCCUUAAUGCUGUCCAAGAGUUCUAUAUCAUUUCCCAUCAAAAGUAUGUCAUCUACAUAUAAUAUGAGAAAUGCUACAGAGCUCCCACUCACUUUCUUGUAAACGCAGGCUUCUCCAUAAGUCUGCGUAAACCCAAAUGCUUUGAUCAUCUCAUCAAAGCGAAUGUUCCAACUCCGAGAUGCUUGCACCAGCCCAUAAAUCGAGCGUUGGAGCUUGCAUACCUUGUCAGCAUUCUUAGGAUCGACAAAACCUUCCGGCUGCAUCAUAUACAAUUCUUCCUUAAGGAAACCAUUAAGGAAUGCCGUUUUGACGUCCAUUUGCCAUAUCUCAUAAUCGUAGAAUGUGGCAAUUGCUAACAUGAUUCGGACGGACUUCAGCUUCGCUACCGGCGAGAAAGUCUCAUCGUAGUCAACCCCUUGAACUUGUCGAUAACCCUUAGCGACAAGCCGAGCUUUAUAGAUGGUCACAUUACCAUCCACGUCUGUCUUCUUCUUAAAGAUCCAUUUAUUUUCUAUGGCUCGCCGCUCAACGGGCAAGUCAGUCAAAGUCCAUACUUCGUUUUCAUACAUGGAUCCUAUCUUAGAUUUCAUGGCUUCUAGCCAUUUGUCGGAAUCCGGGCCCGCCAUCGCUUCUUCAUAGUUCGAAGGUUCACCGUUGUCUAACAACAUGAUUUCCAAGACAGGGUUGCCAUACCAAUCUGGUGCGGAACGUGUCCUUGUGGACCUUCGAAUGUCAGUAGGAGCUUGAUCAGAAGUAUCCCGAUCAUCAUCAUUAACUUCCUCUCUAGUCGGUGCAGGCACCUCAGGAACAUUUUCUUGAGUUGCGCCAUUUUCCGGUUCAAGAGGUAAUACUUCAUCAAGGUCUACUUUCCUCCCACUUACUUCUUUCGAGAGAAACUCCUUCUCUAGAAAGGAUCCAUUCUUGGAAACAAAGAUCUUGCCUUCGGAUCUGAGGUAGAAGGUAUACCCAAUAGUUUCUUUAGGGUAUCCUAUGAAUACGCAUUUUUCCGACUUGGGUUCGAGCUUUUCAGGUUGAAGUUUCUUGACAUAAGCAUCGCAUCCCCAAACUUUUAGAAACGACAGCUUAGGUUUCUUCCCAAACCAUAAUUCAUACGGUGUCGUCUCAACGGAUUUCGACGGAGCCCUAUUUAAAGUGAAUGCGGCAGUCUCUAAAGCAUACCCCCAAAAAGAUAGCGGUAAAUCAGCAAGAGACAUCAUAGAUCGCACCAUAUCUAAUAGAGUGCGAUUAUGACGUUUGGACACACCAUUACACUGAGGUGUUUGAGGCGGCGUGAUUGUGAAACUAUUCCACAUUUUCUUAAGUGUGUGCCAAACUCGUGACUCAAGUAUUCUCCUCCACGAUCUGAUCGCAGGAACUUGAUUUUCCUGUCACGUUGAUUCUCAACCUCACUUUGAAAUUCCUUGAACUUUUCAAAGGUCUCAGACUUGUGUUUCAUUAAAUAGACAUACCCAUAUCUACUCAGGUCAUCAGUGAGGGUGAGAACAUAACGAUAGCCACUGCGAGCCUCAACACUCAUUGGACCGCACACAUCAGUAUGUAUGAUUUCCAAUAAGUUGGUUGCUCGCUCCAUUGUUCCUGAGAACGGAGUCUUGGUCAUUUUACCCACGAGGCAUGGUUCACACGUGUCAAAUGAUUCGUAAUCAAGAGACUCUAAAAGUCCAUCAGCAUGGAGCUUCUUCAUGCGUUUGACACCUAUGUGACCAAGGUGGCAGUGCCACAAGUAUGUGGGACUAUCAUUAUCAAUCUUACAUCUUUUGGUACUCACACUAUGAACAUGUGUAGCAUUACGCUCGAGAUUCAUUAGAAAUAAACCAUUCACCAUCGGAGCAUGACCAUAAAACAUAUCUCUCAUAUAAAUAGAACAACCAUUAUUCUCGGAUUUAAAUGAGUAGCCAUCUCGAAUUAAAUGAGAUCCUGAUACAAUGUUCAUGCUCAAAGCUGGCACGAAAUAACAAUUAUUAAGGUUUAAAACUAAUCCCGAAGGUAAAUGUAGAGGUAGCGUGCCGACGGCGAUCACAUUGACCUUGGAACCAUUCCCGACGCGCAUCGUCACCUCGUCCUUUGCCAGUCUCCGUUUAUUCCGCAUCUCCUAUUUUGAGUUACAAAUGUGAGCAACCGCACCGGUAUCAAAUACCCAGGGGCUACUACGAGUACUGGUAAGGUACACAUCAAUUACAUGUAUAUCACAUAUACCUUUCAUUUUGCCGGCCUUCUUGUCCGCUAAGUAUUUGGGGCAGUUCCGCUUCCAGUGACCACUUUCCUUGCAAUAAAAGCACUCAGUCUCGGGCUUGGGUCCAUUCUUUGGCUUCUUCCCGGCAGCUUGCUUGCCGGGCGCGGCAACUCCCUUGCCGUCCUUCUUGAAGGUUUUCUUACCCUUGCCUUUCUUGAACUUAGUGGUUUUAUUCACCAUCAACACUUGAUGUUCCUUUUUGACUUCUACCUCUGCUGAUUUCAGCAUUGCAAAUACUUCGGGAAUGGUCUUUUCCAUCCCCUGCAUAUUGAAGUUCAUCACAAAGCUCUUGUAGCUUGGUGGGAGCGACUGAAGGAUUCUGUCAAUGACCGCGUCAUCCGGGAGAUUAACUCCCAACUGAGUCAAGCGGUUAUGCAACCCAGACAUAGUGAGUAUGUGCUCACUGACAGAACUGUUUUCCUCCAUCUUACAGCUGAAGAACUUGUCGGAGAGUUGAUAUCUCUCUACCCGGGCAUGAGCUUGGAAAACCAUUUUCAGCUCCUCGAACAUCUCAUAUGCUCCGUGUCUCUCAAAACGCUUUUGGAGUCCCAGCUCUAAGCUGUAAAGCAUGCCGCACUGAACGAGGGAGUAGUCAUCGGUACGUGCCUGCCAAGCGUUCAUAACGUCUUGUUCUGCAGGGAGAACAGGUGCGUCACCUAGCGGUGCUUGUAGGACAUAAUCUUUCUUGGCAGCUAUGAGGAUGAUCCUCAGGUUCCGGACCCAGUCCGUGUAGUUGCUGCCAUCGUCUUUCAGCUUGGUUUUCUCUAGGAACGCGUUGAAGUUGAGGACUACGUUGGCCAUUUGAUCUAGAAGACAUAUUGUAAAAUAUUUAGACUUAGUUCAUGAUAAUUAAGUUCAUCUAAUCAAAUUAUUCAAUGAACUCCCACUUAGAUAGACAUCCCUCUUCUAGUCAUCUAAGUAUAACAUGAUCCGAGUUAACUAGGCCGUGUCUGAUCAUCACGUGAGACGGACUAGUCAACAUCGGUGAACAUCUUCAUGUUGAUCGUAUCUUCUAUACGACUCAUGCUCGACCUUUCAGUCUUCUGUGUUCCGAGGCCAUGUCUUUACAUGCUAGGCUCAUCAAGUCAUCCUAAGUGUUUGCAUGUGUAAAUCUAUCUUACACCCAUUGUAUGUGAACGUUAGAAUCUAACACCCGAUCAUCACGUGGUGCUUCGAAACAACGUACUGUCGCAACGGUGCACAGUUAGGGGGAACACUUUCUUGAAAUUAUUAUGAGGGAUCAUCUUAUUUACUACUUUAGUUCUAAGCAAACAAGAUGCAAAACAUGAUAAACAUCGCAUGCAAUCAAAAUAAUAAUAGUGACAUGAUAUGGCCAAUAUCACAUAGCUCCUUUGAUCUCCAUCUUGGGGCUCCAUGAUCAUCUUGUCACCGGCAUGACACCAUGAUCUCCAUCAUCAUGAUCUCCAUCAUUGUGUCUCCAUGAAGUUGCUCGCCAACUAUUACUUCUACUACUAUGGCUAACGCGUUUAGCAAUAAAGUAAAGUAAUUUACAUGGCGUUUCUCAAUGACACGCAGGUCAUACAAAAAAUAAAGACAACUCCUAUGGCUCCUGCCGGUUGUCAUACUCAUCGACAUGCAAGUCGUGAUUCCUAUUACAAUAGCAUGAACAUCUCAUACAUUACAUAUAGAUCAUUCAUCAUUCAUCACAACUUUGGCCAUAUCAUAUCACAAAGCACUUGCUGCAAAAACAAGUUAGACGUCCUCUAAUUGUUGUUGCAAGUUUUACGUGGCUGAAAUAGGGUUCUAGCAAGAACGUUUUCUUACCUACGUGAAAGCCACAACGUGAUUUGUCAACUUCUAUUUACCCUUCAUAAGGACCCUUUUCAUCGAAUCCGCUCCAACUAAAGUAGGAGAGACAGACACCCGCCAGCCACCUUAUGCAACUUGUGCAUGUUAGUCGGUGGAACCGGUCUCACGUAAGCGUACAUGUAAGGUUGGUCCGGGCCGCUUCAUCCCACAAUACCGUUGAAGCAAGAUAAGACUAGUAGCGGCAAGAAAGUUGACAACAUCUACGCCCACAACAAAUUGUGUUCUACUCGCGCAAGAAGAACUACGCAUAGACCUAGCUCAUGAUGCCACUGUUGGGGAACGUUGCAGAAAACAAAAAAUUUCUACGGUUUCACCAAGAUCCAUCUAGGAGUUCAUCUAGCAACGACUGAUUAGAUGCAUCUACGCACCUUGUAGAUCGCGAGCGGAAGCGUUCAAAGAACGGGGAUGAGGGAGUUGUACUCGACGUGAUUCGAAUCACCGAAGAUCCUAGCACCGAACGGACGGCACCUCCGCGUUCAACACACGUACGGAACAGCCACGUCUCCUCCUUCUUGAUCCAGCAAGGGGGAAGGAGAGGUUGAGGGAGAUGGCUCUAGCAGCAGCACGACGGCGUGGUGGUGAUGGAGCUGCAGUACUCCGGCAGGGCUUCGCCAAGCACUAUGGAGGAGGAGGAUGUGUUGGAGAGGGAGAGGGAGGCACCAAAGAUCAAGGUCAGAAGUCCUCCAUCUCCCCCACUAUAUAUAGGAGGGCCAAGGGGGGGCGCCGGCCCUAGGAGAUCUAAUCUCCUAGGGGGGUGUGGCCAAGGGGAGGAAUCCCUCCUCCCCAAGGCACCUAGAAGGUGCCUUCCCCUCCUAGGACUCUUCCUCCUUGAAACCCUAGGCGCAUGGGCCUCUUGGGGCUGGUGCCCUUGGCCCAUGUAGGCCAAGGCACACCCCCUACAGCCCAUGUGGCCCCCCGGGACAGGUGGCCCCACCCGAUGGACCCCCGGGACCCUUCCGGUGGUCCCGGUACAAUACCGGUGACCCCGAAACUUGUCCCGAUGCCCGAAAUAGUACUUCCUAUAUAUAAUUCUUUACCUCCGGACCAUUCCGGAACUCCUCGUGACGUCCGAGAUCUCAUCAGGGACUCCGAACAACAUUAGGGUUACUGCAUAUACAUAUCCCUACAACCCUAGCGUCACCGAACCUUAAGUGUGUAGACCCUACGGGUUCGGGAGACAUGUAGACAUGACCGAGAUCGCUCUCCGGCCAAUAACCAACAGCGGGAUCUGGAUACCCAUGUUGGCUCCCACAUGCUCCUCGAUGAUCUCAUCGGAUGAACCACGAUGUCGAGGAUUCAAGCAACCCCGUAUACAAUUCCCUUUGUCAAUCGAUAUGUUACUUGCCCGAGAUUCGAUCAUCGGUAUCCCAAUACCUCGUUCAAUCUCGUUACCGGCAAGUCACUUUACUCGUACCGUAAUGCAUGAUCCCGUGACCAGACACUUGGUCACUUUGAGCUCAUUAUGAUGAUGCAUUACCGAGUGGGCCCAGUGAUACCUCUCCGUCAUACGGAGUGACAAAUCCCAGUCUUGAUCCGUUUCAAUCCAACAGACACUUUCGGAGAUACCCGUAGUAUACCUUUAUAGUCACCCAGUUACGUUGUGACGUUUGGUACACCCAAAGCACUCCUACGGUAUCCGGGAGUUACACGAUCUCAUGGUCUAAGGAAAACAUACUUGAUAUUGGAAAACUCUAGCAAACGAACUAUACGACCUUGUGCUAUGUUUAGGAUUGGGUCUUGUCCAUCACAUCAUUCUCCUAAUGAUGUGAUCUCGUUAUCGAUGACAUCCAAUGUCCAUAGUCAGGAAACCAUGACUAUCUGUUGAUCAACAAGCUAGUCAACUAGAGGCUUACUAGGGACAUGUUGGUGUCUAUUAUUCACACAUGUAUUACGAUUUCCGGAUAACACAAUUAUAGCAUGAAUAAAGACAAUUAUCAUGAACAAGGAAAUAUAAUAAUAAUGCUUUUAUUAUUGCCUCUAGGGCAUAUUUCCAACACUAUGAGGGUAUGUGGACGAUACUCUUCCCUCUUGUUGCUAUGCAUCACCAUGAUCUUGCGUGUGUGUAGCAAUUUUUUUUUGAAAUUACUACGUUCCCCAACACUUCGGGUCCAUAGUUAUUAGCUAGAUGGCUUCUUCUCUCUCUUUGGAUCUCAAUACAAAGUUGUCCUAGAUUCUCUUGGAGAUCUAUUCCAUGUAAUUCCUUUUGCGGUGUGUUUGUCCAGAUCCGAUGAAUUGUGGGUUUAUGAUCAAGAUUAUCCAUGAACAAUAUUUGAUUCUUCUCUGAAAUUUUUUAUGCAUGAUUUAAAUAUCUUUGCAAGUCUCUUCGAAUUAUCAGUUUGGUUUGGCCUACUAUAUUGAUCUUUCUUACAAUGGGAGAAGUGCUUAGCUUUGGGUUCAAUCUUGCGGUGUCCUUUCCCAGUGACAGCAGGGGCAUCAAGGCAUGUAUUGUAUUGUUGCCAUCGAGGAUAAAAAGAUGGGGUUUAUAUCAUAUUGCUUGAGUUUAUCCCUCUACAUCAUGUCAUCUUGCCUAAUGCGUUACUCUGUUCUUAUGAACUUAAUACUCUAGAUGCAUGCUGGAUAGCGGUCGAUGUGUGGAGUAAUAGUAGUAGACGCAGAAUCGUUUCGGUCUACUUGUCGCGGACGUGAUGCCUAUAUACAUGAUCAUGCCUAGAUAUUCUCAUAACUAUGCACUUUUCUAUCAAUUGCUUGACAGUAAUUUAUUCACCCACCGUAGAAUUUGCUAUCUUGAGAGAAGCCACUAGUGAAACCUAUGGCCCCCGGGUCUAUUCUCCAUCAUAUUAUUUUCAUAUCAACUUACUAUUUCUAUUACCAUUUAUUUUGCAAUCUUUAUUUUCCAAUGUAUACAACAAAAAUACCAAAAAUAUUUAUCUUAUUAUCUCUAUCAGAUCUCACUCUCGUAAGUGACCUUGAAGGGAUUGACAACCCCUCUAUCACCUUGGUUGCGAGGUUCUUGUUUGUUUGUGUAGGUACGAGGGACUUGCCUGUAGUCUCCUACUGGAUUGAUACCUCGGUUCUAAAAAACUGAGGGAAAUACUUACGCUACUGUGCUGCAUCACCCUUUCCUCUUCAAGGGAAAACCAACGCAAGCUCAAGAGGUAGCAUGCCCCCUCUCCUGGCACGCCCAGGUGGGUUGUGCCCACCUAGUGGCCCUGCAGACCCUGAAACCGACGUUAUAAAAUCCUAUUUUUCCAGAAAAAAAAUCAAGAAGAAAGAAUUAUUGCGACCCACGAGAAGGAGCCGCCAUCACCUCCUGUUCUUCAUCAGGAGGCCAGAUCUGGAGUCCGUUUUGGGCUCCAGAGAGGGGGAUCUUCAUUCUUCGUCAUCACCAACCCUUCUCCAUCGCCAAUUCCACGAUGCUCCCCACCAGGAGUGAGUAAUUCCUUUGUAGGCUAGCUGGUCGGUGAGGAGUUGGAUGACAUUCAUCACGUAACCGAGUUAGUUUUGCUAGGGCUUGAUCCCUAGUAUCCACUAUGUUCUAAUAUUGAUGUUGCUAUGACUUUGCCAUGUUUAAUGAUUGCCACUUUGGGCCCGGGUGCCAUGAUUUCAUAUCUGAACCAUUUAUGUUAUCACCAUUAUAUCCAUGUUCUAGAUCUGAUCUUGCAAGUUAUAGUCACCUACUACGUGUUAUGAUCCGGCAACCCCGGAGUGACAAUAACCGGGACCACUCCCGGUGACGAUCGUAGUUUUAGGAGUUCAUGUAUUCACCAUGUGUUAAUGCUUUGUUACGGUUCUCUAUUAAAAGGAGGCCUUAAUAUCCCUUACUUUCCAAUAUGGACCUGAUAACCCACAAGUAUAGGGGAUCGCAACAGUUUUCGAUAAGUAAGAGUGUCGAACCCAAAGAGGAGCUAAAGGCAGAACAAAUAUUCCCUCAAGUUCUAUCAACCACCGAUACAACUCUACGCACGCUUGGCGUUCGCUUUACCUAGAACAAGUUUGAAACUAGAAGUACUUUGUAGGUGUUGUUGGAUAGGUUUGCAAGACAAUAAAGAUUAUGUAAAUAAAAAGUAGGGGCUGUUUGGAUAAAUAAACAAUAAAUUAAAUAUAGCGAGUAUGGAAAAGUGGUGGUAGGAGUUGCGAAAUUUCCCCUAAGCAAUUGACUACUUUACUAGACCGAUAACAAGUAUUAUGUGGGAGAGGCCACUGCUAGCAUGUCAUCCCUGACUUGGAAUUCUAUGCACUUAUGAUUGGAACUAUUAGCAAGCAUCCGCAACUACUAACGUUCAUUAAGGUAAAACCCAACCAUAGCAUUAAGAUAUAUUGGUCCCCCUUCAAUCCCGUAUGCAUCAAUUUCUAUGGUAGGUUGAAGCUUCUGUCACUCUUGCCCUCCAAUACAUAGUCCUAUCAACAUACAACUAACCCUAGGGUGUAAUCCACGCGCGCUCUCAUAUGAUGGGCACGAAAGGACAGAAACAUAACCACAAGAAAAUUAAAUCAAUCAUAGCAAUUCAUCAACCACCGAUAGGGCAACGAAAAUCUACUCAGACAUCAUAGGAUGGCAACACAUCAUUUGAUAAUAAUAUGAAGCAUAAAGCACCACGUUCAAGUAGAGGGUACAGAGGGUUGCGAGAGAGUGGACCGCUGUAGAUAGAGGGGGGAAGGUGAUGGAGAUGUUGGUGAAGAUGGCGGAGGUGUAGGUGUAGAUCAGAGUGAUGAUGAUGAUGGCCACAGCAGCGUUCCGGCGCCACCGAAAGAGAAGGGGAGAGGGGGCCCCUUUGUCUUCUUCUUCCUUGACCUCCUCCCUAGAUGGGAGAAGGGUUUCCCCUCUAGUCCUUGGCCUCCAUGGCAUGGGAGGGGCGAGAGCCCCUCCGAGAUUGGAUCUGUCUCUCUGUCUCUCUCUGUUUCCGCGUUCCCAGAUUCUUCCCUUUCACCGUUUCUUAUAUUCGCGGAGAUCCGUAACUCCGAUUGGGCUGAUAUUUUACACGAUCUCUAUCCGGAUAUUAGCUUUCUUGCGGCGAAAGAAGGGCAUCAACCGCCUUACAGGUGGCCCACUAGGGUCAGGGGCGUGCCCAGUGGGGCAGGCGCACCCCCUGCCUCGUGGCCACCCCGGACACCGUCUCAUGUGGAUUUUUCUUCCCAAAAAUCAUAUAUAUUCCAAAAAAAAUCUCCGUUGGUUUUAUCCCGUUUGGAUUCCGUUUGAUAUGGAUAUUCUGCAAAAAACAUGCAACAAACAGGAACUGGCACUGGCACUGGAUCAAUAUGUUAGUCCCAAAAAUAGUAUAAAAAGUUGCCAAAAGUAUAUGAAAGUUGUAGAAUAUUGGCAUGGAACAAUCAGAAAUUAUAGAUACGACGGAGACGUAUCAGCAUCCCCAAGCUUAAUUCCAGCUCGUCCUCGAGUAGGUAAAUGAUAAAUUUUUUUGAUGUGGAAUGCUACCUAGCAUAAUCUUGAUCACAUAUCUAAACAUGGCGUGAAUAUUAAGAUACGAGUGAUUCAAAGCAAUAGUCUAUCAUUUGACAUAAAAACAGUAAUACUUCAAGCCUACUAAUAAAGCAAUCAUGUCUUUUCAAAAUAACAUGGCCAAAGAAAGCUAUCCUACAAAAUCAUAUAGUCUAGCUAUGCUCCAUCUUCACCACACAAAAUAUUCACAUCAUGCACAACCCCGAUGACAAGCCAAGCAAUUGUUUCAUACUUUUGACGUUCUCAAACCUUUUCAACUUUCACGCAAUACAUGAGCGUGAGCCAUGGACAUAGCACUAUAGGUGGAAUAGAAUGAUGGUUGUGGAGAAGACAAAAAGGAGAAGAUAGUCUCACAUCAACUAGGUGUAUCAACGAGCUAUGGAGAUGCCCAUCAAUAGAUAUCAAUGUGAGUGAGUAGGGAUUGCCAUGCAACGGAUGCACUAGAGCUAUAAGUGUAUGAAAGCUCCAACUGAAACUAAGUGGGUGUGCAUCCAACUUGCUUGCUCAUGAAGACCUCGGGCAUUUGAGGAAGCCCAUCAUCGUAAUAUACAAGCCAAGUUCUAUAAUGAAAAUUCCCACUAGUAUAUGAAAGUGAUAACUCAAGAGACUCUCUAUAUGAAGAACAUGGUGCUACUUUGAAGCACAAGUGUUAGAAAAAGGAUAGUAGCACUGCCCCUUCUCUCUUUUUCUCUCAUUUUGUUGUUUUUUUGGUGGGCUUCUUUGGCCUCUUUUUUUAUUUGGGCUUCUUUGGCCUCUUUUAUUUUUUUGUAAAGUCCGGAGUCUCAUCCCGACUUAUGGGGGAAUCAUAGUCUCCAUCAUCCUUUCCUCAUUGGGGCAAUGCUCUAAUAAUGAUGAUCAUCACACUUUUAUUUACUUACAACUCAAUAUUACAACUCGAUACUAGAAUAAAGAUAUGACUCUAUAUGAAUGCCUCCAGCGGUGUACCGGGAUGUGCAAUGAUCUAGCGUAGCAAUGACAUCAAAAAACAGACAAGCCAUGAAAACAUCAUGCUAGCUAUCUUACGAUCAUGCAAAGCAAUAUGACAAUGAAUGCUCAAGUCAUGUAUAUGAUGAUGAUGGAAGUUGCAUGGCAAUAUAUCUCGGAAUGGCUAUGGAAAUGCCAUAAUAGGUAGGUAUGGUGGCUGUUUUGAGGAAGGUAUAUGGUUGGUUUAUGGUACCGGUGAAAGUUGCGCGGUACUAGAGAGGUUAGCAAUGGUGGAAGGGUGAGAGUGCGUAUAAUCCACAGACUCAACAUUAGUCAUAAAGAACUCACAUACUUAUUGCAAAAAUCUAUUAGUCAUCAAAACAAAGUACUACACGCAUGCUCCUAGGGGGAUAGAUUGGUAGGAAAAUACCAUCGCUCGUCCCCGACUGCCACUCAUAAGGAAGACAAUCAAUAAAUAAAUCAUGCUCCGACUUCGUUACAUAACGGUUCACCAUACGUGCAUGCUACGGGAAUCACAAACCUCAACACAAGUAUUUCUACAAUCCACAACUACCCACUAGCAUGGCUGUAAUAUCACCAUCUUUAUAUCGCAAAACUAUUGCAAGGAAUCAAACAUAUCAUAUUCAGUGAUCUACAAGUUUUAUGUAGGAUUUUAUGACUAACCAUGUGAACGACGAGUUCCUGUCAUCUCUCUAAAUAGAUAGAAGUGAAGCAAGAGAGUUUAAUUCUUUCUACAAAAGAUAUGCCUGUGCCCUAAAAAAUCUAAGUGCAGCAAAAGAGCAUUCUACAAAUGGCGGUUUUCUAUGUAAAGAGAAAGAGGCAAUCCGAACUUCAAAUGAUAUAAGCGAAGCACAUGAAGCAUUCUAUAAAGCCAUACUCAAAAGAUAUAAGUGAAGUGCAAUGAGAAUUCUAUAAAUCAACCAAGGACUCUCUCAUACCAGCAUGGUGCAUAAAAUAAAGAUGAAAAAUAAAUGCAAAAGGCGCUCCAAGAUUGCACAUAUCACAUGAACGAAACGAAUCCAAAAACAUACCGAUACUUGUUGAAGAAAGAGGGGAUGCCUUCCGGGGCAUCCCUAAGCUUAGACGCUUGAGUCUCCUUGAAUAUUUACUUGGGGUGCCUCGGGCAUCCCCAAGCUUAAGCUCUUGCCUCUCUUCCUUCUUCUCACAUCAAGACCUUCUCGAUCAUCGAACACUUCAUCCACACAAAACUUCAACAGAAAACUCGGUAAGAUCCGUUAGUAUAAUGAAGCAAAUCACUACUCUAAGUACUGUCACAAACCAAUUCAUAUGUUGUUUCUGCAUUGUGUCUACUUUAAUAUAACUUUUUCAUGGCUUAAUCCACUGAUAUGAAUCGAUAGUUUCAUCAGAACAAGCAAACUAUGCAUCAAAAACAGAAUCUGUCUAAAACAGAACAGUCUGUAAUAAUCUGAACAUUCACCAUACUUAUGAUACUUGAAACAUUCUACCAAAAUUAGGAAAAAUAAAAAAUUUGUAUAGGAAGAGAGUGCAAAAAGAAUCAGAACCAUUUGACGUUCCAGCAAAAAAUUUAAAAUCGCGCACUACAGCCAAAGUUUCUGUCCUGCACCGUACAAACCAUCAAGCAAAUGUAAACAUCCUAAAGGCAAACCUUGGCACAUUAUUUUUAUAAUAAAAUGGAAUUGUACAAGGGGAUAAUUAUUUUUAUUGAAAAUUUUCUGUAAUCAAGAUUCACAAAGUUUCCAUGAGCAUGAACAAAGUUCAAGGCUAGCUCCCACUUCAACAAUGCUUGUCUUUCUCACUUUCGCUUUCCUUUUUGAAAAAGUUUUGGGUUACCCUCUUUAUUUUUGUUGUUUUUAAACUAUAUAAAAGCACUCAAAAGAAAUAAAUGACUCUCUAAAACUUCCGGGUUGUCUCCCUGGCGGCGCUUUCUUUAAAGCCAUUAAGCUAGGCAUAUGUGCUCAAGUAAUGGAUCCACCCGGAUCCCAAGGUAUAUCAAAGCCAAUUUUAAUUAACAAUGAUUUUUAAUUUAGUGGUCAGCACAAGGUAACAUAUAUCAUGCAAUGACGAAGUCUAACUCUCUUCCUAUGCAUCGGCAUGUCAUAAAAGAACAAUUCAUGCACACAAAGUAACGACAAAUGCAUAGUAUAAACAGUUUCUUGCAAUUUUAUCAUAUUGGAAACAUAGAGAGGUGGAGAUAUAGUUACUCUCUCAUAAUAAUUGCAAGUAGGAGCAGCAAUCACAUGCAUAUUAUAUUCAUCAAAAUCAUCAUGUGCAACGGUAAAAGGCAACCCAUCAAUAUAUUCCUUAAUAAGAGCAAACUUCUCCGAUAUAGUGUAGUUGGGAGAAUUCAAAAAGAUAAUAGGACUAUCACGCGUGGGUGCAAUAGCAACAAUUUCAUGUUUAGCAUAAGGAACUAUAGCAAGUUCAUCUCCAUAAGCAUAAUUCAUAUUGGCAUCUUGGCCACAAAGCAUAGCAAGCAUCACCAAAAAGGGAUAUUUCAAGAGAAUCAAUGGGAUCAUAGUAGUCAUCAUAGCAAUCAUCCUAUCGUAACCACGAAGGGAAAUUAAACAAUGUAUGAGUUGAAGAGUUACUCUCAUUAGAAGGUGGGCACGGGUAGCUAAUCCGCUCUUCCUCGUUUUGUUCUUUGCUCUCUUCCUCAUCUUUUUCAUCCAAUGAGCUCACAGUUUCAUCAAUUUCUUCGUUUCAAUCAAAGAAGCAAUUUCAUAAGCACCCUUAAAAGCAACAAAUUCUUCAAUUUGUCGAACAUCAUAGUAAUUAUAAGCACCCUUAGCAUACGAAGAUACGAUUCCAUUAUCACUAAACUCACUUUGAAAGGGAAGGUGUUUCUUAGGGUUUUCAGAACAACAAGUAAAAUCAUAUAUUUCACAUAAAUUCCAAGCAUAGCAUUGCAAACGAUGAAUUUGACCCAAUAAUUUUUUCCCUUUUUCAGAUAUUCAGUGUUGCACAUAAUAAGCAUGCUCAUCUAAGGAUUUGCCCUCAACUAAGCUAGUUGGGGUUUCAGCACGAGCACAUAGGGAUCGAAGAUGAUCCAAGUAAUAAGCUUUAGCAGUGUGAUAGAUUUUGAGUGGUUCUUCAACCAUUGGUUUAGUAGGCACAACUAAUUUUUUUUGGUAUUUUACGUUUCCUACCCAUAACUAAAGAUAUAAAACAACUAAGAACAUCAAAUAAAAAUUACUUAGUGAUAAAGCAAACAAGCACACACGAGAAUAUUCACCCCACGCUAUUGCUCCCCGGCAACGGCGCCAGAAAAAGGUCUUGAUAACCCACAAGUAUAGGGGAUCACAACAAUUUUCGAUAAGUAAGAGUGUCGAAUCCAAAGAGGAGAUAAAGGCAGAACAAAUAUUCCCUCAAGUUCUAUCUACCACUGAUACAACUCUACGCACGCUUGACAUUCGCUUUACCUAGAACAAGUAUGAAACUAGAAGUACUUUGUAGGUGUUGUUGGAUAGGUUUGCAAGAUAAUAAAGAUUAUGUAAAUAAAAAGUAGGGGCUAUUUAGAUAAAGAAACAAUAAAGUAAAUAUAGCGAGUAUGGAAAAGUGGUGGUAGGAGUUGCGAAAUUUCCCCUAAGCAAUUGACUACUUUACUAGACCGAUAGCAAGCAUUAUGUGGGAGAGGCCACUGCUAGCAUGUCAUCCCUGACUUGGAAUUCUAUGCACUUAUGAUUGGAACUAUUAGCAAGCAUCCACAACUACUAACGUUCAUUAAGGUAAAACCCAACCAUAGCAUUAAGAUAUAUUGGUCCCCCUUCAAUCCCGUAUGCAUCAAUUUCUAUGGUAGGUUGAAGCUUCUGCCACUCUUGCCCUCAAAUACAUAGUCCUAUCAACAUAAAACUAACCCUAGGGUGUGAUCCACACGCACUCUAAUAUGAUGGGCACCAAAGGACAGCAACAUAACCACAAGCAAAUUAAAUCAAUCAUAGCAAUUCAUCAACCACCGAUAGGGCAACGAAAAUCUACUCAGACAUCAUAGGAUGGCAACACAUCAUUUGAUAAUAAUAUGAAGCAUAAAGCACCAUGUUCAAGUAGAGGGUACAGCGGGUUGCGGGAGAGUGGACCACUGUAGAUAGAGGGGGGGAAGGUGAUGGAGAUGUUGGUGAAGAUGGCAGAGGUGUUGGUGUAGAUUGUGGGGAUGAUGAUGAUGGCCACAGCAGCGUUCCGGCGCCACCGGAAGAGAAGGGGAGAGGGGGCCCCUUCGUCUUCUUCUUCCUUGACCUCCUCCCUAGAUGGGAGAAGGGUUUCCCCUCUGGUCCUUGGCCUCCAUGGCAUGGGAGGGGAGAGAGCCCCUCCGAGAUUGGAUCUGUCUCUCUGUCUCUCUCUGUUUCUGCGUUCCCAGAUUCUUCCCUUUCAUCGUUUCUUAUAUUCCCGGAGAUCCGUAACUCCGAUUGGGCUGAAAUUUUAACACGAUCUCUAUCCGGAUAUUAGCUUUCUUGCGGAGAAAGAAGGGCAUCAACUGCCUUACGGGUGGCCGACGAGGGUCAGGCCUCAUGGCCACCUCGGGCACCGUCUCGCGUGGAAUUUUCUUCCCAAAAAUCAUAUAUCUUCUAAAAAAUCUCCGUCAGUUUUUAUCCCGUUUGGACUCCGUUGGAUAUGGAUAUUCUGUGAAACAAAAAACAUGCAACAAACAGGAACUGGCACUGGAUCAAUAUGUUAGUCCCAAAAAUAGUAUAAAAAGUUGCCAAAAGUAUAUGAAAGUUGUAGAAUAUUGGCAUGGAACAAUCAAAAAUUAUAGAUAUGACGGAGACGUAUCAGGACCCCGCUGCCAGGGGAGGGUAGGACAAAAGAUGUCAUGCAAGUUCUUUCCAUAAGAACAUAUGACUAUUUAGGGAAUACAUGCCUACAUUAUAUUGAUGAAUAGGAGCUAGUGCCGCAUCGCCCUAGGUUAUAACUGUCUCAUGAUGAAUAUCAUCCAACAAAUCACCGAUCCAAUGCCUACAAAUUUAUCCUAUAUUGUUCUUCCUAAGUUACUACUGCUUUCAUUACUAUUGCACUUGUUACAAAACUAUUGCUACCACUGUUACUGUUACCAUUGCUACUGCUACUAUUAUCAAAACUAUCAUAUUACUUUGCUACUGAUCACGUUGUUGCAGAUAAUUAAUCUCCAGGUGUGGUUGAAUUGACAACUCAGCUGCUAAUACCUUCAAAUAUUCUUUGGCUCCCCUUGUGUCGAAUCUAUAAAUCUAGGUUGAAUACUCUACCCUCGAAAACUGUUGUGAUCCCCUAUACUUGUGGGUUAUCAAGAACUACCAGGAAUGCCACCAGACCGAGAGCUUGAGUUUGCAAUUGACCUUGUGCCCGGGACCGCACCGUAAUACAAGAAGUAUUAUCGGAUGCCUUCCUAUGAAUUAGUGGAAUUAAAGAAACAGCUUGAUGAGAUCCUUCAAGGACACAUCCGUCCAAGGUCUUCACCAUGGGGAUCACCCGCAAUCUUCAUGGACAAGAAAGACGACAGUCUCCAAAUGUGUGUGGAUUACCGUUAGUUGAAUGAUGUCACUAUCAAGAACAACUAUCUGCUUCCGAGGAUUGAUGAUUUGUUCGACCAACUUAGUGGGGCAAAAGUAUUCUCCAAGAUUGAUUUGAGGACUGGAUAUCACCAACUCAAGAUAAAGAAGGAGGAUAUUCCUAAGACCGCGUUCACCACUCGAUACGGUCUUUAUGAAUAUAUAGUCAUGUCAUUUGGCCACACCAAUGCCCCCGCUUUCUUCAUGCACUUGACGAAUAAAGUGUUCAUGGAUUUCUUGGAUAAAUUUGUGGUGGUCUUCAUUGAUGACAUCCUCAUAUACUCGAAAGGUGAAGAAGAGCACAAGGGACAUCUCAGAGCAGUCUUGCAAAGAAUCCGUGACCAUUAGCUAUAUGCGAAAUUCAGCAAAUGUGAAUUUGGGCUCAAGAAAGUCGGAUUUUUGGGGCAUGUUCUUUCAGCAGUAAAGCAUAGCCAUGGAUCCAAGCAAAUUGAAGGACGUGCUUGAUUGGACAGCACCCACGAUAGUAACUGAGAUCCGGAGUUUCCUUGGAUUAGCCGGAUAUUACCAUCGGUUCAUCGAAGGCUUCUCUAAGAUCGCCAAGCCCAUGACAGAACUCCUCAAGAAUGAUAAGAAGUUUGUACGGUCUGAGGAUUGUGAGAAAAGUUUCAAUAAAUUAAAGACCCGGUUGACGUCAGUACCUGUGUUGACCCUCCCAGACAUCUACCGCAGAUUUGAUGUAUACUGUGACGCAUCCAGGGGAGGUAUUGGAUGUGUACUCAUGCAAGAUGGCAAGAUUGUGGCAUACGCAUCUCGACAGCUAUGACCCCAUGAAGAGAACUACCCGACCAUGAUUUGGAAUUGACCGCAGUUGUGCACGGAUUAAAAUUUUGGAGGCACUACCUCAUUGGCAAAAGAUGUCAGAUAUUUACCGACCACAAGAGUCUCAAGUAUAUAUUCACCCAACCAGACUUGAACCUCCGACAGUGAACAUGGCUCGAAUUGGUCAAGGAUUAUGAUCUUGGGAUAAAUUAUCAUCCCGGUAAGGCCAAUGUGGUUGCUGAUGCCCUCAGCCGCAAACCUGCCAAUCUAAAUGCCCUGAUGGAGUCCUUGCCUCCCGAACUCCAAGAAGAGAUCGCUCAGCUUAACCAGGUUAUUGUUGAGGCUUACCUUGCCAAUAUAUUGGAAGUUACCCCUACCUUCGAAGAAGAAAUCCGCAUGGCCCAGCAAGAUGAAUCAGUCCUGCAACACCAUGUCAAGCAUAUGCAAGAAGGCAAGACCCAGGAUUUCUCGAAGGAUGAGUAAUGUACUCUAUGGUUUCCUGGACGGAUUUGCGUAAUUGAGAAAGCAGACCUAAGAAAGAAGAUCUUGACAUAAGUGCACGAAUCUUUGUACUCGAUUCAUCCAGGAGGUAUCAAGAUGUACGAAGAUCUUCGUCAGGCAUUUUGGUGGGAUGGAAUGAAGAAGGACAUCGCCUAUUUUGUCGCUUGUUGUGAUAUAUGGAACAAAUUAAAGGCGGAACAUUAGAAACCCGCCGAACUUCUUCAACCUUUGCCCGUUCCACAAUGGAAGUGGGACGAUGUCAACAUGGAUUUCAUCACAGGUUUACCAAAGACUCAACGAGGCAAUGAUGCAGUAUGGGUUGUGGUGGACAUGCUGACAAAAGUAGCUCACUUCAUUCCCAUCCGAACCACCUAUCGAGCCGAUCAACUCGCACAACUAUAUGUGUCUAGAAUCGUCAGUUUGCAUGGAGUACCAAGAACUAUCACUUCCGACAGAGGUUCUCUCUUUACCUCAGCAUUCUGGUCAUGGUUCCAUCAAGCUUUGGGGACCACACUAAAGUACAACACCGCCUAUCAUCCUCAGAUUGACGGGCAGACUGAGCGAGUAAAUCAAAUACUUGAAGAUAUGCUCCGAGCAUGUGCUUUGGCCUAAGGGCCCAAGUAGGAAGAUUGUCUGCCUUAUGCCGAGUUCUCCUACAACAACAGUUUCCAGACCAGCCUCAAGAUGUCACCAUAUGAAGCUCUGUAUGGCCGUAAGUGCCGCACUCCAUUAAAUUGUUCUCAAACCAGAUAUAGCCGCAUUUUCGGAACUGACUUAAUGAUGGAGGCUGAAAAGCAAGUCAAGGAUAUCCGAGAUAGACUGCAAUUGGCUAAGUCCCGAGAAAGGAGCUACUAUGACUCAAAGCACCGCCAGAUCAGUUUUGAGCCCGGAGAGUAUGUUUACAUCCGAGACACACCCAUGAAAGGAGUCAAGAGUUUUCAGACCCGAGGAAAACUUGCACCCAGAUAUAUUGGUCCGUUCCCAGUUAUGUCCAGAGUUGGUACAAUUGCUUAUCAGUUGGAACUACCAUCAGAAUUGUCAGAAGUGCAGAAUGUGUUCCAUGUCUCACAGUUGAGAAGGUGUAUCUCGCCACCCAAGAAAAGGAGUGAUAUGGUAGAGAUAGAGAUUGCUAAGGACUUCACCUAUGAAGAGAAACCGUUCAGAAUAUUGGAUGAAAUAGAAAGAUUCACUCGCAGUAAGGUGAAUUUUUUUAUAAGGGUACAGUGGGAACAUCACACCGAGGAAGAAGCAACUUCGAAAAGAGAGGACUUUUAAGAGCAGCCUAUCCGGAAUUGUUUUCUCGAGCAACCAAAUCUCGAGGACGACAUUCAUCCUAAGUGGGGGAGGUUUGUGACACCCUGGUUUUUGCUCUUUAUCUUUUUCUGGAUUUCAUUGCCUUUUGUUUGACUUCGGAUUUUGAAUCAACUCAGUUGGACUUAACCACUUGUGCAUUUACUUGAUUUUCACCCAAGAGAACCACCUCCCUCUCAAACACCUCAUUUCCUCUUUGAUAUAUCACAAAAUGGCCAUAGGAAUAUUUUUCAUAAAUGAAAAAUAUUCAUUUCUUCGCUGAAAUCACACUUAAGUCACUUAUGCUCCAAAGCAAUUCUCAUUAUUCUUGCCAACAAAAAUAUGAGAACCAUUCCUGAAUAUUCCUUAGACUUUGGCACACCUCCCUGUGCAACAAUAUUUCAUAGUUAUUUGGAAUAUUUUUGCUACAGAAAAUAUUUGCUGUUCUGGCUAGAAAAUGCAGUUUGUACAGGAAGUGCAUUUUUCCAUGACCCAAUGAAGCUGAAAUUUUUAGGGCUUCAUUACCCUCCUAAGAAACCCUUAACCUCCAAAGAUUAUCCCUAAACUCCUUCUAGAUUUCUCACUAUUAACAUCACAAGUUUCUGUCCAGAAACAUGCCAGGAUGCUACACUCCCACGCAAUUGACCUGUGCUCAACUCAAGAGCUUGGAUCAACCCAACCUAGUCAGGACUACACGCCAGACAUGAUUUUAAUGCGCUGCCUGGCGUGAUACCAGAGUUCACAUGGUGACCACGCGUGUGCAUGAUGCCAGGAAACUAGUCGACGCCCUCUGGAUGCCACCGACGUCUCUGUGGCGCUCGUGCUCGCUUCCCCGCUCGUCGCAGCUUGCCAAACCGUGCCACCAUCCUCAUCCCGAAGCCAUUAACUUCCCCUUGGCACUCGCCGACACCGGAGCUCGCCGCAGUGAGCACGGGCAUGACGCGGCCAAGCGUACAGUGCGCCCGUGCCCCUAUGCUCGUCUCCACCCGAGACCCUGUGCUCGUCUCCUCCCUCUCACAGUGGCUGCAUGAACCCCGGCCUCGUCUCCCCCUCUCACUGGAGCUCUUUGUCACUGUGCACGAUACGUCUCCAACGUAUCUAUAAUUUUUGAUUGCUCCAUGCUAUUAUAUUAUCUAUUUUGGAUGUUAAUGGGCUUUAUUUUACACUUUAUAUCACUUUUGGGACUAACCUACUAAUCGGAGGCCUAGCCCAAAUUGCUGUUUUCUUGCCUAUUUUAGGGUUUGGAAGAAAAGGAAUAUCAAACGGAGUCCAAACGGAAUGAAACCUUCGGGAACGUGAUUUUCUCAACAAACGUGAUCCAGGAGACUUGGAGUGGGCGUCAAGAAACAACAGAGGAAGCCACGAGGCAGGGGGGCGCGCCGUCCACCCUCAUGGGCCCCCUGUUGCUCCACCGACGUACUUCUUCCUCCUAUAUAUAUCCACGUACCCCUCAAACAUCCAGGAGCACCACGAAAACCUAAUUCCGCCGUUGCAACCUUCUGUACCCGAGAGAUCCCAUCUUGGGGCCUUUUCUGGAGCUCCACUUGAGGGGGCAUUGAUCAUGGAGUGCCUCUACAUCAACUCCAUGGCCUCUCUGGUGAUGUGUGAGUAGUUUACUUCAGACCUUCGGGUCCAUAGUUAUUAGCUAGAUGGCUUCUUCUCUCUCUUUGGAUCUCAAUACAAAGUCCUCCUCGAUCUUCUUGGAGAUCUAUUCGAUGUAAUCUUCUUUUGCAGUGUGUUUGUUGAGAUCCGAUGAAUUGUGGGUUUAUGAUCCAGUUUAUCUAUGAACAAUAUUUGAUUCUCCUCUGAAUUCUUUUAUGUAUGAUUGGUUUAUCUUUGCAAGUCUCUUCGAAUUAUCAAUUUGGUUUGGCCUACUAGAUUGAUCUUUCUUGCAAUGGGAGAAGUGCUUAGCUUUCGGUUCAAUCUUGCGGUGUUCGAGCCUAGUGAUAGAAAGGGAACCGACACGUAUUGUAUUGUUUCCAUCGAGGAUAAAAAGAUGGGGUUUAUAUCAUAUUGCAUGAGUUUAUCCCUAUACAUCAUGUCAUCUUCCUUAAAGCAUUACUCUAUUCUUAUGAACUUAAUACUCUAGAUGCAUGCUGGAUAGCGGUUGAUGUGUGGAGUAAUAGUAGUAGAUGCAGAAUCGUUUCGGUCUACUUGUCUCGGACGUGAUGCCUAUAUACAUGAUCAUACCUAGAUAUUCUCAUCACUAUGCUCAAUUCUAUCAAUUGCUCGACAGUAAUUCAUUUACCCACCGUAAUACUUAUGCUCUUGAGAGAAGCCACUAGUGAAACCUAUGGCCCCCGGGUCUAUCUUCCAUCAUAUUAAUCUUCCAAUACUUAGUUAUUUUUUUGCCAUUUAUUUUACUUUGCAUCUUUAUUCCUCUUUAUCAUAAAAAUACCAAAAAUAUUAUCUUAUCAUAUCUAUCAGAUCUCACUCUUGUAAGUGACCGUGAAGGGAUUAACAACCCCUUUAUCGCAUUGGUUGCGAGGUUCUUAUUUGUUUGUGUAGGUGCGUGGGACUUGAGUGUGAUCUCCUACUGGAUUGAUACCUUGGUUCUCAAAAACCGAGGGAAAUACUAAAGCUACUUUUCUGCACGACCCUUUCCUCUUCAAGGGAAAACCAACGCAGUGCUCAAGAGGUAUCAAGAAGGAUUUCUGGCGCCGUUGCCGGGGAGAUUCGCGCCAAGUCAAGUUAAGCACAAGUCAAGAGAUACCAAGUACCCUUCACAAACUCUUAUCCCUCGCAUUACAUUAUUUGCCAUUUGCCUCUCGUUUUCCUCUCCCCUACUUCACCCAUGCCGUUUUAUUCGCCCUCUUUUCCUCUCUUCCUCUCUUUCCGUUCCCCUUCUCUUUUUCUAUUUGCCUUUUUUGACGCGCUUCUUGUUUGCUCGUGUGUUGGAUCGCUUGUUUGUCACGAUGGCUCAAGAUAAUACUAAAUUGUGUGACUUUGCCAAUACUAACAAUAAUGAUUUUAUUAGCACUCCGAUUGCUCCUCUUACCGAUGCCGAAUCUUGUGAAAUUAAUACUGCUUUGCUGAAUCUUGUCAUGAAAGAUCCGUUUUCUGGCCUUCCUAGUGAAGAUGUCGUUACCCAUCUAAACAACUUUGUUCAUUAGUGUGAUAUGCAAAAGAAGAAAGAUGUGGACAAUGAUAUUGUUAAAUUGAAGCUAUUUCCUUUUUCCCUUGGAGAUCGUGCUAAAUCUUGGUUUCCGUCUUUGCCUAAAAAUAGUAUUGAUUCAUGGAAUAAGUGCAAAGAUGCUUUUAUCUCUAAGUAUUUUCCUCCCGCUAAGAUCAUAUCUCUUAGAAACGAUAUUAUGAAUUUUAAGCAACUUGAUCAUGAACAUGUUGCACAAUCUUGGGAGAGGAUGAAAUCAAUGAUACGUAAUUGCCCAUCACAUGGUUUGAAUUUAUGGAUGAUUAUACAUAAUUUUUAUGCCGGAUUCAAUUUUGCUUCUAGAAAUCUUUUAGAUUCGGCGGCCGGAUGCAUUUUUAUGGAAAUCACUUUAGGAGAAGCUACCAAACUCCUAGAUAAUAUUAUGGUUAAUUAUUCUCAAUGGCACACUGAAAGAUCUACUAGUAAAAAAGUGCAUGCAAUUGAACAGAUCAAUGUUUUGAGUGGAAAGAUGGAUGAACUUCUGAAAUUGUUUGCUAAUAAGAGUGCUCUUGCUGAUCCUAAUGACAUGCCUUUGUAUACUUUGAUUUAGAAUAAUAAUGAAUCUAUGGAUGUGAAUUUUGUUGGUAGGAACAAUUUUGGUAAUAACGCGUAUAGAGGUAAUUUUAAUUGUAGGUCGUUUCCUAGUAAUUCCUCUAAUAAUUAUGGUAAUUACUACAACAAUUCUUAUGGAAAUUUUAAUAAGAUGCCCUCUGAUUUUGAAUCUAAUAUUAAAGAAUUUAUUAGUUCGCAAAAGAGUUUCAAUGCUUUGGUUGAAGAAAAAAUGCUUAAGAUUGAUGAGUUGGCUAGGAACGUUGAUAGAAUUUCUCUUGAUGUUCAUUAUUUGAAACUUAGAUCUAUUCCACCUAAGCAUGAUAUCAAUGAGUCUCUCAAAGUCAUGAGAAUUUCCAUUGUUGAGUGAAAAGAAAGAACCGCUAGUUUUCAUGAUAAUAAGGAUGAAGAUCUAAAGGUGAUUGAUGUGUCCCCUGUUAAAUCUUUGUUUUGCAAUAUGAAUCUUGACAAUGAUGGGACUAGAGAUGAGUCAACUUUACUUAAAAGGCGUUCCAAUGAUUCAGAGUUUUUAGAUCUUGACGCAAAAAUUCUUAAAAGUGGGAUUGAAGAGAUUAAAACAUUAGAUAGCAAUGAACCCACUAUCUUGGAUUUCAAGGAAUUUAAUUAUGAUAAUUGCUCUUUGAUAGAUUGUAUUUCCUUGUUGCAAUCCGUGCUAAAUUCUCCUGAUGCUUAUAGUCAAAAUAAAGCUUUUACUAAACAUAUCGUUGAUGCUUUGAUGCAAUCUUAUGAAGAAAAACUUGAGUUGGAAGUUUCUAUCCCUAGAAAACUUUAUGAUGAGUGGGAACCUACUAUUAAAAUUAAAAUUAAAGAUCAUGAGUUCUAUGCUUUGUGCGAUUUGGGUGCUAGUGUUUCCACAAUUCCAAAAACUUUGCGUGAUUUGUUGGGUUUCCGUGAUUUUGAUGAUUGUUCUCUAAACUUGCACCCUGCGGAUUCCACUAUUAAAAAAACCUAUGGGAAGAAUUAAUGAUGUUAUUAUUGUUGCAAAUAGGAAUUAUGUGCCCGUAGAUUUCAUUAUUCAUGACAUAGAUUGCAAUCCUUCAUGUCCUAUUAUUCUUGGUAGACCUUUCCUUAGAACGAUUGGUGCAAUUAUUGAUAUGAAGGAAGGGAAUAUUACAUUCCAAUUUCCAUUAAGGAAAGGCAUGGAACACUUCCCUAAAAAGAAAGUUAAAUUACCAUAUGAAUCUAUUAUGAGAGCCACUUAUGGAUUGCCUACCAAAGAUGGCAAUACCUAGAUCUAUCCUUGCUUUUAUGCCUAGCUAGGGGCGUUAAACGAUAGCGCUUGUUGGGAGGCAACCCAAUUUUAUUUUUAUUCCUUAAUUUUUGCUCCUGUUUAGUAAUAAAUAACUUAUCUAGACUCUUUUUUGGUUGUGUUUUUUGUGUUUAAUUAGUGUUUGUGCCAAGUAGAACCGUUGGGAAGACUUGGGGAAAGUCUUUUUGAUCUUGCUGUAAAAAAUAGAAACUUUAGCGCUCACGAGAAUUGCUCCAUUUUUAUUUGGAUAGUGAUAUUUAGUUAAUUCUUUUUGAAUAUGAUUAAUAGAUAAAUUCCUCACGUCCAGAAAUUUAUUUUAGAAUUUUUGGGGUUCCAAAAGUUUGCGUUAGCUACAUAUUACUAUAGACUGUUUUGUUUUUGAUAGAUUCUGUUUUUCGUGUGUUGUUUGCUUAUUUUGAUGAAUCUAUGGCUAGUAAAAGAGUUUAUAAACCAUAGAGAAGUUGGAAUACAGUAGGUUUAACACCAAUAUAAAUCAAGAAUGAGUUCAUUACAGUACCUUGAAGUGGUGUUUUGUUUUCUUUCGCUAACGGAGCUCACGAGAUUUUCUAUUUUGAGUUUUGUGUUGUGAAGUUUUCACAUUUUGGGUAAAGAAUUGAUGGAUUAUGGAACAUGGAGUGGCAAGAGCCUAAGCUUUGGGAUGCCCAUGCACCCCAAGGUAAAAUUCAAGGACACCAAAAAGCCUAAGCUUGGGGAUGCCCCGGAAGGCAUCCCCUUUUUCGUCUUCGUCUAUCGGUAACUUUACUUGGACCUAUAUUUUUAUUCACCACAUGAUAUGUGUUUUGCUUGGAGCGUCUUGUAUGAUUUGAGUCUUUGCUUUUUAGUUUACCACAAUCAUCCUUGUUUUACACACCUUUUGAGAGAGACUCACAUGUUUGGUAAUUUAUUAGAAUACUCUAUGUGCUUCACUUAUAUCUUUUGAGCUAUAUAGUUUUUGCUCUAGUACCUCACUUAUAUCUUUUAGAGCACGGCGGUGGUUUUGUUUUAUAGAAAUAAUUGAUCUCUCAUGCUUCACUUAUAUUAUUUUGAGAGUUUUUUAGAACAACAUGGCAAUAAUAAAAACUUUCAUAUAAGUGCAUUGAAUACUAUGAGAAGUUUGAGACUUGAUAAUUGUUUUGAGAUAUGGAGAUGGUGAUAUUAGAGUCAUGCUAGUUGAGUAGUUGUGAAUUUGAGAAAUACUUGUGUUAAAGUUUGUGAUUCCCGUAGCAUGCACGUAUGGCUAACCGUUAUGUGAUGAAGUCGGAGCAUGAUUUAUUUAUUGAUUGUCUUCCUUAUGAGUGGCGGUCGGGGAUAGGGAUGUCAAUGGGUAGGGUAUGGGCGGGUACAACCUCCUUCUACCCAAACACAUACCCAUAGAAACUUUUUAUACCCACCCACUUCAAUACCCAUGGGUAUAAACUGACACCCAUGCCCAUACCCAUCGGGUAUCCUAUACCCAAUUGGUAUCCAUUGUGUACAAUAUAUAGCAUUCAAAUUCUUAAGAGGUAGAGAAAUGAGUUCAAAAUUCAAGUGAUCAUGGUAGAGUAGUAUAGCACGUAUGUGGCCUCCUCCAGUGGGUGGCCUCUUGGAGGCAUCAGGGGAGUAUGAGCAGCGGUUGGUGGAAGGCCGACGUAGUGGAAGGCGGUGGUGGGAAUUCGGGAUCGCUGGAUCGAGUGUUCGACAAGAGUCUGGUAGCUAAGAGUCGAUAUUUCAUCUUUUGAGGAGUCACAUAGGACAUAUGAGGAGUGGCGACCAGGUGAUUAUGAGCCUAUGAGCUAUGACUUGUUUAAGGAAUACGAGAUUUAGGGUUGGACCAUAUGAGUUGGAUGUUAACCCCACAUGUUAUAGGAGUUAUUUUCAUUUAUUAAUUUUCUGGGUAUCCAUUGGGUUACCCAUGGGCAUAAUUUCUUACCCAUGCCCUACCCUUAUAUUUUGCGGGUAUGGGUACCCAUUACCCAUGGGUAAAAAAUCUCUUCAAGUCUUGCCCAUACCCAUUGUUUUCGGGUAGGGUACUCACGGGUACCCAUACCCAUUGUUUUCGGGUAGGGUACCCACGGGUACCCAUACCCAUGGGCAAAACUGCCAUUCCUAGUCGGGGACGAGCGAUGGUCUUUUCCUACCAAUCUAUCCCCCUAGGAGCAUGCGCGUAAUACUUUGCUUUGAUAACUUAUAGAUUUUUGCAAUAAGUAUGUGAGUUCUUUAUGACUAAUGUUGAGUCCAUGGAUUAUACGCACUCUCACCCUUCCACCAUUGCUAGCUGACGAAGCUAUGUACCUAGGGUAGGGUCAUGGACCUGUCCAAACUGCCCUACCCAAGGACAUCUCUAGAAGAAAUCACCUUUCAAUCGACUUGGAGGUGUUCCACUCGACAGACUCGAAGACACUCGACCAAGAAGCGAUCACUCGACCAAGACCAAACCACUCGACGGCCAGGAGACCUAAAGGCACUCCGCAUGCUAACGGUCGGUUAUUAAGUAGCCUUUAUGGUCAUCAUAGCACUUUAUUAGGGGCGUUAUCAGUAACUCCCGACCUUAAUGUAUUUAAAACCCUGCAUAACUGAGGGCCGGAGGGGUCCGGCGAACUCUAUAUAAGCCACCCCCUCCUCAGUGUAAAGGGUUCGCACCCCUGUAAUUCAUACACGCAUAAUCUAGUCGACCGCCUCCGGGCUCCGAGAAGUAGGCCUAUUACUUCCUCCGAGAAGGGCCUGAACUCGUAAACCUCGUGUGCUUACAACUUCUCCAUAGCUAAGAUCUUGCCUCUCCAUACUUACCCCCCUACAUUACUGUCAGACUUAGAACCACGACAGUUGGCGCCCACCAUGGGGCAGGUGUUUUAGCGAUUUGUUGGAGGAGUUGCGUUCUUUUCCGAUCCGAAUCAUCAUGGUUUCCGGCGGAGUUUUGGUGGAGGGCCGUGAGAUCCGUCUCGGCGUGCUCACGUUCAUCGCCGACGACUCCGCUUGGCUUCAGGAGGCUCCGCUCGACGUGGACGCGCUCCCUGUACGCGGGGCGACGCACUUUCACGCGUGCGUCCACGGCAUCCUUUUGCGGCAACCGUCGACCCACUAUCGGUCGGCUCCUGUGAUCUCCUCCCUCCCCGUUUCCCGCCGGCGCAAGCGCUCCGGUCGGUCGAGACUUCAGCGGUGGGUGAGACACGCGGUGGCACGCCAGUCGGCCACCCCUCAAGUCGCGGCGAUUGAGCCCGACGAAUCCCUCUACAGCCUGUUCGAUCUGUCGACUGGCUCUACAGAGACCGCCUCCGAGUGCGACAGCAGUGAUCCGGCAGCGGAGGUUCUGAUGGUCGAUGGACCGCCCAGUCCUCCCGGUUUUCUCCGCACCGACGGAGGCGCGGGUGGAGGCGACCCGUCGCGUCCCCAUGAGGAAUAUCUCCCCGAGCCUCUCACGUCGUUACAGAGAGAAGAACUUCGUCGCUGGAACAUGGAUGCGCUGCACACUCCUAUCAUCGGAGAAACCCCCAAGGCUCGUGCCUUGGAGGACGCGCGCCUGGCAAACUUGGCCGAGCGCACUCGAUUGGAGAACCUCCAGCGAGCACUCGACGAGCGUGCGCGACAACGGAUUCCCGAAUCCAGUCGACGUCAGCUCUUCCCGCCCUCGCAGGUAUAUCGAACUCCGAUUCAGAAUUUAGCAGCUGCAGCCCGUAUAGCAGAGUCGAUUCAGCCUUCCCAGUCGGAGGCUGGCAGAGGCUUGCUGCAGAUCAGAGCGUUACUCCGGGCAGCAAGAGACCAGAAUUCCGCUAUUUCUCAGUCGUGGAACAAGAUUCACAGCAGAUCCGUUGCUGCAGACACAGUCCAGUCGGCUCAUAGCCCAAGAUCGCCCCCGAGGCGUGAGGGACGUGGGGACUGACAUAAUCAGUACGGGAACCGUGAGCAAUAUGAUCACCGAUUCGAUGUGAUGAUCGACGCCGAGUGCCCACCCCUCCCCCGAGGAGCGGGUCGUAUGCGCCUCGACAGUAGGAUGACAGGCGUCCUCAUAGUGUUGGGCGAAGGAUUCCAGUCGACUCCAGGGAGCCAGGCUUUGAUGCGAGAUCCAUUCUUGUUCAAGGUUUGGCCGACAGGAACAGAGCUCACCGAGAAGGUCAUGACAGAGAUGCACCUACCAGCAGCAGAGCACAUGUUUUAGGGCCAGAGUGCUUUAGUAGAGCCAUCAGGGCCGCUGUGAUUCCUCCCAACUUCAGGUUGGCGACUGGAGUCAGCAAGUUCACUGGUGAGUCCAAGCCCGAUACUUGGCUUGAAGACUACCGAGUGGCCGUCCAGAUUGGCGGCGGCAAUGAUGAAGUGGCCAUGAAGCACCCGCCUCUCAUGUUGGAGGGCUCGGCCAGAGCGUGGCUGAACCAGUUAGCACCCAACAGCAUUUACACUUGGGAAGAUCUCGCCCGAGUGUUUGUCACCACAUUUGAAGGAACAUGCAAGCGACCGGCAAGGCUGACUGAAUUGCGGUCUUGCGUGCAGAAGCCGAAUGAAACUUUGAGGGAUUACAUCCAGAGAUGGAUCAUGUUACAUCACACGGUAGAGAAUGUGCCUGACCACCAAGCAGUCUGUGCCUUCAAAGAAUGCGUCAAGUACAAAGAAUUGAAUCUGAAAUUCAGUCGGACCGGAGAUAUGUCUCUGAAUCGGAAGAUGGAGAUUGCCACCAAGUACACUAAUGGUGAAGAUGAGGAUCGACUCAGGAGUGGCAAGCUCAAGUCAGUCGCUCAAGAAACCGGAGAAAAUUCCAAUCGGAAACAGAAGCGGAAAGCCGAGCCAGCUGCUCCUAGGGAAGCCUUGGCUGUAACCCAAGGAAUGUUUAAAGGGAAACCCAAAGGACCUUGGAACCCCAAGAAAGUUAAAGACCAGGACGGAAAUGAUGUGUUGGAUUUGCCAUGUCUCGUCCACACCAAGAAAGAUGAAGAGGGUAAUUUCAUUUACCCAAAACAUACCACUCGACAGUGCCGACUCUUGAUCCAGCAGUUCUAGGGCAAGCAGUCCAAAGAUAAGGAAAAGGAGUCGGACAAAGUUGAGGACAAGGAACAUAGUGACGAUGGAUACCCUCAGGUCAAUUCCACCCUGAUGAUUUUUGCUGAUGUUGAAAGCAAAAGUCGACUGAAAGUUAUCAACCGAGAGGUGAAUAUGGUUGCUCCGACGACACCCAGCUAUCUGAAGUGGUCUCAGACUGCCAUAACAUUCGACCAGUCCGAUCACCCAACGCACAUCGCCACCCCUGUGAGGCAAGCUUUGGUGGUCGACCCAGUUGUUGAAGGCACUCGACUGACCAAAGUCUUGAUGGAUGGUGGCAGUGGUUUGAACAUAUUAUAUGCUGAGACGUUGAAAGGGAUGGGCAUUCCGAUGUCCAGACUCAGUACCAGCAACAUGAGUUUCCAUGGAGUCAUUCCUGGGAAGAAGGCUGAAUCACUCGGCCAGAUUGCUCUUGAUGUGGUUUUCGGUGAUUCCAAGAAUUACCGCAAAGAAAAGUUGACGUUUGAAGUUGUAGACUUCCAGAGUGCCUAUCACACUAUUUUGGGAAGGCCGGCUUAUGCACGCUUCAUGGCCCGACCAUGUUAUGUGUAUCUCAAACUGAAGAUGCCUGGCCCCAAAGGUGUGAUCACUAUUACGGGCAAUCGGAAGAAAGCGGAAGAAUGUUUUCAGAAAGGUUCAAAGAUUGCUGAUGUUCAGAUGGCAGUGGUGGAGCUGCAGGAAUACCAGAAGACUGCAGACCCGAGUGAUUUGUUGCGAGCCAAGAAGCCCGCUACAGAAUCAGCUUUUCAGUCGUCUGGCGAAACGAAGACAGCUCACAUCCACCCGACCGAUCCCAGCGCUGCUCCAACUCAUAUCUCAACAACACUCGACUCCAAAUAGGAAUAAGCGCUCAUCCAGUUCCUCCGUGAGAACUGGGACAUUUUCGCAUGGAAGCCUUCUGACAUGCCGGGUGUUCCCUGGGAGCUGGCUGAGCACCGCCUAAGAGUCGACUCAAAAGUAAAACCUGUCAAGGAACAUCUCCGACGGUCCGCCAUCCAGAAGAGAAAGGCUAUUGGCGAGGAGGUGGCUCGGCUCUUAGCAGCGGAGUUCAUCCGAGAAAUCUACCACUCCGAGUGGCUCGCCAACGUUGUCAUGGUCCCCAAGAAGGACAAGUCACUUCGCAUGUGCAUUGACUUUAAACAUAUCAAUCGGGCCUGCCCGAAAGAUCAUUUUCCUCUCCCCCGCAUCGAUCAGAUAGUCGACUCGACUGCGGGAUGUAAGCGACUGUCUUUUUUAGACGCCUAUUCCGGGUACCAUCAGAUCCGUCUGUAUGGACCUGACGAGAUCAAAACAGCUUUCAUCACUCCAUUCGGGUGCUUCUGUUAUAUUACCAUGCCGUUCGGCCUCAAGAAUGCCGGAGCCACAUUCAUGAGGAUGAUUCAGAAGUGUUUGCUCACUCAAAUCAGUCGGAAUGUGGAAGCGUACAUGGAUGACAUUGUGGUCAAGUCACGGAAGGGUUCCGACCUGCUGGCUGACCUUGCUGAAACCUUUGCCAACCUCAGGAGGUAUGAUAUCAAGCUUAAUCCAUCAAAGUGCACAUUCGGAGUUCCUGGCGGAAAAUUACUCGGUUUUCUCGUUUCCGAACGGGGAAUCGAUGCCAAUCCAGAAAAAGUCGGUACUAUACUCCGAAUGAAAAGUCCUGUGUGAGUGCAUGACGUCCAGAAGCUUACUGGUUGCUUGGCCGCUUUAAGUCGAUUCAUAUCUCGUCUUGGUGAAAAGGCAUUGCCUCUUUACCAAUUGAUGAAGAAGUCCGACAAGUUCGAGUGGACUCCCGAAGCUGAUGCAGCGUUUGCAGAGCUCAAAGCUCGGCUCUCCACCCAGCCGGUGCUUGCUACCCCAAUCAGCAAGGAGCCUUUGCUGCUUUACAUCGCAGCCACGGGACAAGUCGUCAGUACGGUACUUAUGGUCGAGCGGGAAGAAGAAGGAAAAGCCUUCAAAGUUCAGCGCCCAGUAUAUUAUAUUUCUGAAGUUUUGACCCCGUCGAAGCAAAGAUAUCCUCAUUAUCAGAAGCUUGUAUAUGGGAUUUAUAUGACCACAAAGAAAGUUGCUCACUACUUCUCUGAUCAUUCCAUUACAGUCGUCAGCGACGCUCCAUUGUCAGAGAUCCUGCACAACAGAGAUGCAACUGGUCGAGUGGCAAAAUGGGCUAUUGAACUCCUUCCUCUAGAUAUCAAGUUCGAGGCAAAGAAAGCUAUCAAGUCCUAGGCAAUAGCAGAUUUCGUCGCCAAGUGGAUUGAACAGCAACUGCCGACUCAGGUUCACUCGGAGCAUUGGACCAUGUUCUUCGAUGGUUCCAAAAUGCUGAAUGGUUCCGGUGCCGGGGUGGUGUUGGUCUCCCCCCGAGGAGAUAAGCUUAGAUAUGUUCUUCAAAUCCACUUUGAUUCCUCCAAUAACGAGGCGGAAUAUGAAGCACUUUUAUAUGGGUUGCGCAUGGCCAUUUCACUCGGCGUCUGACGCCUCAUGGUCUAUGGCGACUCAGGUUUGGUGGUUAAUCAGGUGAUGAAGGAAUGUGACGUCAGAAGUCCAGCCAUGACUGCUUAUUGCAAUGCAGUGAGAAAGCUGGAGAAGAAAUUCGAGGGGUUAGAGCUUCAUCACAUACCCCGACUGAAAAAUCAAGCAGCUGAUGAUUUGGCAAAAAUAGGUUCCAAAAGAGAAGCCAUUCCCAGCAAUGUGUUUUUGGAACACAUCCACACACCAUCAGUUCAGGAGGAUCCCUUCACUGAAGAGGCCCCGCAGCCAAAAAGUGCCACGGAUCCGACUGAAGUUGAAGUUCCAGCUGUGGUCGACCUGAUCAUGGAAGUCUUGGUCAUCACUCCCGACUGGACAGUACCGUACAUCGCGUACAUCCUAAGGAAAGAACUCCCAGAGGACGAAGAAGAGGCUCGACAGAUCGUCCGUCGAUCCAAGGCCUUUAGAGUCAUAAAGGGACAGUUGUAUAGAUAAAGCGUGACUGGAGUCAGUCAGAAGUGUAUAACACCAGAAGAAGGUCAGAUGAUCCUUGACGAUAUCCACUCGGGGACCUGUGGUCAUCAUGCGUCCUCUCGGACCAUUGUGGCUAAAGCAUACCGAGCAGGAUUUACUGGCCAAGGGCCAAUGAAAUGGCAAAAUAGAUAGUCGACAAAUGUGAAGGAUGUCAGUAUUACUCCAAUAUGUCGCACAAGCCUGUGUCAGCUCUGAAAACCAUUCCACUCGUUUGGCCCUUCGCUGUUUGGAGACUGGACGUGGUUGGACCACUGAAAAUGGGCAGGAGCGGCUUCACUCAUGUGCUAGUAGCAGUCGACAAGUUCACCAAAUGGAUUGAAGCUAAGCCUAUCAAGAAUCUUGAUGCUUGCACUGCUAUCAGUUUCAUCAGAGAGUUGAUAUUCAGAUAUGGAUUUCCGCACAGCAUCAUCACUGACAAUGGGUCAAAUUUCGAUUCCAACAAAUUCAGGGCCUUUUGCGCCUCUCAGGGCACACGAGUCGACUAUGCUUCGGUCGCUCACCCUCAGUCGAAUGGACAGGCGGAAAGAGCAAAUGGCCUAAUUCUCAAAGGACUGAAACCUCGAUUGAUGCAACGAUCUCAAGCACGUAGCAGGUGCAUGGGUCGAUGAGCUUCCAUCAGUUCUUUGGGGAUUGAGGACGACCCCGAACCGAUCGACCGGAAGAACCCCAUUCUUUCUGGUCUACGGAGCCGAAGCAGUCUUGCCGAGUGACAUGCUUCACAACGCCCCUCGAGUCGAGCUCUACUCUGAAGAAGAAGCAGAACAAGCCCGGCAGGACGCAGUCGACCUCCUGGAAGAAGAAAGAGAAAUGGCCAUGAUCCGAUCCGAGAAAUGCCAGAAAUGUGAAGAGUCGAGCCUUCCAAGAAGGAGACUUAGUCCUCCACGUGGAUCAGCAAAAACCGCACAAACUCGCUCCUACUUGGGAAGGCCCCUUCAUAGGGACCAGAGUCCUCCACAAUGGAGCGUACCACCUCUACAAUGUCGAUCGCCAGAUUGAUGAGCCACGAGCCUGGAAUGCGGAGCUACUCCACCCCUUUUAUACUUGAAUUCUCACUCGGAUGAGAUGUAAUAAGAAAAAACUCCUGUAGUUUAUUUAUCAAAGACAAGAGCGUUAUAAUUUUCCCAGUGAUUGUUAUUGUUUUUUGUUUGCAUAAGAAAUCCCCCAGUGGGUGGCUUAGCUGCGAAUCCGCUUCGCCUAAGUUUGCAAAAAUAAUUUCCUACCGAGUGGUGAGCCAGCCUCCCACUCGGGGGCUUAGCUGCGAACCCGUUUCGCCUAAGUAUUUAAAAAUACUACCGAGUGGAGAGAAAUCCUCCCACUCGGGGGCUUAGCUGCAGUCCAGUACUCGCCUAAGUUCUCUCACUCGGAGACUUAGUUGCAGUCCGGCACUCGCCUAAGUUUGAAAAAAUCCUACCGAGUGGGAGCAACCCUCCCACUCGGGGGCUUAGCUGCAGUCCAGUACUCGCCUAAGUUUGAAAAAAUCCUACCGAGUGGAGAGCAACCCUCCCACUNNNNNNNNNNNNNNNNNNNNNNNNNNNNNNNNNNNNNNNNNNNNNNNNNNNNNNNNNNNNNNNNNNNNNNNNNNNNNNNNNNNNNNNNNNNNNNNNNNNNNNNNNNNNNNNNNNNNNNNNNNNNNNNNNNNNNNNNNNNNNNNNNNNNNNNNNNNNNNNNNNNNNNNNNNNNNNNNNNNNNNNNNNNNNNNNNNNNNNNNNNNNNNNNNNNNNNNNNNNNNNNNNNNNNNNNNNNNNNNNNNNNNNNNNNNNNNNNNNNNNNNNNNNNNNNNNNNNNNNNNNNNNNNNNNNNNNNNNNNNNNNNNNNNNNNNNNNNNNNNNNNNNNNNNNNNNNNNNNNNNNNNNNNNNNNNNNNNNNNNNNNNNNNNNNNNNNNNNNNNNNNNNNNNNNNNNNNNNNNNNNNNNNNNNNNNNNNNNNNNNNNNNNNNNNNNNNNNNNNNNNNNNNNNNNNNNNNNNNNNNGGGGCUUAGCUGCAGUCCAGUACUCGCCUAAGUUUUCUCACUCGGAGACUUAGCUGCAGUCCGGCACUCGCCUAAGUUUGAAAAAAUCCUACCGAGUGGAGAGCAAUCCUCCCACUCGGGGGCUUAGCUGCAGUCCAGUACUCGCCUAAGUUUUCUCACUCGGAGACUUAGCUGCAGUCCGGCACUCGCCUAAGUUUGAAAAAAAUUCUACCGAGUGGAGAGCAAGCCUCCCACUUGGGGGGCUUAGCUGCAGUCCANNNNNNNNNNNNNNNNNNNNNNNNNNNNNNNNNNNNNNNNNNNNNNNNNNNCUAAGUUUGAAAAAAAAAUCCUACCGAGUGGAGAGCAACCCUCCCACUCGGGGGCUUAGCUGCAGUCCAGUACUCGCCUAAGUUUUCUUACUCGGAGACUUAGCUGUAGUCCGGCACUCGCCUAAGUUUGAAAAAAUCCUACCGAGUGGAGAGCAACCCUCCCACUCGGGGGCUUAGCUGUAGUCCAGUACUCGCCUAAGUUCUCUCACUCGGAGACUUAGCUGCAGUCUGGCACUCGCCUAAGUUUGAAAAAUCCUACCGAGUGGAGAGCAAACCUCCCACUCGGGGGCUUAGCUGCAGUCCAGUACUCGCCUAAGUACGAAACACAUCUCAAUACUCAAGGACGACGAGGUGCAGGUCGACUGCCGCCUUCUCCUUAGGAGCCUCGCCACAAAUACAACGUGCGCUUCCUCUCACUCCGCAAGGACGACGAGGUGCGGGUCGACUGCCGCCUUCUCCUGGAGAGCUUCGCCACAAAUACAAUGUGCGCUCCAUCCCGCUCUGCAGUAACGAGGCGCGGGUCGACUGCCACCUUCCCCUGGAGAGCUUCGCCACAAAUACAACGUGCGCUCCAUCCCACUCCGCAAGGACGACGAGGUGCAGGACUACUGCCACCUUCUCUUGAGGAGCUUCGCCGACCCGCAAGGGCAACGAGGCGCAGGUCGCAGGCAAGGACAAUGAGGCGCAAUGAGGAGCUUCGCUACAAAUACAAAAGUUGUCUCGAAUGAAGAACGAGUUCACUCGACAGGGGAUUCAUGAAGAUAUUCAACGAUAAACCAAGUUCAGAUAAAUCCUAAAAGUUUCGGACCACAGAUCGAAGUGCUCGGGCAUUCAGCCCAAAAUAGUUUAACGGUUACAAAAACCACUCGGCAUUCCGAGGCAAAUUUAAGGUGAGGCAUAAAAGUUUGUUCACUCUGCGGGAGGAGGACUAGCAGGCUCGACGAACUCGUCUAAGUCGACGCCGUCGGUGAUCCGAGUGGCUGCAGCGAUGAAAGUCUCCAUAAAAGAUCGAAAGUCAUGCUUCUGGGUGUUGGCGACCUUGAUUGCUGCCAGCUUAUCUUGUCGCACCUCCUUGCAAUGGACGCGAACCAGAGACAGAGCCACAUCAGCGCCACACCGGGCAGAAGACUUCUUCCACUCCUGCACUCGGUCAGGGAUUUCGUUAAGUCGAGUCAUCAGCGACUCAAGAUCAUUUUGGAGUGUGGCCUCUGGCCAAAGUGCCGGGUCGAUCCGUGACAUGGUGACCUUCAGUCGAGCCAAGUAGUCCACGACACCGUCGAUGCGGGAUUCCAGUCGGAGCAGAUUCAUGGCAGUUUCAUCUUUCACGGGAGAAUUGAUUGGAUCCAAACCUGGUUCGAUCCGCCCAGUCUCCUCCUCGAAGUCUUGGCAAAACUCUGCAUUCACGAUCCAAGGAUAAGUCAAUUUUCAUACGCUGAGUCGACACAAAAAUAAUCAGUCGGAACAAAAUGUGCACCUUCAAACUUGAGGAACAACUUCUUGGCAAGGCUCCUCAGAUAGCUCUCCAGAUCGUCCCUCCUGCGAGCGAUGCCUUCCAUCUUCUCGCACAGGUUGAGGUUCUCCUUCUUCCAGCACGAGCACUCCUUGUUGGCUUCGUUCAAAGCAGAUUUCAACUUGGUAUUCUCUUCUUCCAACUGGCCGACCGAAGCCAGUUUUUGUUCAGCCAUAGUGGUCCUGUCGUCAGCCUCCUUUCGAGCAGUAGCCAAAUCCUGAUCCUUCUUCACCAGAGCUUCUCUCAGUUUUUCUGCAAAGAAAUGAUGAUUGAUUCAGAAAGAGCAGAAGGGUACUCAAGCCCAAGACAGACCAGUCGACAAACUCGUCUUACCAGUGGCGCCGUCCUUGACCUUUUGCAGCUCUGUCUUGGCUAGCUCCAAGUCAAGGUUCAGUUGAAUCUGCUGUUUCUCCAAGUCAGCAAAGUGAGCUCCAAGAUCACAUGAUUUCUGAAAUCGAAGGAGAGAAGUUAUUUUACAGCGAAAAACGACAAAGACAUUAAGUACUAAGACUACAGUCAACUGCCCGUAGUCCACCAUAGUCUCGGGGACUACACCCAGUGGGUGCACUUUGCAUGCCCGCACCGGUUCUGAUCCCACUCGACCGGCCCGCCGGAGUCGAGUGCAGGGAGUAAAAAAAGGAGAGAAAGUAGAACUCAGACCACAGUCGACUGCCAGCAGUCAACCGCGGUCUCGGGGACUACACCCAGUGGGUGCACUUGGUGUGCCCCCACCGGUUCUGAUCCCACUUGACCAGAUCGAGUGGAAGAGACAAACUACCAGUUCGGUUUACACUCGACAAAAUACAAAGACUACAGUCGACUGCCAGUAGUCUACCGUAGUCUCGGGGACUACACCCAGUGGGUGCACUCAGCGUGCCCCCACUAGUUCAAAAAUUCAAUCGACGCACCCAGUGGGUGUACAGAUGCAAAGAUUUUCAGAAAGAGUCUUCAAAUAGCAUAUCCUAACAGAACAAGCGGCGACCAACUAACCUGAACGUUGCUCUGGAGAGCCGGGCUGGCAUCGUAGGCGGCUUGGCUGGCGUCCUACACCUUCUUCAUCUUCUCCAUCAUAAUGCCCGCCUGGCGUAUGGCUUCCCUGGCAGCAUUCACCUCGUCCUCUAGGACAUGAUGGGUCACAAAAACUGAAGGCGGGUCGACAGGGGCCUGAGCAGUCGACGAGGAAGGCAAGGCACUCGACAAUGGCACGACGAAGGUAACAGAACCCCGAUUGGCAUCACCAGCGUCCUUAACGACUGGCUCCGCCCUCGGCGUCGAUUGUGGCACCUCGCUCGCAGGAGCUUGCCCAUUUUUCCUCGUCAAAGGCCUCUCGGGCUCUUCAUCAUCAUCAUCAGCGAGGUUAAUAAUGUUAGGGGCUGUUCAAAGUUCAAACGACAAAAUCACAUCACCCAAUGGUACACAUUGUAGUUGAAUCGACCAAAAUAAAGAUAGCAUGGCAGAAAUCAUACCCAGAUUAGAAGUGACCGCAUCCUCCAUCACCUCAUCAUCGUCCCUGUAAGCUGAGGUCCCGGAAGUAGCAGCGCUGACAGUUCCAAAGUUCAUCCGGUUAAAACAAGAAAAACAAACAGCACAGGGCGUCGAGUAAAUAUGAAGGGAGACACUCACGCGGAAGCGAUGGGGAUGUCAAUCUUAAUCUUUGGCAACGCCUUCCGAAGCUUCGGCUCUGCGACUUUGGGAUGCUUUGACGCUUUUUCAGUUGGAGUUGGCGAAGAGGUCCGAGGACGCUUUGAAGACUGACCAGCUUGAGCAAUCACCUUUUCACGGGCGCUCGGUCGUUCUUGGUCAAGUUUGGACGGCCUCUCCCUACGAGGAGGCGACUCGACUUCUUCUUCCUCACUUGAAUCGUCGCUUUCUUCGUCUCCUCCACCGUCAGAAUCCCAUUCGCCACUGUCGCCGCCGCUCGCCUCUCCUUCCGGGUCCUGCUCUUGCACCUCGUUGGGCAUUGAAUACAUUUCAAUAAUGGCCUGAAAGAAAGCAGGAAGAACAAAGUCAGUCAACUCAGUAUAGGCAACUGCGCGAGUGAAUUCAGAUUACAAACAAAAGCUCAGAAUCAGACCUUCUCUGGUACAUGAGACUGGUCGAAUGGAGGAACUCUCAUGGCUCCCCUGGGGUUGUCCUUGUUCCCGGUCAUGCCGGACAGCCACUUCUCCAGUGUGUCGUCAUCGACCUCCUCCGGGUGAAUCCGAGUGGAGUCUUCAAGACCCGAAUACAUCCACAUCGGAUGGUCUCGGGCUUGAAGAGGCUGGAUGCGCCGCUGAAAGAAGACCUCCAAGAGAUCCAUAUCGAUGACCCCGUCACAGAUAAGCUGGACCACUCGCUCUACCAGCACCCUCACCUGCGCCUUCUCCUCCGGGAGCACCUUCAAAGGGGAGGGUUUCCUCACUUGGUCCAUGGUGAAAGGAGGGAGGCCAGUCGACUGCCCUGGCGUCGACUGGUCUUUGCAGUAAAACCAGGUCGACUGCCAUCCGCGAACUGAGUCGGGAAGAAUCAUGGCCGGAAAGGAGCUUUUCCCUCACAUCUGGACAUCAAGACCCCCACACAUCUGAAUCACUUGAGUCCUCUCGUCACUCGGAUUAGCUUUUUUCACCGUCUGGGAGCGACAAGUGAAAAUGUGCUUGAGAAGGCCCCAGUGAGGCCGACAACCCAGGAAAUUCUCACACAAAGAAACAAAAGCGGCGAGAUAAACGAUUGUGUUGGGAGUGAAGUGGUGGAGUUGUGCCCCAAAGAAGUUCAGAAAUCCCCGAAAGAAAGGGUGAGGAGGCAAGAAAAAUCCACGGUCGACAUGGGUGCCAAGGAGAACGCACUCACCCUCCCGAGGUUGCGGCUCGGAUUCCUUCCCCGGAAGCCGCGCAGAUUCAUAGGGGAUUAGCCCUCCUUCGGCUAGGUCGUCGAGGUCUUCUUGGGUGAUCGUUGAGCGGAUCCAGUCGCCCUGGAUCCAGCCCUUCGGCAGGCCGAUUCGCGAGGAGGAUCCGCCCGACUGGUCGCCUUCCCCUUCGACCUCGCCGUCACCUUCUUCGCCCGCUCUAGAGCUGCCGUCUUCCCCUUCCCCAUCGUCGCCGGCGAAACGCGUACGGAGCGGUGGCGCUGGGGCGAGAGCGAGCGUGGCGAGGGAGCAUGAAGAGGAGAAGAGAUAAUGGGGACGCACUGUUCGAAGAGACCCCGGUCUGACGCCUUAUAUGAGGCCGCUUCCGAGUGGUUGACUGGUAGGCCUGGGCGGCCCUGUCAAAUCCCGUAACAAUCGCGCGCGCGAUACAUGGCGAAAAAGGUGGCGCAGGGAUCGAGGCAGCUCCGCUCUAUCCCAUCCGAUUACUGCGGCCUCCCCCGUCCCGCGCGCUUCCCAAAAUUCGGAUCCCGCGAAAUCUGCAGGCAGCAGAACAAACUUGUCAGACCGAAGAUCUCCUCUGCACCGUCACUCGGAGCCUUUCAAGUAAAGAAACUCACUCGACAAAAAGCUAAGAAUGGAUCAAGGCGACUGAAAAGGAAGUUGCUGUCAUCACUCAGGUUCAUUGAUCCGAAACCAGAUAUGCUCAUGGCAUGAAAAAUGAGCCGGGAAAAUUCUCAACUCCUUCCCCACUCAAACCUCGAUCCAUUCGGGGGCUAAUGACGAAGCUAUGUACCUAGGGUAGGGUCAUGGACCUGUCCAAACUGCCCUACCCAAGGACAUCUCUAGAAGAAAUCACCUUUCAAUCGACUUGGAGGUGUUCCACUCGACAGACCCGAAGACACUCGACCAAGAAGCGAUCACUCGACCAAGACCAAACCACUCGACGGCCAGGAGACCUAAAGGCACUCCGCAUGCUAACGGUCGGUUAUUAAGUAGCCUUUAUGGUCAUCAUAGCACUUUAUUAGGGGCGUUAUCAGUAACGCCCGACCUUAAUGUAUUUAAAACCCUGCAUAACUGAGAGCCGGAGGAGUCCGGCGAACUCUAUAUAAGCCACCCCCUCCUCAGUGUAAAGGGUUCGCACCCCUGUAAUUCAUACAUGCAUAAUCCAGUCGACCGCCUCCGGGCUCCGAGACGUAGGGCUAUUACUUCCUUCGAGAAGGGCCUGAACUCGUAAACCUCGUAUGCUUACAACUUCUCCAUAGCUAAGAUCUUGCCUCUCCAUACUUACCCCCUACAUUACUGUCAGACUUAGAACCACGACACUAGCCUCUCUAGUAUCGCGCAACUUCCGCCGGUACCAUAAACCCACCAUAUACCUUCCUCAAAACAGCCAUCACACCUACCUAUUAUGGCAUUUCCAUAGCCCGAGAUAUAUUGCCAUGCAACCUUCCAUCGUUCCGUUGUUAUGACACGCUUCAUCAUUGUCAUAUUGCUUGCAUGAUCAUGUAGUUGACAUCGUAUUUGUGGCAAAGCCACCGUUCAUAAUUUUCAUACAUGUCACUCAUGCAUCAUUGCACAUUCCGGUACACCGCCGGAGGCAUUCAUACACUAUUAGGGAAAACCUUAUACACAGAUGUUUAUCAGUAGCACGGUUUAAAAGUGGGCGCUACUGCUAAUUAGUAGUAGCGAGGGGUAUAAAAACCGCGCUAUUACUAAGUUGAUAGUAGUAGCGAGGGGUAUAAAUCCGCGCUGCUAUUAAGUGGUCUCCAACAAUGCUUCUGGAUAGGUCAUAGUAGUAGCGAGGGGUAUAAAACCGGCGCUACUACUAAGUAAGAACGUGUCCACCCCGGCCCGAUCCACACUCCCACCCCACCACUCUCUCUCUCUCUCUCAUCCCUAAAAAAUACUCUCUCACGAACUCACAUGUUCCUCGGUCCACCCCACCCCGGCUCCUCUCCCCACGAUCUCCUCGCCGCCUCCACCACCCACGCCGGCCGGUUCCGGCGAGCAUCGGUCGCGCGGAAUACUCCUCCAAGCUCCGCCCCUCCCUCCCCUCCGUCGAGAUCCGACAUGGCUGCAGUUCUUACACGGCCACCCUCCCCUCCACCGUGCUCUCGCACCACUUCAUCCCGCUCCUUCGCCGCCAGGCCCGCCGCCGCCGCCUCCUUUGCCUGCGGCCCGCUGCGCGCCGCCGACCGCCGGGAGAUCUGAGGCUCCAUCCCAUCCCGGCCGGGCCAGAUCAGAUCCGCGGCGCGAUGGAGUGGGAGACGGUGCAGCACUUGGACCUCCGCCACGCCGGCGGCCGCCGCGGGGCCGGCCCGCUGCAGCCGCACGCCGCCGCCU